This 99169-nucleotide long non-coding RNA is filed under the name Linum usitatissimum (flax). RNAcentral describes it as "long non-coding RNA (LUSI_LNC007401)". The record is from RNAcentral. Lineage: Eukaryota; Viridiplantae; Streptophyta; Magnoliopsida; Malpighiales; Linaceae.
AUAUAUCCUAUGAUCGAAUGUUUUUUCUCCUCCCUGUGUGCUCAAAAGGGAAACUUGGGGUUAACUAGGCGUUUUUAAGUUGUGUAUCGUGAUAUCUAAACCCAGAUGCAGGUCAUGGUCGUCCAUGUUGAUUUAUCUGUUUUCAUGUCCAUAUAGUGCAUAUGCCUUCAAAUUUUGAGUUCUAAGCUGGUUAUACUUAUAAGUCGGUAUCUGAGUUUGCUAUUUCUUUUGCCUCCUCCCCUACAAAUAGGGCGAUCGAUUGAGACAAAACGUCUUAGAAAAGAUCCAAACGCACCAAGUCCAGACCAUCUCAUUAUUGGAAGACAAGAUUGUGCAUAAACUCCGAUCAAAGGAAGCUGAAAUGGAAAGCAUCAACAAGAAGAAUUUGGAACUAGAGGACAGGAUGGAACAGAUCACUGCGGAAUCAGGGGCUUGGGAGCAACGAGCGAGAUUCAACGAAAACCUGAUAAGCGCCCUAAAGUCGAAUCUCCAUCAAGUUUAUGUUCAAAGUAGGGACAGUAAAGAAGGAUGCGGGGACAGCGAGGUGGAUGACACAGCUUCAUGCUGUAACGGACCUGGGAUUGAUUUCCAGAUACUUGCCAAAGAGAAGAAGGAGAUGAAAGAGGGGAUGACGUGUAAGGUUUGCAGAGUGAAGGAGGUAUGCAUGCUUCUAUUGCCGUGUAAGCAUCUCUGCCUUUGUAAAGAGUGUGAAAGUAAGCUUAGCUUCUGUCCACUGUGUCAGUCGUCCAAGUUUCUUGGUAUGGAAGUCUACAUGUAACUGAAAAGACUACGGAUAUCUUUCUUGACUGAUUAAUCCAUACAUAUUCAUACUACGACGUUUUGCCCACUUUCUGCCACCGACUAGUGACUACAGCCUAACCCAUUGAGUUUUUGAAUCCAAAUGUCAUUACUAAUAGAUCAUUGGAGAUCCAAAUCCAAUAGAACCAAAUAGUUCAUAAUUUAUUGAUUCUUGGUGGUGGUGGAGUAAGAAAUUAUUAAGAAUUCGUUUGAUUUUUUUAUUUGGGAGAGAAUUGGUGGGAUAAGUGAUUUUGAAAAUAUUUUGUUUGAUUUUUAAAAAUGGUGGAGAUUUGAAAUCAUCAUAUAUGGUUUUAUGGUGAUUUGAAAAGUGAUUUGAAAUUAUCAUGAGUUUGAUAUAAUUUAAAGAUAUCAAGAAUGAUUUGGACACAAUGACAUAUUAACCAAAUUAAAACUAAGUAAUUACAACAAUAUCAUUAAAAAUAUGAAGAAUUGAGAAGACUAAUUUUAGAACUAGAGGACAAUCUCAUUUUUUAUUUUUUUUGAUGAAUAUAGUAUUGUUAUUCAUCAAAAAGCAACGUCCGCAAAACGCUAGACGUGAGAGUUCGGUACAAGACAUAAUCUGUAAGCCUAGUACAAAAGAAUAUAGGAGGACAAAACUCUAGUUCAUAACAUUCAAGCUAUAUCUCUCAAGAUCCCAUGGGUUAACAUCAAGGCUGGUAUGCUCUUCAUGCUCUAUUGAAUCGAUUUCAAUACUCCAGAAACAACAAGAGAUGUCUGUUGUAAUACCCCAGUUUGCAGUAUGAUCUCUAGUUAUCAAUCUCUCUUUGAUUGCACGCCAAACUAUAAAAGAGUGUUUUGGAAUUGCUGGAUUUUUCCAAACAACUACACACCAAUGAACUAAAGGUUCUAUAAUCCGAAUAGUUUUCCAGACCAAGGAAAACGAAUACUUGGGCAUUUGGCAUCCAUUCCAAAGAGGGAUACCAUCUGAACUCGUGGAGAUGUAGGAAAGGACUUGGUCCCUGACCUUAAGAAUUCUUUUCCACGUCCAAGAUUGAUACAGAGCACCACCGCACUCCCAGAUAGUCUGAUUUUUAUUCUAUACUUCUGGAUCCAUGCUACUGACUAUGAGCUUGCCUGCAUCAAAAUAUUCCACAAAUGCCUUGCAAUACAAGCAUGAUUCAAACCAUUAAAUUUCUAAUCCCAAGACCACUCUCCUUUCUUGGAAGAGCAACAUGCUUCCAAUCAAUUUUAACCGUUCUUUUCACCCCUUCCUUAACCUCCCAAAGAAAAUUGCUACAAACUUUGUUGACCCCUUUGAUGACUGCUUUGGGAAGAAAGAAGAUAGACAACCAAUAUUGAUUAAGAGCACUUAACACAGUCUUAAUCAAUUGCAAUCUACCCACAUAAAUCUAGUCUUUUAUUAAAUAAGUCAAUUUAAUUUUUUUUAUUUGAAAUGCUAGAAUUACUCUUAAUUUUAGAAAACAAAUAAGAUAUUUAUGAAAUCACUAGCUAUUUCAAAUCACCUUCUUCCAAAUCUCAAAUUCAAACGACCAUUCAUCGUUUAUUUUAGGAAUUGGGUAGGGAUUGAGUCUUAGGAAUUAGAUGUGAAUCGAAUUUUAGGAAAUGGGUUUGGAAUUUUGAUAACUAGGUCGAGACAAUUUUUGGAAUUAGAUACAUACCAAUACCAUAUUUUGGAAAGACAAUUUUUUUAGGAACGAUUAAACCGAAAAUUACAUUGAUAGUCAAUGUGAAACGUAAAUUACACAGACUUACCAUUGGAGGCACCUAGAACGUGCGAUGUACCCGAGGAUGCGCCGUGCGUUAUAGAGAUCCUCCAAUUUCUAUAUUAUAAUGGUUGUUACCUGACCGUUACAAUAUAGCCGUUGGAGGGCCCCCUAGAACGCACCGGACAUCAAACUUGCAUAAAUUGAAAUAAUCAAAGUAUCAAUAGUUCAUCGAGAAACACCUAGGGUUCAUCUAAUCUAAGUAAGGAGGAUUUUAUCUACUCAUAAUCAUGAAGAACAAGGCGAAAUCAACAAAGGAAAACAUUGAAAUCGGAUUCACAAGAAAAAACCUAAUUCUGUGAGAACCAUCGAAGAAAUCAAUCUGCCUAUCUUGAUAACGUCGUCGUCGAUCCAAACUCCUUGAAGUCGAUGUCUUGUCGUUACUAAAAAUUCUCUAUCCCAAAUUUCGCCUAAAAGACCCACUCCUUCAAAGAAUGAAAAACUAGUCUUUAAUAGGAAAGAGUUCCUUGUUGGGCAAAGAGUUUGACUUUUUGCCUCUAAAUAGUUGACCGUCAUGCUGAUCUCCUAUCGACAGUUCUAGACCAAAAUAUUGAGAGUUUUGGCCGAAGUUAAUUUCACCAAAGUUGUAGGAAAUUUAACUAGAUUUCCAAUGCCACAGGUCUUGGAUCAAUUGGACUUCUAAGCAAGGACUUAUGCAUAAUACUAACCUGUCAUUUUCUUUUCAAGUUGAGAUCUUGCGCUUCUUGGGCUUUUUAAGUUGUCCCGACAUGUCCAAAUGCUUCACAUUUUUUUCCUAUACCAUCCACACAAGCCAUAUCACUUCGAUUAAUGCCUCAAUGUCGUCAUGUACCUGAAAUCUAUAAAAAACACUGCAAAACGACAUCAAAUGGCCCACGAACAGGUCAGAGACACUAAAUCGACAUAUUAUAUUAAAAUGCAUAAAACAUCAUAAUCUUCUACCCAAAGUAAUAUAAUUAUGCAUGAAAUAUAACUGAAAUGAGGGCGAUCAAUGUGGCAAAUCUAGCGUCAUCAUAACUAUUUUUCUCAAAACAUCGGAGUUGAGUAUGUCGGUGGUCACUGUCGGAGGGUGGAGAUAAGUUCAACACCGACGUACGCCCGAUCGAUUACUCUGUUUCUUCAAAAAAUGAAGAUCCCUGAGGCUCCGAUCCUCCACAACAUAUAUUAUCUUCAUCCUAUGAUGGUCGGUGCUAGUAUCUCGGAGUAUUGCCUCCGACCAGGCACCGAUGAAGAUUUUCCAGGCGUUCAACAACUUGGAGCUGUAUUUCGAGUUUGACUAUGCCAUCGAGAUAGAUAUUGGUUUUGUUGGUUGAUAAGGCUAGAAUUUGUACCAAUUAUCUAUCCUUAUAUGCAUGUUUUUUGAGUGAUUAUUAGUUUGUUCGAGCUUCAUUCUCGUGUGAUGUCGUGUUUUGGCAUUAUGUGCCUAGACCAGUUCAUUUGAACCGUUUCGUUCCAUUUGAUGUGUUUCUUUGUAGUAUUUUUUGUCCACAGGUACUCUAGAGAUAGGUGGUCUAAUUAUGAAGCUAUGAACGUGAAGUAGAGUACGGUUGGAGCUGGAACGGAAGAUCAAGAAAUGAGAUGGAGGAGAUCUCGGCCCUAAAACAGGGGAAUUUUUGUGCACCCCUGCACGUUGUUCCUCUCUUUUAACUAUGCAAAAUUUUGAAGAAAAGGAGGUGCACCCUCCAGUUUCAGCAGCUUCCUACAAAAGGGCAGAUUUUGAGGAAAGAGAGCAUUCUUCCCCAAACUCGUUUUCUCUCAAUUUUUCCCGACUUCCCUCUGUGAAAACCAGCAAUAAUCCUCCCCUAGAAGCUCAAUUGAAGAUCCAAAGGUGUUCCUAUCAAAGAUUAAAGUUAGGAUUGAAGCUAGAAGAUUAAAAGCGACGAUUGGAGGAAGAACAAGUCGUUGUCUCUUCAAUAAGAUGUGAUUAGGGUUUCUUUUGAUUUUUCUUCUUCUAGAGUUAUGAGUAGCUAAGUUUUCGAGUUUCUUGGUUGAGAUGUAGGAUUUGAGCCAUGAUACCUGUCUUGAACGUUUAGAAACGACGAUUGUGGAUAAUUGGAUUUUAAUGAAAGUUUGCUUCGAUUGUUGGGUUUUCAACCUAAUUCUUGUUACGGCUUGAAUUAGGUCAAAUCUAUGAAAUCCUUUGGUUGAUACACUUAGGAAUUCAUAAAGUUAACAGUCAAAGAUAGAUGAAAGUUAUCGGUGGAGUAAGCCGAUAACCCAAUUCUACGUUUUGUAUUUCUUUUAGUUUUAAAAGUUAUUCAUCAAGUAAUUGGCAGGCGCUCUGGUUUGCACCCAAUGGACCAAGUUGGGUGUAGUUAUCAGUAGCUUAGGCAUUGAUGGACCAAGUUAAUGCUAUUUCCAAUUACUCGUAAUUUCAUUUAAUUCCGAAAGAACACCUUAUCACUUUAUAGAACUUCUUGGUGUUCAUUACCGGCUAGCCUGAUUAAGGUUAUUUAUACCUUAGUUGGGAAGCUAGUAAUGGUAAUCUGCGUGCAUGAUUAUGUCGUGGAUUCAUACGAGUGAUAGUAGGAUUCAUUUUAUUCAAUCCAAGUCCAAUAUUUGUUCGUUUCGAAUGCAUUUAAGAAAUUGAGCUUGAUGACUCAUCUUUUCCAAGAACUUGUUUUCUCCUUUUGAAUCAACCUUUGAACUGUUAGUUUUAAUUAACCUUAAAAUCAUUAGCAACCAAAACCAAACUGUUAGUCUAAACCGUGUUAGCGAGUUUGAGCAGAAGCAUAAUGAGAGGAACCUUUGGACAAAAACGACACUUGCAUUGUCGGGAUAACUGUGAAGUUAUUUCGGCGAUCAAGUUUUUGGCACCGUUGAAAGAACUUAGUUGACGUGGCUUUAUACAUUCGACUCCAUGUAUUGUUUUAUCCCGCUUGAUUUACAUGGGUUGUUAGUGUUUGAGUUCAUAUGCAGGUUUAUAGUUGGAAUGGAGAGUGGCAAGGUCCCUAUGGUGCAAGUAAUGAGGAUGAAGGUUGGAGCUCAUAUCCUAACCAACACCAACAUUAUGAGCAUCAAGGGCCACCAAACUACUACCAAACUAGCUAUGAAGGAGAACAACAACAAUGGAGUGACUUUGGGCAAGGAGCAAUGCCAAGUUUGGCUGCACACCAAUCUCCACCACCUUUCUACCCAGACUCACCUUUAACUUACUGUCACCAAGACUCACCUUCAACCUACUUCCACCAAGACUACAAUCAAGAUCAUCCACCUUUUGAUGAUUAAUUGCUCAAGACUUGAUUAUUCAUAUCAAUCCUCUCCUUCCAUGAACGAGCAACUCAUUAUGCUACUUGAGGUGAGUCGCCGCCAACUAGAGACAUCAGAGGAACAAAGACACCGUUUGGCACAACUUACGGAGGAACCUCCUCUCCCACCACAAUUGGAGGAGGUUGAGAUGAAUGAUCAUGAUUUGGGCAUGACAUCCGAGCAAAACAGAUGAGGAAGUGGAAGCAUCUUCAGUCACCAAAGACAAACAACCGACGCAUGAUGAAAAAGUAGAGGGGUUCGAAGAGGAGGACGAUUCCUCCUAUGAAGACCACCUACAUGAAUGGUAUUUGAGAUUAGAGAUGUAUGCACGAGCCGAUGGGUAAGAAGGUGAAUCAACAAUCUACCUUGAAGACUUCUCAAUCCCAAAGGACAAAUACACAGAUAAUGAUGUUGGGGUAGAAGAGUCCGAAAGGGAAGAUGAUGGAGAGUGGAAGGAAGAAAUACAUGAAGAUAUAGGGCCUUCCAAAUUCGACAUUGCACCUCCUAUUGAAAAACCCAUCAUUUGGCAUUUUCCUCAAGUCGUGGUUCCAAUGAGACCAAACGAGACCCUUCAAGACUCAUGUUUGGUUUUGAAGUACCUAUUUGAGGAAACUCAUAAGGAGUACUUGCCACACCGGUCUAGAACGGACUCCUCCAUCUCGGGACCACCCUUGGACGAACUCAUCGACCGUUUGAGUACCACCAUUAGCUUGGGGAGAAUUGCAGACCUCAAUUUUCACUCACGAACCUACCUCUACCCUCCUCAAGCAUACACAUCGACAAAGAGGAAGCUACAAGAAGGGGAAGAGUUGGUGUGCACAACCGCUUCGGCUCUUCCAUCUCUCUCUAGGGGUGCUACUUGUCAUUCAACUCCAAUCCUUGAAGAAGCUAAUGUAAUUUAAAGAGAUUCUAAAUUGAGGAGCGUAAUCCAGGUAUUGUCUACCUCAAAGACGAAACAGAAAGAGCGCUCUUGGGAGGCACCCCUUGCGUAUCCAUUGUUAGAAUAGAUAUUAAAAGACCAAGGACUGUUGGUUUGUGUGUCUUGUGGUAUAUCUUUUGUGUCAGUCUUACGAUUGAGUCAAGUUUUGAGUAUGUUGAUAGUGUCCAAUUUGAUCGUUGUUGCCAAAUGAAUGCUAGGGAGUUGUGCUUAUUCAAUGUUUGUGUUUGAUGAUUGUUGUCGAAGGUUGAAUUAAAAUGUUGCUGUAAAUCUAGCCUGCAUGCCGUGCAUGGCUAGAUUGUUUCGAAACCUUCGUAGCAAAAAAGGUAUGCACGCCGUGCACCCCUUUUCUGAAAAUUCAUCUUCCCAGAGUUUGUUUCCAUACGUUCCACAUUAGUUAUUUCGCGAGGACGCGAAAAUUCUAAGUGUGGGGGGCGGGGGGGUGGGUUUGGUUUUGAUUGAUUGGUUAACUUUUGUGCUUCAAUGGGACCCUUGUUAACGGAUGAUAACACUUGUUACAUCUAUCACUAGUUUGUUGUUUUUGGUAUUUAUGUUAUGGUUAGCAGGUCCCGAAUAAAGGUUCUAUCACAUCUCACUAUCAAACUUCAUUUUAUCGGUAUCUCCUACUCUCUUCUCUAAAUGUAAUCUUGAUGUCUACCGGCUUUGUGAACAAUUAAUUCCCCUAUCGAGUCGCUCUAGUUUUUUAAAGUCAUAGUUGACUUGAUGGUCCGAAUAAGGUGCAAAAGAGNNNNNNNNNNNNNNNNNNNNNNNNNNNNNNNNNNNNNNNNNNNNNNNNNNNNNNNNNNNNNNNNNNNNNNNNNNNNNNNNNNNNNNNNNNNNNNNNNNNNNNNNNNNNNNUGUGGGUCGGGGUUUUUCAGGUAAACUCGGUCUAUGUGGAUGAGAGCCUUAGCCCGAUCAAGGUCGCAACUACCCCCACUUGGAAAGAUACCUUCUAAAGCUAUACAAUUUUUUUGAAAAGUGGGUUUGGAAUUAAUUGAGUAAUUCAGUUGACCCAAAAGUGUUUAGUAUAUCAUGUAUAGUACAAUUGCAAAAGAAGAGGGAAGUCCUCUGAUUCGAAUACAUUAUUAAAGUAAGCACUCCCUCCCUUAGGACGGGGAAAAUACCCGGCCAGGACCACCUGUUUUGAGCAUAGGUGAGAGGGGAAAUGUUUUUGUCGGUGGGUGUUGAGUGGUAUGAAAUAUAUGCAUAGGUUUUUUCUUCAUUUGGAUUAGAAGACUCGGUAAAUAUAACUAUGUGGUUUGGUGAUCUAAGGUGUAUUCUUGGCAUCGUGAAGUUGGCUUGAACUGCUAGCAUGUUGUUUCCUUUUCACCAUGUUUAGAGUUUGCUUAGAGUGCGAAAAGUAAAGUUGCUUGAGGACAAGUAAGAUUUAAGUAUGGGGGAUUUGAUAAGGCUAGAAUUUUUAGCAAUCAUCUAUCCUUAUAUGCAUGCUUUUUGAGUGAUUAUUAGUUUGUUCGAGCUGCAUUCUCGUGUGAUUUCGUGUUUUGGCAUUAUGUGCCUAAACCCGUUCAUUUGGACAAUUUUGAGUCCAUUUGAUAUGUUUCUUUGUAGUAUUUGUUGUCCCCAGGUACUUUAGAGAUAGGUGGUCUGAUUAUGAAGCUAUGGACAUGAAGUAGAGCACGGUUGGAGCUAGAACGGAAGAUCGAGAAAUGAAAUGGAGGAGCAGAGGGGCUGCACGCCGUACAACACUAGGAUUUUCAAAAUCUCGGCCCUAAAUUAGCGGAACGUCGUGCAUCCCUGGAUGCCGUUCCACCCUUUUAACUACGUAAAAUUUUGAAGAAUAGGAGGUGCACGCUGCACGGCGUGCACCCUCCAGUUUCAGCAACUUCCUACAAAAGGGCAGAUUUUGAGGAAAGAGAGCAUUCUUCCCCAAACUCGUUUUCUCUCAAUUCUUCCCUACUUCCCUCUGUAAAAACAUGCAAUAAUCCUCCCUUAGAAGCUCAAUUGAAGAUCCAAAGGUGCCCCUAUCAAAGAUUGAAGCUAGAAGAUUAAAAGCGACGAUUGGAGGAAGAACAAGUCAUUAUCUCUUCAACAAGAUGAUGGUCAGGGUUUCUUUUGAUUUGUCUUCUUCCAAAGUUAUGAGAAGCUAUGUUUUAGAGUUUCUUGGUUGAUAUGUAGGAUUUGAGCCAUGAUACCUGUCUUGAACGUUUAGAAAUGGUGAUUGUGGAUAAUUGUAUUUUAAUGAAAGUUUGCUUCGAUUGUUUGGUUUUCAACCUAAUUCUUGUUACGACUUGAAUUAGGUCAAAUCUAUGAAAUCCUUUGUUUGAUAUACUUAGGAAUUCAUAAGGUUAACAGUCAAAGAUAGAUGAAAGUUAUCGGUGGGGUAAGCCGAUAACCCAAUUCUACCUUUUGUGUUUAUNNNNNNNNNNNNNNNNNNNNNNNNNNNNNNNNNNNNNNNNNNNNNNNNNNNNNAUAACCCAAUUCUACGUUUUGUAUUUCUUUUAGUUUUAAAAGUUAUUCAUCGAGUAAUUGGCAAGCGCUCUGGUUUGCACCCAAUGGACCAAGUUGGGUGUAGUUAUCAGUAGCUUAGGCAUUGAUGGACCAAGUUAAUGCUAUUUCAAAUUACUCGUAAUUUAUUUUAAUUCCGAAAGAACACCUUAUCACUUUGUAGAACUCCUUGGUGUUCAUUACCGGCUAGCCUGAUUAAGGUUAUUUCUACCUUAGUUGGGAAGCUAGUAAUGGUAAUCCGCGUGCAUGAUCAUGCCACGGAUUCAUACGAGUGAUAGGAGGAUUCAUUUUAUUCAAUCCAAAUCCAACAUUUUUUCAUUUUGAAUACGUUUCGGAAGUUGAGCUUGAUGACUCAUGUGUUACAAGAACUUGUUUUCUCCUUUUGAAUCAACCUUUGAACUGUUAGUUUUAAUUAACCUCAGAAUCAUUAGCAACCAAAACAAAUCAUGUUAGUCGAAACCGUGUUAGCGAGUUUGAAUAGAAGCAUAACAAGAGGAACCUUUGGACAAAAACGACACAUGCAUUGUCGGGAUAACUGUGAAGUUAUUUCGUCGAUUAGUGGUCAAUCCCCGAAAACCGGUUACUUUGAACAUUCCGGUUCACAGAACAUGGAAGAAGCGUCUCAUUAUGCUGAACACGAGGUUGCCGAUGAGGUUGAGUACGAGGCUGAAAACAACGAUGCGUAAGGGGCCAGCGGGGAUGGUGAUGCAUCGAGCGAGGAUGAUGACGGAACGUCUGUUGGCCCACUCAAUCAAGAAGGGAAGGAUUUUGAUGUCAUAUUCGGAGGAGAAGCUGCAUCAUCGUCUCGUGUCCCUCCAUGACAGUACACUGCACCCGAGUUGUACACAACUUUGGGGGACAACAUUGACAAGGUCAUGACUGCGGACCAUUACAAGGGUGAUCUUGAAAUCCAUGAUUUUGACCCCACCGUUGAUUUCUACAUCGGCCAUUUUUUUAUACAGAGAAGGUGGCAAGUCUUGCUGUCAAACACCAAACCCGCCAGUAGAACCGUGCGUUGGCGACAACCUGCUCAAAGACUUGGGGAUUAAAGGUUAGGUGUUUGUGAAACCCGCCUCUAAACGACCCUUUUAAACAACGCGGUUUGACCCAUUCAACAACUUGCGGGUUCCACUUGAUUUGCUUGAUUAAUAGCAUAUUUGUUCCCUCUUUAACUUGACAAUUUGGACAUUUGGAUGCCUUAACAUGUUACUUUGGUGCAUAUUUGGUUCCACUUGGCCCCUUGGGCCGUGUUACAUUGCUUUGUAUGUUUUGGGUACAUUUCAGCUGUCAUAUGACGUCUCGGGGUGAAUCAAACCAUGACGGGGAGGCUGGACAACUCGGUACGUUCGACUUGGGAAGAAAACGUUACAGUUUAGUAUUUUGAGAAUACAUCAUCACUUAGAAGUCCGAUUAAUGCAAGGUCAACAAAGUUCGAAAGAUAACUUGAUUAUCUAUAACUUUAUUGUUGACGUCGUGUCCAAAAUAUGUAUAUUUAUAAAACACGGCAUAUGUUAUCAAAACACGGGCGUGUCUUAGCAAGCCGGAGCCACGGGAAGAAUAACACAUGGCUGUGUGUUGAUAAUACACGUCGUGUGUUAGCUUUUGACAAGAUUUUGGGCCUAAAUCCUUCUCCAAUUUGGUCUAGAACCUUAUAUAUACCCUUGAGACUCAUUUGGACGAGAGAGACUUCAGUAUACACAUAUUUUCGAGCUUUUAGAGAGAGCUACAAUUCCAAAGAGACAAUCAAAGUGAGAGGAUCAACCACGAUUGGCUAAGGGCGAAUCAUCAAGUUGAAGAUUGGGAUUUCCAUGAUAAAUAUGUUGUCUUCUCCAGUUUUACUUCUCUUCUCUUGUGAUUUCGUUUUCAAAACCAUGAGUACCUAAUCUUUUUGUGUUAUUUGGAUUAGAUGAAAUUUUAGCUUAGCUUUUGUAUCGAUGAUGGGUUUCUAAACCCGUUGUCGUGAACGUUCUCGUCCGCCCGGCGACGACCUGAAAUUGUUCGGAAUCGCCACCAAUCGCUUAAAAGUCGAUUGGACACUUGGAGCUCGAUUCAGGCUUCAGAACCUAAACCGGGCAUGGUCUGCAUUCAGAUAUCUGGGUAAGGGGUACGGUUACGUGUGGGGAAGGAUUAGCACCCCCAUAGUGCCCGGUAACCCGGUACUACAAAAAUCGAUAAGCUUGAUGUGUUUUAUUCAAUGCACUUAAUUUUUUAUUGUGUGGUUUGCCUGUCCUAACUCUUGUGAGGACUAAAGCCGCAGUACGGUUAUAUUUUUAUAAAACAGUUCAAAAAGAAAAGUCGAUAAAUUAUUUUAAAUUUAGAAAGAGGAUAAAUUGUUUUAAAGUUAAAAGAAAUUGAUAAAUUGUUUUAAAGUUGGAAAUAAGAUGAUAAAUCGUUUUAAAGUUAGGAAAACUAGUAAUUUGUUUUGAAGUCGAAAAGAAAAUAGUGAAUUGUCUUAACGUUUGAAAAAAGAUAAUAAAUUAUUUUUUGAGUUGGGAAGAAAAUAAUAAGUUGUUUUAAAAUUGGGAAUAAAACGAUAAAUUGUUUUAGAGUUGGAAAGAAAAUAACAAGUUGUUUUAAAUUUUGGAAAUAAAAUGAUAAAUUAUUUUAAAUCGGGAAGAAAAUAAUACAUUGUUUUAGAGUCGGAAGAAAAAAAAUAAAUUGUGUUAAAGUUGGAAAGAAAAUACUAAGUUAGUUUAAGUUGGACUCGAGUCUUUUAAUGGCCUACGUACCUGGGGCUAGGGAUCAAAGCCCACGUAGUUCGAUUUGAAAACGGUGAUCGAUUUGAAAACGCUGAUUUGAGGUGCAACCGAAUAGCUGCCGUUUUUUUUCUCUACUCUUUUCCAUCGACGGCGACGCCGCCGCCGCUCCCCCUUUUUUUCUCUUUUUCUUCUUCUCCGCCUCCGGCGGCGCUCCCUCUCUCCUUUUCCUUUCCUUCUUUUCUCUCUUCUCUCUUCUUCUUCUUCUCCGCCUCCGGCUGCGCCGCCACUCCUAUUUCUUCUAUUCUUUUCUUUUCCUCCAGCGGCGGGGGGGGGGGGGCGGCGCCCACCCGCCCCUUCCCUUCUUUUUUUUUUUCUUUUUUUUUUUUCUUCUUCUUUUUUUACUUUUUUUCCUAUUUUUUUUUUUUUUUUAAUUGACAAGGCUUUCUCUUUUUUGUCUUCUUUUACUUUCUCGCAUCCGCCUCCGUCUCCCCUAUUCUCCCACAACGUCAAAAAAAGGAAAAUAAAAGGAAGAAAAGGUAAACAAAAUAUGGAACUCCUCUUCUUACUUAAGUUUGUUUUCUGUUUUCUUCGAUUCGGGAUUGCAUGUCGUCUACAAGCCCCGAUUUGUAGAACUAAGGUUUGAAUUUUUUAUUUUUGUGGUCUUUUUCUUAUUUUUGUUGUCUUUAUUUUUCUUUUUGUUUUUAAUAGAGUUGGGGAUCGGUGAAGCUAGACUGGAGAAGCUGCAGCAAGAGACAGGAAAAGAAGUCCCCGCCGACGACAGAUCUGCCGGCCGGAGCAAUGUCUGACGAAAAAGUGUAAAAAAAUCUAAGCUCUUUGUUUAUUCUGUUUUACUUGGUUGAUGAUGGUAGUGGCUUUGUUAUUGACUAUAGGUUGCUCGAAAAUUUGACUGUUUUGUUGUUGAAGCUAAACCAAAAAUCUAAGUGUUUAUGCAAAUGAUUUUCCGUUUGAAAACUUUGAUCAAUUGAUCAAUUUUAGGAAAAUUCCAGCAAUCAUGUUUAACAAAAAAGCACUUGUUUUAGCUCCCCUUUUAUGAGUAGUCUUAUAAUUCUUGAGUAAUCGACACAAAUGGUAUACAAUGGUAUUAAAUGGUCGUGGUAGCCUCUUGUCAACGUUUUCCAGCAACCCUUUAUUAAAUAAAGAAGUUUCAUUUUUUCAGCUAGUGUUAGUUUUAGAGAGUCGUUUAGUUAUUCAAUUACGAAAGUCAUUUGACUGUAAGUAGCUUAUAUGCUUAUAUAUAAUAUAACAUGCAACACUGACAGGUAUAUCAAUAUGUUUAGGAUUUAAGAUAUGAAAGAUAGGUUAAUGACUGAGAAUUAUGAAAAGGGCUUGUUUGGGGGUACCGACCUUUGAAAACUGAUUUUUGUUUCUCCUUUGAAUUGUGGACGCGACUUCCGGCGGUUUGCUCCAAGAGUUUGGGACUUCGGAAGCUUUGCGAUGGAUUCUCGAAGGAACACUCAAAGCGCUUAUGUUUGUACUUUUAUGCUUUAUUUUGUGGUGGGAUUGGGGUGUAAUGAAUUUAGAAUGUAAUGGACUUAGGGUGUAGUGGGAUUAGGGGAUUUUUGGGGAGUUUUUCGUUGUAAUCGGUAGGUCCUUCUUCGUUCUCUCCCCCCUCCCUCGAAAAAAAUUCAAUGGUACUUUUAAAUGAACAAAGGGGCUACCACCUCCCUUGAAAACGAAUCACAAUUCAACACCCAUGCUCUAACUUAAAAGAGAGAUGGCAGCUCCCUGAUUGGUUACAGUAACGAGCCCGACAUCGGGCCAAAAAUCGGGCCUGAAAUCGGACCCGAAAAAAGAUCAAAAAUUCGAUGUAAAGUAGAGUUACGUAAUGAAAAAAACUCGAAGACCCGGAAAAAAUUUGGUUACUACAGUUGCCCCUCUCUGUAUUACUUUUGUUUACCACAAAAAGUAGUACAAAGACAGGAACCAAAUUUUGAAGGGUUCAUCAAAUUAUACUUCCAUUUAUUUCCUUUUGUUUAUGUUUAUGUUUUGUUUUUUUUUAUUUUUUUCAAUUUUAUAUGGAGUAUUAAUAACACGAUACUAUGAAUACGGUUUAAUUUAACCCAGGACGUUAGUGUGAAUGUACUAGGGAUUCAGCUUGACUUAUUUCCUAUUCCAAGGUGCGAUCCGUUUAACCCAGGUUGCUAGGGUGAAUGUACUAGGGAUUCAGCUUGACUUAUUUCCUAUUCCAAGGUGCGAUCCGUUUAACCCAGGUUGCUAGGGUGAAUGUACUAGGGAUUCAGCUUGACUUAUUUCCCGUUCCAGAGUGCGAUUUGUUUAACCCAGGAUGCUAGGGUGAAUGUACUAGGGAUUCCGCUUGACUUAUUUCCCGUUCCGGCGUGCGAUCAGUUUGCCCCAGGAUGCUAGAGGUGGAUGUACUAGGGAUUCAGCUUGACUUAAUUCCCGUUCCAGGGUGCGAUCUGUUUGAUCCAGGAUGUUAGGGUGGAUGUAGUAGGGACUCAACUUGACUUAUCUCUCGUUCCAGGGUGCGAUCCGUUUGACCCAGGAUGCUAGGGUGAAUGUACUAGGGACUCAGCUUGACUUAUUUCCCGUUCCAAUGUGCGAUCCGUUUGACCUAGGAUGCUAGGGUGGAUAUACUAGGGACUCAGCUUGACUUAAUUCUCGCUCCAGGGUGCGAUCCGUUUGACCCAGGUUGCUAGGGUGAAUGUACUAGGGACUCAGCUUGACUUAUCUCCAAUUCCAAGGUGCGAUCCGUUUGACCCAGGAUGCUAGGGUGAAUGUUCGAAAGAUGUAAUUCAUUUAUAGCGCGAAUGCAAGACAGCUUUCAAAAUAUGCAAUUUGUUAUAGCUUGAAUGCAAGGCAAUUUUUUAAAGGUGCAAUUCGUUUAUAGCCCGAAUGCAAGACAACUUUUAAAGGAUCCAAUCCAUUUAUAGCCCGAAUGCAAGACAAUUUUUUAAAGGUGCAAUUUGUUUAUAGCCUGAAUGCAAGGAAAUUUUUAAAGGUGCAAUUCGUUUAUAGCCCGAACGCAAGGAAGUUUUUAAAGGUGCAAUUCGUUUAUAGCCCGAACGCAAGACAAUUUUUAAAUAUUUGGGAUUUUUUCGAAAUGCAAUGCGCGUAUACCCGGCACGCAAGGGUUAGGAUGUUUAUAUUUUUUCCAAAUGCAAUGCGUUUAUAUCCUGCACGCACGGGUGUAAAUAUUUGGAUUUUUUUCAAAAUGGAAUGCGUUUAUACCCGACAUCCGAGGGUGUAAAUAUUUGGAUUUUUUUCAAAAUGCAAUGCGUUUAUACCUGGCACGCAAGGGUGUAAAUAUUUGAAUAUUUUUGAAAUGCAAUGCGUUUAUACCCAGCACGCAAGGGUUUAAAUAUUUGAAAUGAGUCAUGGUGAAUGCAUUUGAGAUGCAUGAUAUUAAAAUCAAGUUAAUAGGAUUGUUUUGGGAUAUUUAUCAUGAUUUUGUUGAUGUAUGAAUAACAUUUGAUGUAUGUGUUUGAUAAUUUUACAUGUUAUAAGGAUGAAAAUUUAUUGACGAUUUUAAUUUAUGAGACGAAAGGUUCCUGAAAACCAUAUGAGUUUUAAUGCGAUAUGCCUAUGAUGAUGAUGAUGAUGAUGCACUAAAUGAUAAUUUUUGGAGUUUAAUUGUGCAUGCAGCGAAGAUGGAAACUUAUAUGAUUGAGCCAAUACGCCCGAUUUUGUAAUUAAUAGUGAUCAUUUUAAGACAUGAUGCAUGAUGAAUCUCAAAUGCAUGUAAGAAGUUUAGGGAUGAAUUUAAAAUUUGGUAAAUGAGAAAUUAGAUUAAUUAUAAGAUUUUGAAUGCUCGAUGAACCGAUGAAUGCAGUUACGAUAAGCUAUAUGCUAGAAUGAAGCAUGCUUUAUUUCUAUUUAUAUUUUCCUUUUUACCUUUUUUUAACAAUCGAAACGAUAAAUUGAUAUUACUAUUCCAUAUGUAAGACAAUAAGUGAUGAAAAGUUUCGAUUGAUGUUCUCAAUUAGCCGGUGUGAUGAACUUUGAACUUUGGUAAUAAGACACAUGACCAUAUGACUAGGCAUAUGUAGUUGUUUUUCAAAUUGGAGACACAUACGUAAUUUUGCUUUAUUUUAUGUGAAAGAGUACGAAUUUGAAGUGAUAUGUCUUUGACGGGUACAUGAAACAUAAAUGUAGAAUUAUAAGAAAAUGCCUUUUCAAAAAUCCCUUUUGGUGAAUGGGGCAUAGAUAUGAUAUUUUUUGGAAAUUUUGGAAAGACACAUACGAGAAUAUCAUUUAGGAACCUAGAAAUUUCUUAUCAAUAAUUAACUGUAUCUUUCAAGCUUGGACUUAAGCUAGAGCUAUCUCUGGUCGUAGCUGGCUCGGGGCUUCAAUUGGGUUCUGAAACGGCAUAAGACUUGGUAAUAAUGUCUGGAGCAUUACUUGAUGAUCAUGCCCCUUGAUAUGAUCGUUUGACUGAUGUCUACUUGGAGUGCGUCUAGUGAGUAGAUUCGACUCCUUCUCAAUGGAGAUGAUGAUUCUUUGUAACUGGACGGUUAUGAAUUCAUUAUGACGAAUGAUCACUUAUAGCUCUCUUUCUGUUUUUAGCUCUUUUUUAGGUGAACAAGUGCACUUAUCGGGACAAUAUAUUUGACUUCUUUUUGGGAACAUGUCGGAAGUUGUGUUUUGAAGACAUCUCUAUGUGCUAUAGUACAAAGCAAAUUUUAGAACAAAUGAAGAUUUUCAUAAUUUAAGAGGAAUUCGAAAUUUCUUUUGAUCAAAUGGAAAUCGAUAUUCAUCUCAUUAGUAAAUUUGCAUAUUUAACUCAAAGGAACGGACACAUCGUCGAUCUUAGCUAGACUUCUCACGUGGAUAAGAAAUGGACACAUCAUCAAUCUUAGCUAAACUUCUCACGUGGAUAUUUUGGUACGUGUAUGUAUGAGACGUACUUACUCUCUAGUUUAUCGGCUCUGAUUUUUGGGUUAGGUGUUUCACUCAUUCAUUUUCCUUAUCUAGACAGUCGCCAUAGGCUUGUAAUGCAACUAAUUCUCCACUACGCAUAAUGCAAAUGACAUAUCAAGAGGGCUUUUCUAGAUUUAUGGUAAAUGCCUUGGGAUAAUGGUAGGGAUAAUUUUUUUUUACUAAUAUUUUUGUGAGCGAUGGUACGAGCUGGUGUAACAAUCGGGUAGCAUGCUUGUCUUGGUCAACUUUGAUUGAUGAUGACUCGAUAAGUGAAGAAACUGCCUGAUAACGUUGGCUCGUGAGCAUUUUUUAGCUCUUGUUGUAUCAACUUGGGUAUAUGCGAGGCGCGUCGGUUGAUGUAAGAUUGUGGAUCCUCUAACUUAUGAGAUUAAUAACUUAGAUCCCUUUUUCUCCUUUUUUGUUCUUUUUUUUUAUUUUGGGACGCAAUCUUUGAAAAUUUUGAUGACUUUUUUUUAAUUUUUUUUGUUAUAGCUUCAACUGUUCCUUGCUAAUAGUCGUCAAUAUUGAGCUGACCUAGAUUAACAUGCAUACUAGGUUAUUGCAUCAAGCUAUUAACUUUGAAGGGAUAUUGAAAUAUAGGAUAUGAGUUUGAAUUGUGUGUUAUAUGGAAGAAAAGGCUAAUGUUGGGUUGUCUAUAUAAUUUUGUUGGGUGGGCUUCUUUUUUUGGGGAUAAUCCUAAUGCCUCUGUCAUUUAUGUCGUUAUUGAAAAAUCAUGUGGUCUUGAACCGGUCUCAUGCAAGUUCUAGGAGUGUUUCGACAAGGAGAACCUCUCAAAAUAAAUAAAAAGAAAAAUGUUUUGAUUGAUGGAUGAAUGAGACCUCGCAUGGCUGCUAGCAACAUUCCUUCUUCAUUAAAUAUGCAAACCUUUCCAUCUAAUAAAAAGAAAGUUCAAUUAACCUUUUAAAUUAUGAUCUUGAUUGUUCUCGAGUUUGGUCGGGGAUUUUGAUUGGACAGUAUUUGUGAAGAGAGGUGGAGAUAAUAAUUUUGGUGAAAAUGGUGGGGAUUAAAAAAAUAAAAAUAAAAAAAUAAAAAAUGAAGAUGAAAUAAUGUGACGAUAAAAUGCACUUGGUUACUUAUUGAUCCCUUUUUUAUGCGAUACAAACUCAUAACCAUCCAGUUAUUUAGAAUCAGAGUUCUGAAUUUCUCAUAAUUUUACUCCAUGCUGCUUGAUAAAGGAGGGUAGUCGACGUUGUUGAUGCCCCUGGAUUUCUUGUGCCAAUGAGAGAUAGCUUUUGAUCUCGUCCAAUAUUUGAUGACGCGGUUUUUUCAUUGAUAAGAAAAUUGAAGAAUUCAUUGAAAUUUAUUUUUUAUGAUUUUUGAUAAAAUAAUGUGCAAGUUACGUAUCUACAUGCCCCAAAAAUAAAUUUUUACUUGAAUGAAUAUGAAUUUUGAUUGAUAAGCUAAUUAUGAUUAUGAGAACAAUUUAAAAAUUUCAUUUUGAUUAGAAAUGGAAGUGUCGAGGAUGACACGAAGUUGUUGCUAUUUUCGCAAAUAAAAUUUUUAUAAUUAUGGAGAUUAGGUUUUGGAUGCACGUGAUGAAUAUUUAAAAUGCAUGAUGACAUGAAUUUAUUGGGUGUGUGCUCAUGAUUAUGAGUAUGGUAAAAGUAUUGAACAUUUGAACACAUAAUGCUUAUGCUAUAUGUUUGCAUAAUUUAUGAAGACAAUACUCUAGAUGCAUAUAGUAGUGUUGAAUAUGAUGGUAUUUUUGUUUAAAUUAGAGAUAAUUAUAAUAAUUUUAUUUUGAUUAGAAAUGAAACUAUCGAAGAUGACAAGAAGGUGUUGCUAUUUACAAAUAAAAAUUUUUAAAAUGUUCUUCAAAAGGGGCUUAUGAAAAUUCCGGCGACAUAAGUAUAUAAAGAAGCAAAUUCAUAGGAAAGUAGACAAUAGUGCGGUAUAAGGAAGAUUAAAACGCAUAAUCUUAUUGUCGGGAAGCCUUAGGUCUUUGCGCGAUAAGAAAAGGCGUCCAUAGGAUCUAAACCUAGGCUGGUUAAGGGAGGUUGCUAGGCGAACUAUAUGAGGGCAAUGAGGCUAAUCCUGGUAUACUCGAUACUGGGAUGAGGAUUCACGCGGCCCUACUCUUAUAAAGGCAAACGCUACUACACUCAAAAUUCUACCUAAGGGUAAAGCUCGGGUAUAGAGCAUGCAGCUGCAUGCAUACUUAUAAAGUAAAGGACGCACCAAAAAAAGUACACAUAUCAAACGAAGAAAGAUAGACUUAUCGAGAUUUAAACGCAGCUUUCCCCUUUGGAUAGUUCUCAAGAUCCCCAGCGGAGUCGCCAUCUGUCGUGAACGUUCUCAUCCGCACAGUGAUGACCUGAAAUUGUUCGGAGUCGCCACCAAUCGCUUAAAAGUGGAUUGGACACUUGGACCCCGGUUCAGGCUUUAGAACCUAAAACGGGCAUGGUCUGCGUUCAGAGAUCUAGUUAAAGGGGAGGGUUACGUGUGUGGAAGGAUUAGCACUCCUACAGUGCCCAGUAAACCGGUACUACAAAAAUCGAUAAGCUUGAUGUGUUUUAUUAAAUGCGCUUAAUUUUUCACUAUGUGGUUUGCCUGUCCCCACUCUUUUGAGGACUAAAGCCGCAGUACGGUUAUAUUUUUAUAAAACAGUUCAAAAAGGAAAGUCGAUAAAUUAUUUUAAAUUGCUUUAAAGUUGAAAGAAAUUGAUAAAUUGUUUUAAAGUUGGAAAUAAGACGAUAAAUCGUUUUAAAGUUGGGAAAAAUAAUAAUUUAUUUUGAAGUCAAAAAAAAUAGUGAAUUGUUUUAACAUUUGAAAUAAGAUAAUAAAUUAUUUUUUGAGUUGGAAAGAAAAUAAUAAGUUGUUUUAAAAUUGGGAAUAAAACGAUAAAUUGUUUUAGAGUUGGAAAGAAAAUAACAAGUUGUUUUAAAUUUUGGAAAUAAAAUGAUAAAUUAUUUUAAAUCGGGAAGAAAAUAAUACAUUGUUUUAGAGUCGGAAGAAAACAAUAAAUUGCUUUAAAGUUAGAAAGAAAAUAAUAAAUUGUUUUAAAAGCUGAUUUGAGGUGCAACCGAAUAGUUGCCGUUUGUUUGGAAAUUUUUGAAAGUUUUUAUGAGUUUUAUAUUUUGCGAAUUUCANNNNNNNNNNNNNNNNNNNNNNNNNNNNNNNNNNNNNNNNNNNNNNNNNNNNNNNNNNNNNNNNNNNNNNNNNNNNNNNNNNNNNNNNNNNNNNNNNNNNNNNNNNNNNNNNNNNNNNNNNNNNNNNNNNGCGGCUGCCUACGUACCCAAUAUUUUGGGAUCAAAGUCCGCGUAGUUCGGAUGGUGUAAAAGUUGUCGAGGAUUUCGCGUAAUUUUACUAUAGCAAACAUUAUGCUACUGUGCUCGUUUUCUUUUGUUUUAAAAAACGCGUCGAAUGAUUCAUGAUGAGAUUUUUGCAAAAACUACUUUUGAGUUUCGGUAUUCCGAAUCCAUCAACACCAAUUCAAUGAUAUAUUUAUCGAGGAAAAGGCAAGGAACAAAAGAUACAAUCUGCGAUGAAUUUACUUACGAAACCCUUGGCUCACAAAUUGGAAUAUUUGUUAUUUUAUAAAGCUGAAGGAAAUAAUAAUGAUUUAUAAUUUCGGCACUUAUUUGUUGAAAUUUUUAUUAGUUGAUAUUUUGUAGGAUCCGAAACUCUUGUUCCGGGCAAAGGAUUUAUACUCGUCGCUAUAACACUUUUUUAUGGUUCAUUAUUCGUGGUAUAUUUGAUUUUAAGUCUCUUGUUUAACGGCGAUUUUUUUUAUUUUACAACGAUUUAUUUGAUUUUUAUUAAAAUUAAUUUGAUUGACCAAAUUAGAAAUAUGUCGUUGGAAGGGAAACGAACCUAGAUUCGGAUGCGUUUGGCGCAAACAUUUUUAGUGAUUCAAUGAUUUUAUUGUCGUUUAAUUAACGUUAUCAAAAUUUAAUAGGUUAAAUCGUUUUGAAUGCUUGGAAGAUUCGAUAUUUUAGGUUUUACUAUUUUUACUUUUAAAUAUCAAAUAAAAUUAGAGAAUUUAGAAUUUUGUUAUUAACCUACCCUUAUUUCGGUUUUACUCUGUUCUUAAUACAGACUUAAUAAAACUUAAUUUACACAACAUACUAAGGACAUUCUGACCGAAAUGGGCCGAACCGAAAUUUGGAACGAAAAGAGGGAGUUGAAAGGUCAAAAUUGAUGAGAAAAUUGACCAGUUCGACCACUCAUUACUCGACCCAAGACUAAAAAGAUGAAAAUACCCUUAGAUAUUUUGUCUGUCAAGAAGGAAGGUGAAUGACAAAAUCGUAACUUACCUGGCCGAUAUAAAUACUCCUCUUAAACACAAACCAGCCAUUUGAAACCCUACCUCCCUCUCUCUUCCUCUCAAUCCUCCCUUCUCUCUUCACUUUUUCACCGGCGGCGCCGUUGCCACCGCUGCCGCCCCUCUCCUCCUCCUCCUUCUUCUUUUUCUUCUCCGCCUCCGGCGGCGCUCUCUCUCUGUUUCCUUUCUUUCUUUUCUCUCUUUUUCUUCUUCUUCCUCUCCGCCUCCGGUGGCGCCGCCAAUCCCUUUUGUUCUAUUCUUUUCUUUUCCUCCGCGGCGGCGGCGGCGCCGCCCUCCCUUCUAUUCUCUUCUUUUCUUCUCUUCUUUUCUUUUCUUUUCUUUUCUUCUCUUCUUCUUGCUGCCUCUCUUUCGCCUCCUGUUUCUUCUUUCUCUUCUCCUUCUCUCUCAGCGACGGCGGCCCCGCGUCCCCCGCCCCCCCCCCCCCCCCCUUUUUUUUUUUUCUUUUUUUUUUUUUCUUCUUUUACUUUCUCAUCGCCGCCUCCGUCUCCUCUCUUCUCCCACAACGCAAAAGAAAAAAAACAGAAGGAAGGAAAGGUAAACAAAACAUAGAACCCCUCUUCUUACUUAAUUUUUUUUUCUGUUUUCUUCGAUCCGGGCUUGCAUGUCGUCUGCAAGUCCCGAUUUGUAGAUCUAAGGUUUGAAUUUUUUAUUUUUGUUGUCUUUUUCUAACUUUUGUUGUCUUUAUUUCGGUUUCUGUUUUCAAUAGAGUUGGGGAUCGGUGGAGUUGGACCGGAGAAGCAGAAGCAGAAGCAGGAGACAGAAAAAAAAGUCCCCACCGACGAGGGAUUUGCCAGCCGGAGCAGUGUCGGACGAAAAAGGGUAAAAAAAACCCCAGCUCUUUGUUUAUUCUGAUUUUACUUGGUUGAUGAUGGUAGUGGCUUUGUUACCGCCUCCGGCGGCGUCUCCCCUCUCUUUUUCCUUUCCUUCUUUGAAAAUUUGACUGUUUUGUUGUUGAAGCUAAACCGACAAUCUAAGUGUUUAUGCAAAUGAUUUUCCGUUUGAAAACUUUGAUCAAUUGAUCACUUUUAGGAAAAUUCCAGCAAUCAUGUCUAACAAAAAAGCACUUGUUUUAGCUCCACUUUUAUUAGUAGUCUUGUAGUUCUCGAAUAAUCGGCGCAAAUGGUAUAAAAUGGUAUUCAAUGGUCGUGGUAGCCUCUUGUCAACGUUUUCCAGCAACCCUUUAUUAAAUAAAGAAGUUUCAUUUUUUCAGCUCGUGUUAGUUUUAGAGAGUCGUAUAGUUAUUCAAUUACGAAAGUCAUUUGACUGUAAGUAGCUUAAAUGCUGAUAUAUAAUAUAACAUGCAACACUGACAGGUAUAUCAAUAUGUUUAGGAUUUAAGAUAUGAAAGAUAGGUGAAUGACUCAGAAUUACGAAAAGGGCUUGUUUGGGGGUACCGAGCUUUGAAAACUGAUUUUUGUUUCUCUUUUGAAUUGUAGACGCGACCUCCGGCGGUUUGCUCCAAGAGUUUGGGACUUCGGAAGCUUUGACGAUGUAUUCUCGAAGGAAUACUCAAAGCGCUUAUGUUUGUACUUUUAUGCUUUAUUUUGUGGUUGGAUUGGGGUGUAACGAAUUUAGAGUGUAAUGGACUUAGGGUUUAGUGGGAUUAGGGGAUUUUGGGGAGUUUUUCGUUGUAAUCGGUAGGUCCUACUUCGUUCUCUCCCCCCUCCCUCGAAAGAAAUUCGAUGGUCCUUUUAAAUGAACAAAGGUGCUACCACCUCCCUUGAAAACGAAUCACAAUUCAACACCCAUGCUCUAACUUAAAAGAGAGGUGGCAGCUCCCUGAUUGAUUACAGUAACGGGUCCGACAUCGGGCUGAAAAUCGGGCCUGAAAUUGGACCCGAAAAAGAUCUAAAAUUCGAUGUAAAAUAGGGUUACGUAAUGAAUAAAACUCGAGGACCCGGAAAAAAUUUGGUUACUACACCCGUGAUAUUGCUAUUGAUGUUAUUCAGGACUGUCGUGUGUUCUUGCUGAACUUGAAUUUCAGAUUCAAUUUUUUUGAUCAUCUUGAUUGAAUCUUUGUUAUCAAUUAGAGGGUCCUAGAGGAACGGUAAUUGAUAGAAGACUUAGGAAGAACUUUAGAUUCUCCGUUAGCGAGAGAGAGGAACGGAUCAUCCAGGCAUUUUGUAACGUUCUAACUGUAGCAUUUCAUCAAACACCUUUAGUGUGUUCUACAUGGUGUAUAUUACCUCGAGAGAGGAGUUUACGGUCAAGCAUAAUAUAUCCUUAGAGUCAUGAGAGCGAUCUAAGACUAUCGUAGGAGAUCGUCGAGCCAUUAUCACCUGAUUAAUUGAGAUUGCAUAUCGUUCAUCCAUGUAUUGCUAACUUUAGUGGAUUCAAAGUCAAGCAACCUUCAUCCAAUCUUUGAAACUUGAUUAAUUACAUUUGCUUUCUAUCAAUUCAGUUAUUAGUUUAUAAUUCGAAACUACAACAUUCCACCAACAUAAAAUUCAUCGUUACUUGGUCUAGUUAGCAUAUCUAAGUUGAAUAAUUUUGUUAUAAAGACCCUAGAGAAAUAAACGAUUCCAUUAGAGUAAUCUAGUGGGUAUUUGAAAGGUGGUGUAAAAUCUGCUCGUCAAAUUGGCGCCGUUGCCGGAGAAUUAUCUAAUUCUAGGAAAGACUUAGAUUCUUAGCUAUUCCUUUACUUUUCUUUUCAUAUAUUUCCUCCUACAUGGUUUAUUGAGGUUUCUUUUGAGUUCCAUUAUGCAGGAUUCCAGUUGGGAUGGACAGUGGCAAGGUUCCUAUGCUGAAGGUAACUACAAUGAAAAUUUUGGUUCGUCAUCAAACCAAUAUUAUGAGAACCAGGCCUCACGAAGUUACUACCAGCCUAAUUAUGGAGGAGAGCAACAACAAUGGAACAGAUUUGGACAAGAAUUAGAUUCAUAUUGGAAUCAAGACCAAUCUCCACCACCUUUUUUGCCAAGACUCAUCACCAACUUUCUACCACCAAAACUACCAUGAAGAUGGUUCACACUUUCAAAAUCAAUAUUCAAGGACGGUCAUAUUGAAGAUGGUCAUAUCAACCUCCACCUCCUGAAAAUACAUACAUUCAUAUGCUUUUGGAGAAAGCCAUAGCACAGAUUGGCGAAGACACUAGGCUAUCUAAGCUACGACAAAGUGAAUUUUCAAAGAUGGCAGAUCAGCUACGGCACGACUUAAAGAACAACAUUCUCGUCCUCAACCACAUGAAGAGGUUGAUUAUGAAGAUGAAUAUGAUUUGCAAGUAUCUGAAGUAGUAGAUGAAGUGGUGGAGGAGUUACCUUUCUUUCAUGACAAUCUAGUUAUCCAGGAUGACAAAUUAGAAGAGUUUGAAAGGGAGCAUGUAACCUUCCAUGAAGACAACCUAAUUUUUCAUGAUGAUAAUUAGAAUACUUUAAAGAGGAAGAUGAUGAAGAGUAUGUGGACGAGAUAUGGGAAGAUGUAGAACCUCUCUAUAAUGACAUUGUCACAGCCGUUGAGCAUUCCACCAUAGGGCGCUCCCCUCCAAUUGUGGUCCCACAAAGAGAAACUGAGACCCUUCUUGUUUCUUCUUUGAUUAUGAAGCACUUAUGUCAGGAAAACUGAUAAUGAGUGUUUCUCACACAAGAUUAGAGAGGACACAAUCUCAGGACUAGACUUGCAUGCCCAAAGGACUUCUCAAGUUACACUAGUUGAGAAUACUAGUUUCGACACACCAUACUACUCCCCCCCCCCCCCCCCCCCCCCCUCCCCACCCAAAAUAAACAAAAAAAAAAAAAAAAAAAAAAAAAUCGAAACAAGGAAAAAGCAUCGCCUUUUGAACCACUUCACCGGGUUCUCCAUCAAUCUCUAAGAACACCAAGAAGUUCUACAAAGUGAUAAGGUUGUCUUCUAGCUUCAAUCCUAGCUUCAAUCUUCAAUGGUAACUCCUUCGGAUCUUCAAUUGGACUUUUAGGGGUGAGUAGAUAAUUGUUUUUGCUGGGAGAACUCGGGAAAAAUCGUGGGAAUUUCGCUGCCGAAAACUAUCUUCCUCUUUCGUCAAAUUGCUCCUUUUAAUUUCCGGAACAAGGGGGUGCAGGGCACGCAAGGGUGCAUGGCGUGCACCUCUUAUUUCACCGUGAGAUUUUUCAAGUUUAGGGCAUGCAUGGCGUGCACUGAUGUAGGGCGUGCAACCCUUUUUCUUCACCAACUUUUGCAACGUCGUCCCAUUUGAGCUCUAACCGUGCUAUAAUCCGGGCCCAUGGGCUUGUAACAAGAUCAAAUGUUUCUAAACCUGAACGUACGCCUCAUAUACCUGAACGCAUUGGUCAAUUCUCUCAACCAAUCAACUGCCAAUAGAGGAUCAGCGGUCUCGCCUCGGCUACUUGAAAUCCAACCUAGGUGCAGGCGAAUCCCUCAUCAUGUCGACCAACUCCUCCUGAUCACUACACAUAUGAGGAUAUUGUUCAGCAACCAUUUUCAAUAAUACUUUAUCUCUGUUAUUGGAUAUCUUGUUGCAAAUUGUUUAAAAAACUUGACCACACCCGUAACAAUCACUCCACCACGCCCGUGGUCCAUCCUCUACCACACCCAUGGUAUACUCUUGACCACACCUGUGAUAGGCAUUACCACGCUAGUGGUGAUCACGCCCAUAGUGAUCACUCCACACGCCCAUGGUAUACUCCUGACCACGCCCGUGAUAGGCAUUACCACACCCAUGGCAUGUAGUGGACCACGCCCAUGGUGCAGUAUCCAUCAUGCACGUGGAGCAGUAUCCAUCAUGCCCGUGGCCAAGGACUAACCACGCUCGUGGUCAUCACUAGGUUUGGGACGUAGUUCAGAGACUGGUUAUCUCCAAGUCCGGCCAAGUUUGUGACUACCCCCAUUUGGGAAAAGCAGCAAUAUUGAAAAGAAAAAACAAAAAGUGAAAACUGAAACAAAAGAAAAAGAAGAUGAAAAGAAGUAGAACAGCAAGUGAAAGCAAGUUGUAUAUAGUAGAUUAUAGCUAGUAGUAUAGUCAAGCAAGAAAAUUAGAGGGUGCUAUCAUUGCUUGAGUGCUUUGGUUUGUAUGAAAAACUUGUUGUAAAACACCUUCCCCCUCAGGUUUGGAAGAGAAAGCCCGGCUAGGACAAGCCUUCAGUCUGUUACUUCCUCUGUCAGCUAUGUGGCAUCACUCUGCUAGUUUAAGGGACUCGGUGUUAUGCUUAAUUUUGUGGUUUACUGUUUGACUAGUACUACUUAGCACCAUGGUAAGGUGUGAGACUAUAUAUUAUGCUCUCCGUUCACCAUAUUUUGUAUUCUUUGGGAGUGUGUUGAGUAGAAUUGCUUGAGGACAAGUAAUGUUUAAGUGUGGUGGAAUUUGAUAGAACCUUUAAUUGUAUGACAUUCAACCCUAUCUUGACUAUUAUUUGACUCGAUUCGACCGAUUCUUGAUCGUGAUUGUGUGAUUGGUAGAUAAAACAAGGGUUUUGUGUUGUGUUCUCUCGAACACACCGUUUUGGUCUGUUCGACUUUUUUCUCACAAGUAUUUUAGAUUUAGGUAUCCGAUGGAUAGAGGACAUGGAUACGAAGCCAACGAGACCAAUUGGAGGUCGACUGGAGGUCGACCGGAGGUCGAACGAGCGAGAUACGUGCAAAUAAAGAAAUUGGGACCAGUUUGGAAGUUGACCGAACCGAGUUGGAUCAUCAAGGGAGGAUCAUAAAAGCCAUUUUGGACGAGAGAGGGAACAAUAGUUGUCAUAACAAUACAUUAGACCCGAAUUUCUCUCCUUUCCUCUCCACUCUCUCAUUUGGAGACCCUAGAAGAUGGAUUGGAGCACUUGAAGAUCAAGGAUUGAAGGCAUUCGAUUGCUUAAGCUUGGAGCAAGGAUUCUACUCUCAUCACCUUUUUCAUACUUGUAGAUGCUGGUGAUUGUAUUCCUUUCUCUUAGUGAUAGCUUCAUGAUGAUUGGCUAAACCAUUAGAGUUGAUAGAUUAGGGUGUUGGGAUGUGCUAGGAUGAUCCCUUCAUGAUAAGGGGUUGGAUACACUUGGAUGAUAAUUAUGAUUAUAGUUAUUGCUUGGAUUAUGGCGUUUUCAACCUAUCUUGUGUCAUCGCUUGAUUUAGGUCAAAUGAACUCUUUCUUUUUCUUAAUUGUGAUUGAAUUGAGCUAGGUUAGUAAUUUAAGAUUGAAGCAAGGUGUGUGUAGACCAAGCCACACCUCAAUUCAACCUUUAGUGCGAGGAUUUCUUUAGUGAAAUUUCAUAUAACGCUUAGAGCGCAUUCCGUUAAUCAAGUAGGUAUGACAAACUUUAGUGAUUGAGAGGUUUGGGGUGUCAUAUUGUGACUAGCAUCCCUUUCCUGAUGUUUGUGGUGUCAUUAAGGCUUUCUAAGCACCGAGGCAUUUUGUUGAACACCUUGUGUUCAUUACCAUUUGACUUGAUCACUUGUGAAUUGGUAGUGGUAAUCUAUUGCAAGACCAUUUCUUGGAUUCCUUCAAGUGGCCUAGAGGAAUAUCAAAACGUAAAUCCUGUCCAAAGUGUCCAAUUUCUCCAAUGAGUUGUAUUUGAGCAUAUUCCAACACCCGAAGUCUAGCAACCCUCGUUUCUUUGUUUGACAUUCUCACUCGUUUGUUUUGUUAAGAUUGAUUACUUUGAUAAACUUAGUUGGUAACUUUGAAAAAAAGAUUUUGAACCUUUUGUAGCUUAAACCGUGUUCCUAAACCCUGAGUAGAAGCUAGUGAACCAAUCCUCGUGACAUAACGACACUAGUUGUUAGGAAUUGGGAUAACAACCUUUUCUUGGCGAGCAGUGGCAAUUAUCCUUUCGCGGAUAUUUUCGUCCAUAUAUCCAAUCCGAACCAUAUAGUUUGGAUCCUAAUUUAAAUCCGAUCCAUAUGGAUCAGAUCGAAUAUCGAUGUAUUCGAUAUGGAUAUGAAUUUAUUAAUUUAAAAUAGUUGGAUACUAGUCGGAUUUGUAUCGGAUUUGGAUUAUCCAUAUUACAAAACUUGAUUCAACAUCCCAAUUAAAAGAGGGGAGUACUAUUCGCUGCCCUACGAUUUUUUUUAAAAUCACCCUAACUAAAUAAAUGACGUAAUUUCCCUCACGUAACACAUAAACCCUAACGCGUAUCUUCUCAACUUCUUUGCCGGCUAAUUACCGACAAAACCCUAGCGAGCUCGCGACUAUCAUCUGUCGAUCCCAACCUUCAUCACCGAUUAUUGACGAUCAAAUUAAGAUCAUAAAAACUAAAACUAGCUAUAUUUACCUAUAGAGAGAUGAUAGAAAUCAUCUCUAAUCUAGAUGAUUUGAUAUAGACCAUCAGAUCAGAAGAAACUCUCAUCUAAUGGCCUAGAAUUUUAGUACUUAUAUGAGUUGAAAAUCCUAUGUUUUCCCCAUUCUCUCUCUGCCGUUUCUGGUUUUUUGAAAAAUUCUGGUCCCCCUCCCCCUACUUCGAUUAUAAGGAAACUAAUUUCACUUACGAUGGUGACAAAUCCAUCGGAGACUGUGACGGCAACGAAUCCAUCGGCUACGGAGAUUACAACGAAACUAGUUCCACCGACAAUAGCGACGAAUCCAUCGGCGACGGCUAAAAAUCCACCUGCUACGGCUCCAUCGAUGACGGAGGCAUCCCAAGUUUGGUUUCUAAUUUGACCAAUUUGGAUCUGGGUGUUAUUCUUCCCUAAGUUUCAACCUAAUGUUGCAGUCGAGACAGCAUUGCGGUAGGGAGAGAGGAUCGAAUCUGGCAGCGCGAGAGGGAGUAGCAAUUUCGUCCCCUGUUCUCGGUAGGUUAUUAGGUUGUUAGCUGUAGAUCGUCUCCUUACAUUUUUCUCAUUGAAUUUUCCAGUUUUUAGGUAAUCCCAGGUUGUUGUACUUUGAUUUUGGGUGAACUAGUGUUUGUGUCUUCGGUUUGGCUAUACUAGUUUUAAAUUAGCAGUCAUUAUGUUCUCAAUGUUGUUUGAGAUAAGGAAAUUGUUUGCUAAGAAUGGUGAACUAAUUUUAUAUUAGCAGCCAUUAUGAUUGACAUUGUUUGGUAAGAAUGGUAAACUAGUUCGUGUCGUAUUUGUCUUUUUGUUGAACUAGUUUUGUUUGUUUCUUGGUUUCGGUAGCGGUAAGGCUUUUAUUUGUAGUUUUUUCUUAUCAUUGUUUGAUUUUAAGAACUACUUUAGUGUGAUUUGGAUGUCGGUUCGGAACAGUCGAACUAGUUAAAAUUGUAUUCUAAAUUAAGUAAUGGCUUGAACUUGGAUUGUCAAUUCUAUAAUGCAGUUGUUUAACUUCUGCUUCCAGACAUUUUGGGCAGUGAAAAUGGCUGAGGUUGGUAAGCAAGCAUCCCUUGCGACCCGAUGCAGCUCGAACCUAAUUUUGCAGUGAUGGGUAUUCUUCCAAGCAAUGAACAAUUGGAAGCCAUAAAGAAACUUGACUUCCAUGGAAUUACAGCUGUAAAGAUAAAACAAAUCAGCUGAGAUUUCAUGCAUUAGAUUAUGAAUACAUAUGAUAUAUAACCAAAACAAUUUGUGAUUUGAAACAAAAAGACAUUGAAGAUAACUGAAGAAGAUGUCCAUAGUGUUUAUGGUUUACCGCGAGGAGUCAAAGAAGUCAGUGUGGAAGGGUGUGCAGUUCAUAAAAUUAAGUCUGAAGCUGCGAAGUUGAUGCUUGUAGUUGGGAAAUAGACAUUUUUGUGUGGAAACCAUUGAUUUGGAAUGUGAUUUGGCUGAACUAAUUUGGGUUGUUUGGGAUUUCAGGUAGUUUGUUGUCAUUGUAUUCAUCCUGGUAUUUGGGUUCUUCAAGAUGAAUUGGUGAACUAGUUUGAUUUCUUUGGGAUAUUUUGAGGUAAUGGUGAACUAGUAUGAGUUUUUGUGAUAUCAAGCAUAGUUGAUGUAGUAGUGGAUUGGUUCAUGUGGAAAUCAGGGUGUAAUGGCGAACUAGUUCUGUGUAAUAUGAUUUCAAGUUUAAUUUGGGUGUAAUGGCGAACUAAUUCUGUGUACUAUGAUUUCAAGUUGAAUUUGGGUGUAGUGGCGAACUAGUUAUGUAUAUAAUAGAUUUCAAGUUGAAUUUGGGUGUACAAAUUUCGAUAUUUUUGGGUGCCAAGCAAACUAGCUUUGUUUGUUUGGGAUUUCAAGGCAUUUUGGUGAACUAGUUUAGAUUGUGAAUGAGAAAUUCAUUUGAAAUAUAAAUUGGACUACCGAACUCGACAUCAGGCAAGGAGUUCAUAUCAAAAGAAAACGAUGACUAUGAGUUGGAUACUCAUGGAAAAUUAUCGCUAUCAAACAGGUGCUCAAAAUUUAGUGUGGGAACUCUGAUAAAAGAAAAUUGAUAAACUAAAAUUGAUGGAAGGUGAGGGAUAAAUAAACCUCAUACGAGUUAGUCGUCGGUUUGAGAAGAAGAAUAAAGAAAAAUUGCUUUCAAUUAAAACACAAUAACAUAAAAAGGAAGUUUAAAAGGAUAUAUAUUAAUUAUAUGAAAAGAAAAUAUUACAAAAUAAACAAUUAACUACUCACCCAAAAAACUCAAGAUCCAAUGGUUAGGAUUAAUCAUCUAGAUUAGAGAUGAUUUUCAUCAUCUCCUCCUAAAACAUGCUUACCUACUAUGUGAACUAAUUAUCUAUGUUUGAACUUACAUGUGAACUUAACAUCAUCAUCAUAUCCCCAUCAUUGGAAGGUACGUAGACUAAUAGUAUUAGAUAGUCAUGUAAAUAAUUUAAACUAAGAGGGAGGUACUCUUGAUCAAAAUAAGAGGGUGGUACUAGCAUUACUUGAGUGUUAUGAUUGUAAAAAUUUUUUAAGCACCUCCUCUCUCAGGACAGGAGAGUAAUCCCGACAAGAACGAGUCGUCGGUCUAUUUCUUCUGCUGACAAUUCAAAGAUAUAAGUGUUUAGGGGGGUGUGGAUACACUCCGGUGGUUAGGUGUUGAGUCAUUUGUAUCAUAUACAUGAGUAUAUGUUCUACUAGUCUAAGGGAUUCAGUGUUGUAUGCCUAAUUGUGUGGUUUGCUGACUGACUUGCAUUUCGUGACAUUGUGGUAGAGUUGAGGCCCUAGGAUAUGUUUUCCAAUCACCACAUUUUGAUUUCUUUGUAGCGUACGAUUAGUAGAUUUGCUUGAGGACAAGCAAACAUUUAAGUGUGGGGGGAUUUUAUGUGCUUGAUUAUUAGCACAUGUUUUCCCUCUUUAAUUGACUUUUUUUACGUUUGGAUGCCUUAACAUGUUCGAAUUCAUGACAUUUGGCGCAUAUUUGGUUCUCCUUAGCCCCUUGGGCAGUGUUACGUUAGUUUGAAUGUUUUUAUGCAUUUUCGGGUGUUCUACAACACUUGAUAUCAAACCAGGACUAAAGUGGAGCUCAAACAAAGCGAGAAUCAUCAAUCCAGUGAAAGCUGGUGAGGUAGGAGAUUAGUGUGUCUUGGACGAAGAAGUGUGGGCAUUGUUUUGGCCAGAGAGCCUUUUUCAGGAACGGGCCAGCAGUCUUUCGUGGGCUAUUUGUAAGACCUUUUCGACUUAUGAAAAGAAAAAGAGACCUAAGAGACGAUAGAUUUCUCCCGGAGAAGGUAGAGAACAAGGGUUUUUGGAGUUCUCAUCGAGUUAGAGCAAGGAAACACAAGAUUGAAGUCCGAUAGGAGCAGAGUUUGUAUUUCAGCUUGAAGAUUAAUAUUUCUUGUUGUAAGAUGUCUUCUUCUCCAGUUUUUUCCGCUUUAUUUAUGCAAUCCUUCUUGAAACCAUGUCUAGCUAAACUCAUUAUGUUGUCUAGAUUCGAUGAAGCUUUAGAUUGAAUUUUUGUUGGAUGAUGACGAGUUUUUAACCCUUUUAUGCUAUCAAUGUUAUUAAGGAUAAUGAUGUGUUUUUGCUAAAACCUAAUUGUAGAUUUAGUCUUGCUUGAUCAUCUUUAUUGAAUCUUUGUUAUCUAUUAGUGGGUCCGAGAGGAACGGUGAUUGAUUGGACACUUAGGAAGAACUUUAGAUGACCCGUUAGCUCAAGAGAGGAGCGGUUAAUCUAGGCUUUUUGCAUCGUUUUCGUUGUGGCAUUUCAUCGAACAUUUUUAGUGCGUUUUGCUUGGGUGAAGAUUAGCUCGAAAGAGGAGUCUUCGGUCAAGAAGAAUAGAUCCUUCAAUUCGUGGGAGCGAUCUAAGGUUAACUUAGAAGAUUUCCAAGUCAUUAUAACCUGAAUAAUUGAAAUUGCAUGUCAUAUAUCAUGCAUUGUCUUCUAAAGUGAAUUCGAGUGUAGGCAACCUUCGUUUUAAUCUUCGACACAAACUUAAGAUUACUUGGUUACUUAGUUGGAGUAAUUAUAAUAAUUGUUUUAAUUUUUGCAUUAAUAGAUUGAUAAUCGUAUAACCUUUUCACAAAAUUUGUUUCAUUUAGUUUACAUUCUAGGUUGAGUAAUAAAAUUAGAAAAAUCUUAAGAAAUAUUUAAUAACAGAGUAAAAACUCCCUUAUCACCCUCUUUUGCCUUCACAAUCAGCUUCCAAGAGCAACCUCUCCCUCCAAACUCACCCUUCCUCCAACAAUUUGCUGCCAAUCGUUCGACGAUGGGUUUGGAUUGGGAUCCAUGAAGGUCGUCAUAUUCUGCUCCAAUGGAAAACUCUUAUCCGGGGACCAGGAGUCCGUAAAUAAAACACUACGUAGCCUAGCUGUUGUUCCUCGCCUUCAUCGUCGUAGCCGCUCCAUCCUUCACCUCACCCGCGUUGGACCGCUAGACGAUGACUUAAUCUCCGGCGACGACGAAUCCGAUCGAUCUGUCGUCAGCCCCAAUCGAAAGAUCCCUCCCAAUGGGAAAUAGAGGCGGAGCGGUGGUCGUCUGAGUAUAGAGCUCCCCGCGGUUGUCGAGAGCUGAAGAAUCAAGAAGGUGAAUAUGAAGCCGGAUUGGAAGCGGAUGGAGGAGAUGGUGGGCAUCGUGUAGUGCUGCUGCAAAUAAAUUAAAAACUGAAAAAUUAAAAAGGGAUAAUUUUUUUGAAAGUGCCAAAACUGCCCAUCUGUAUUUUCAUGUUUUGACUUGGUUGAACUCGGUUGAAUGUUUCCACAUUCAAUAAAAUUCGCUCCCAAAGAUACACCACAUUUAAUCCCUAUAGAAGAAAAGUAAAGCAUCCAUGAAUUAAUAAUUAAAGUCUCCCAGUAAUCAACUAAUCAUAGAGUUACACUCAACGACAUAAAUCCCAAGUAUUUAAAGAUCGGGAUGUUACAUACAUAGUGGGUAAUGAACAAUGACUAGUCUUAAAUGAGAGAGGCCACUUUUUAAUCAGAUUAUCACGUGAUUUCGAUUAAUUAGCGACUGGGUGAGCGAAAAUCCCGGCCCUUGACAAUGGGAGGUUGUGAUGGCUUCCGCAAUUGCUUCAGGACUGGGCACAUUGGACACCAUCACUGAUCGUCAUCGACCCAUAAUACAAAUUUCGUCAUUCGCUCAAUCUGCUUUCAAAUAGAAGGCAGUUUUGACUUUGGAAUGAAGUAUUGGUACACACUUGAGCGGAGCAGCAGAGUUUUGUGUUUCCUUUCCGUUUCGUGUUUAACAAACUUGGUUAACUGCCAGUCAACGAAGCAGCUGUAAUAUUUGUGUUUUUAUUUAGUCAGGUUUUAUUCGGUCACAAAGAUAGUAAGAACUUGGAAUCAAUCGAUGAUGGGUCCUCUAUGUAAGUUCCAUAUUUAUUUGAGCCUAUAGAUUCUGGAAAUUAGUACCAUAUACAUCCAAUAAUUGAUAUAUCACAUACAUAUACACUAGAUCGUAUCCGACCGGUUGGCCGAAAGUCUAAUGAACUAAAACACUGUUUGUUUGAAAAAAUUUAAAAGAAAUAUAUAGUUAGGUCAUAGGCGGUGUACACUCCUAAUUAAUAUGUUUUUAGGUAGAAUCCUAAAAAUGAGUAGCCCGUGCAUUAUCGUGACACCAAACACAUUAGCUUGUAAAUCCUUCAAGAUCUUAAUAUGAUGGAAAUUGAAUAGACUUAAAAUGGUUUUACAUUUGACAUAUUCAACUUAUAAAUAGUUUUGCACUAUAUACUUUCGCCUAAUAAUAUACUUUUACCAAUACGUGUCUUUGUACCAUUAGCCAUAGCCUGUUAGCGGAGCUUAGACCCGUGAUUAAAAGUAAAAGUAUGUUAACUAAUAUGUGUAAGUUAAAAUUUUGUUACAGUAAUUCUAUUAUUAUAUAUAAGCAUGUACAUAAUUGUGAUAAUUUUGAUUGUUAAAUCGANNNNNNNNNNNNNNNNNNNNNNNNNNNNNNNNNNNNNNNNNNNNNNNNNNNNNNNNNNNNNNNNNNNNNNNNNNNNNNNNNNNNNNNNNNNNNNNNNNNNNNNNNNNNNNNNNNNNNNNNNNNNNNNNNNNNNNNNNNNNNNNNNNNNNNNNNNNNNNNNNNNNNNNNNNNNNNNNNNNNNNNNNNNNNNNNNNNNNNNNNNNNNNNNNNNNNNNNNNNNNNNNNNNNNNNNNNNNNNNNNNNNNNNNNNNNNNNNNNNNNNNNNNNNNNNNNNNNNNNNNNNNNNNNNNNNNNNNNNNNNNNNNNNNNNNNNNNNNNNNNNNNNNNNNNNNNNNNNNNNNNNNNNNNNNNNNNNNNNNNNNNNNNNNNNNNNNNNNNNNNNNNNNNNNNNNNNNNNNNNNNNNNNNNNNNNNNNNNNNNNNNNNNNNNNNNNNNNNNNNNNNNNNNNNNNNNNNNNNNNNNNNNNNNNNNNNNNNNNNNNNNNNNNNNNNNNNNNNNNNNNNNNNNNNNNNNNNNNNNAUAAACUGAUGAUUGUUAAAAGAACUAAAUAGGAGCCGUUCGAUUAAGAGCAGAAGAGACGAAGAAGCAAAUAUUGAAGUAACAAGAGCGGUUGAGGUAAAGAAUGAGGAUAAUAUCCAAAGAUAAGGAGAAUUAGAAGGAGUAGUGUGAGUAAUAGAAAUAUACUUGAAGUAGGAAAAGGAAAAGGUUGGUGCUCUGGCAUCUGCAUCAGAGAAGAAGAAAGAGGAAGAAAAUGGGAGACAGAAAUAGAAGGAGUAUUGAUAGAAACAUUUCAACCCCACAUACAUCUUCACUUCUUCAGUGCAGUGCAGUGUAGUCACUACUAUUUCUUCUUCUUCUUCUUUCCAUUUCGCUUUCAUCGAAUACCACACCGUAAUAUAUAUUAUAUAUUUUGUAUAUUGCUUCUCUCGUGUAUGUAGUUUUACCUUUGUUUCCUUGUCAAUCUUCUUUUGGCUCAUUAUAUUCCUCAGACUCAGACCUCCUUCUUUUUCUAAUUUACUGUAUUAUAUACAUGACACAUUUGUUUGCUGCCACACCACCCACCCAGCUGAGAGCUGAGAAUGAGAUGCCAUGCCAUGCCCCCUUCAUUAUUAUUAUCUAAUUAAUUCUGGACUACUGACACUUCAUGGAAACCCAACCAGAAUAGUUUGCAUGCUAACCAGCAAAUUUAAGGAUAUAGUCAAGGUAGGGAAUCAUUACCUUUACCCUUCUCCUAUAAUAUAUAAUCCACUUUAAUUAAUUAUAUAUGUUGACGAUAAUGAUAAACCUAAUGAUGAUGAUGAUUUGAAACCCCAUCUUCAGUAUGAUUAGAUUAUCCAAGUACAACAAAGUAAUGGAAAAAGAAGAAAGAGUGGAUUAAAAUGUUGGUGUUGCAUUCAUUCAUUGUAUAGACGCAUUAUUAUUCAUUAAUGAGAGGAAGCCCUGGAGGAAGGGGAUUGCAGUUGCCAGUUGCAGACACUGUAAAUGUAUAGCUGAAAUAGCAGCAGAUCAGAGAAAGAGAGAGACACUGAAGAAAUACCUUUCUUUUACCUCCCCACCCCCUUGCAGUUGCAUUGCUUGUCAUCAGCUUUUUAUUUCCCUUGCAAUGGGAAAAUAGAAUAUGGUAAAACAGCUAUACCCAUAUUUCUUUCUAUAACAUGACAAACUUCCAAACCUUCUCUUCCUCUCUCCUACUACUACUAUGUCUAUACUACUCCAUUAAUGCAACUGAAGCAUUUAUAGCAUCAAAGUCAGCAAUACAAGGCAACACAAACACAACAAGAAGAAGAAGAAUCGGAUAAUAACUUAAAAUGAAAAAUAAAUGGCAAAGAAAUAUAAUAGAAGUACUCAAUCGAUUGCUUAAUUAUAUAUAUGUACACUAAAACAAAAGCCCACAUUCUUUUACUUCUUCUUCUUCUAAGCAUGAUGAGAUGACAAGAUUCAUCAAUACAUAAAAAGGGGAGAUCUAAUGAUAUAUGAAUGAGAUCCUACUCAAAAAAGGGUUUUUCUUUCAGAUUCAGGAACCCAAAAAGAGAAGAAAACCCAUCAUCGCCGUGGUUCUAGUAAAUCAUGCUACUAAUAAUUAGUGCUGAAAAUAUAGUAAAUAAUAUGCAAUUGCCAAUUGAGAUUCAUCUGAUCUAACAAGGAGAAGGAGGCAUUAGGUUCAAACCCAAAUCAUCCUUUUCCAAAACAAAACGGUGAGACUUACUACUACUAUUAGUACUAGUCUGAUGAUUGAUGGCGUAGUCAUGGUCCGGGUGCAAUCUCUUCUUGGAAGACUGGUUAUGAUUAUGAUUAUUAUUAAUGGCCACUCCAAACAACUUGGUGUUGUUGUUGUUGCACCCUUCAAUUUCUUCAAGAAUGGUGACAGUGCUGUGGGAGUUGUUGCUGCUCUUGUUACCACUGUAGCUUGGAGAUGUUAUAGUAGUGCUGUUAGUACCCAGCACUUGAACAUGAGGAGCACCUGAUUGCCCUUUCUUCAUCAUCAUCAUCGUACUCGUCAUAUUGUUGGUGUUGUUGUUAUAUCCACCACCAAGCAGCAGCUGGUUUAACGGAGGAGCCUUAUUGGGUGUGGGAGGAGGGACGGGCUUGACGUGGUUCUGAACAAAAUAGAUGAUGUCGUUGUAAAGCUUCUUCAUGUGAGAUAACUCCGUCAUCAGCAUAUUGUUGCUCCUCCUCAGCCUUUCGUUGUCCUGUGAUAACGCCGUCACCGUCCCUGCUGCACUACUAGUAUUACCACUACCACCACCACCACCACCACCAGUGGUGUAGUACACUCCUCCUCCUCCUGCUCCGUUUAUCAUCAUGCUGGCGGGUCCCAUUAGCCCUGAUAAAGUUCCCGACGGAGGGGACCAGUUAUUGUGAUUGUGUUGGAAGUAGUGGUCGUCAGCGUCGUCGGACGGAGAGAUGCUGAGGCGGUUGGUCGAGAAAGGGAAGAAGCCACCCGCCGGAUGAUAAUGGUGGCGGUGGUGUGGCGGAGGAGGUGGAGGAAGCUGAGCUGUCUUUCUGCGGUGGAUUUCGCAGAGCAAGUGUUUUUCGCCCUUCUUGAAGAAGUCAUUGGCGAAUUCCCAUCUAUCAGGCACUAUUUUCCUAAACCCCUACAAAAUCACAAAAACCCAAAAACAUAAAAUGAGCUGUUUUUACAUAUCUAGUUGAAGAGAAAAAGAAAAAAGAAAGGAAAUGAAUGGAAGUAAAGCGUACGUAGGUGUUGAGCUGGCGGACGAAGGAGGAGAAGUUGUUAUGCUUGAAGUAGUUAGGGAGGAGGUCGCGAGCGAAUUCAGGUGGACGCCAGACGAUGAAAGUAGAGUGGUCUUCUCCCCAAGAAACGAUAUCGUCGGUGGAAGGGUCGUCCACAAGCUGGUAAGUCUUGGUGAGGAAUGGAGCCGGCACCGACUUCUGGGAUUCCAGUGACAGCAACAUCCCGCCGUCGACUCCGCAUGAUGAUGAUGCCGAGUUCUCCACUAUCAGUGCCAUAUUUAUGUUGUGUGUUUGGCAGUGUUAGGCGAUCGAGGUGAGAAACAAAGACAGAGAGGUUGAGGAGGAGAGACUAGAGAGUAAGUAAGAGAGAAGAGAAGGGUAAAAAAUGUCUGGGAGAAACUAAUUGGGGCCUUUGGGGGCUGGGUGGGUGGGUAGUGAAGAAAUAGAACAAGAGUAGUAGGGGCAAGGACGACCGAAAGGAAAGGUCCCCGCUACAGCUAUUAACUAAUAACCUCAGUUCCUUUUUUUUUUUAAAAAUGUAUAAUAUUAACCUUACCAAUCUAAACGUACAUCUAUUUUGUCUCCUUCGUUCACUACUGCAAAACACAUAUACAUCUUCAUUAAUAUAGUUACAAAAUGAAGAAAAAAUGUUGAACAGUAGCAAAAGUAUAAGUUUACUAAAUAUCUAAGUAGGAGUAAAUAAUAAUAAUAAUGUUGGAAAAUUUGUAAUAAACAUGGAUAGUAGGUCUAGAUGUGGUAGAGAUCGAACAUAAGUAAUUUAUUUUAAUAUGGGAUAUAAAACAGAAGCAGGAGGGUUGGAGUAUGUGGGGUUUUUGUUUGGUUGUGUCCGACCUCGGGGUUAUGGAUGGUAGAAGGAAGGGAAUAUGUGUCUGCGUGUAUGUCUAGGAUGGACCUCUUCUCUCUUUCUCUUUUUUUUUUUUGUUUCUCUUCUUCUUCUUCUCUAUUUAAGAGCAUUUCAAGACAAACCCGUGACACCACUCUCUAUUUCUCUCUCUUUGCUUUUUCCCCUGACGUAUGUCCUUUUUGUUUUGUUUUGUUUUGUAUAUAUAGAUAUUUUAAAUUUCUAGUGUUUUCUCUCAUCUCUCUUUCGUUUUGGUAUUACUGUAAAAAAAGAAAAAUCGGAAUUAGUCUGACAAAAUUGACCCCCGCCCGCACACCCACUUGAGAGCCCAGCUGAUAGCGCAAUUGUGAGUGAAGGAAAUCAGAAAUGGUAGGAAGUCUGUGGUGGUGUGCUUUCGGGAAUUUGACAAAAUUUUACCCCCCUCCAAACGAUCCCCUUUCCUCCAUGACUUCAUUUUCCUUCACAAAUAAAAUACUUGUUUGUUUCUAUCAUUUAUUACUCUUUUUCUUUGGAUUAUUUGCUUCCUGUGCAUUUUGGUCAACACUAGUCACCUUUACUUACCCACAAUUCCAUUCCAUACAUACUCCAAAUACUAUUUUCCUCUGCCUCCCUUUUCCAGUCCCUUUUUUUUGCUACUUCCUUUAAUACCCAAGAAAACAAAAUACGAAUACAACAAAUUUAGCUUCUUUUUUUUUUGUUAUUGUGAUGAUGACAAAGAUACAAGGCCAAAGACGACUUUUUAUUUCCUUUUGGAUGCAUGUUUCUUUCCAUGUUGGAUUUCAUAAUACCGUAAUUAGUUCAAACGGUAAUGGUGCAAAUUGAAUAGAGCUUAGUUAUAGCAAAGAUAAAAAAAAAAAGAUUGAGGAAGAAGAGGUAGACAAGGUAGUGCAUGUGGGUUUGAUUUCUUUUCAAUGGAUCCAAACGAGUACCUACCACAACUUAGUAUUUUGUAAUUUAGUGUUUGUAAUUUUUUUGGAGAAGAAUCUAAUGUUUGUUGUUUAAUGGAAUGGAAGGAGGGGGAGAAAACAACGGAACUUAAUUUAGAAGAAGAAGAAGAAGAAGAAGAAGAAGAAGAAAACAAUGUGAAAGAAAGAAGCACAUGUGCACGCUCCCCAAUUUCGAAUCAUUUCGUGUCUGUUUCUAUAACUAUAUAUACUAUAUAUAAACAAAAGGAUAUAUAUGUAGCAUGGAACUACGUGCAUGUUUUGCAGAUUAAACAAAACAAUUGGAUGCUUGUUCUUGUUUGUUGUUUGGUUUCUUCUUCCCAACAACCCAUUUUUUCCUCCUUUCCUUCUUCUUCUCAGCCUUUUUCCUUCUUCUUCUACCAUUCCAAACUUUCAUGACUACUUCUACGUACUCUGUCUUUUAAUUUCACUUUAAAAUUAGCAUUUUUUAUCUCACUUGAUAGUUUUCUUUUUAAUGAAAAUAAUUACAAGACAGGUCUAUAAGAGAGACCAGCAACGGCCAUCUUCACAGGCACAUUAAGUAACGUUAUUACUUAAUAUACGGAUAUGUGUACACCUUGAAACUUCAUUUGUUUGGUGAAUUAAGCAUUUCAUUUACCCCCCUGUUCCCACCGAUUAAUCUUCUUUCUACUUUUAUGGCCUUUUAUGGAGACUCUAAUUCUAAUUCUAAACAGUUAAUUUUGUGUUUAAAAUUAUGAAAAAAGGUGCUUUGAUAUAUGUGGUGCGACUUAACUUCUAUUUUUCACAGUGACACAUGUUAAAAGAAAUUAACAGUCUGCAAGAAACCCAAAGCAGAGAUGAUUUGGAACAUUAUUUGCAAUGAGUGAGCUUUUCUGUUAAUGAUCAGUAAAAGAUAGACGGUAAAAACUCAAAAAAAGGGAUAAAAACAAGGAAGUUGAGGGGUCCGAAAGUGACACUAUAUAUGUAUGGAAAAAGGAAACGGAAAGGAUAAUAAAAUGAUGAGCAAUUAUUUCAAACAGAUACUCCACAACUGAUUGUUCUAAUCAUGCCUUAUGAUUCUCAUUCAUAUAAUUAGUUGGGGAUAUACAACGCUACAAAAGUAGUGCAACUCUGCUUGUAAUAUACAUACAUUUACUUACUCCCUUUUGUUAUAUCAAAGUUUUGACAUUUACCAACUACAUAGUGGUCUGGUCGAUGCCCCUUUAGGUGAAAAGGGAUGAAGUUGUGUUUUCAAAGUAAUUUGCAGAUAACUUUUAGACAUUUAACAUUCUGGGGAAAAUAGAUUGAACCUAUAUGUAUGUAGUUAAUCACUUACCCGUUAAAGUUAACUGCAUAAUAAUAAUGAGUUCAAACCUCAAACGAACACGUACUACUAUUGACAAACAUCAUGUUUGGAAAGUUGGAUAUAUGGCUAGCUAGUGUGAACUCAUACAUGCACAUCGAAUAUCAUGAGAGAAUCGUUUCUGUGUUCACGUCUCCCCUGAAUUUAAAAAAUGCACGCUUUAUAGGUGGUGAGAUCUUGUAUAUAUAGUAAGCUGGAUUUGUAGCAGUGAUAUGAUAUAUUUUUUUAAAAGGACUAGUCAUGUGGUAUAUGCUUAAGUGCGUAACGUCCAAAUUAAAGAAAUGGAAGUAGGAAAAGUAAAAGUGGUGGGGGGAGACUACUAUAGAAAAUUAGAUGUAGAAGAAACUGGCAAGAAUUGGAGUGUCGUGGCUCCUGUGUCAGCUUCGAGUCCCAACAUUCAAUUCAUACCAAUUUAAUAUCAUCAUCCACAUAUAUAUAUGUAUUUUUAGAAAGAGAUAGAGAUAGAGAGAAGGUACGUAGUACGUAGCAGGUGGGCUUAGAGAGAGAGAGAGAGAGAAAAAGGUCUGAUGUUUAUUUAAAAUAAAAAUGGAGAAGAUGGUCCAAAAAUAAAAUGGUUACGUAUCUCCGUCUGGUGGGUUUCAUCUUCAAAAACCAUAUGUGUACAAGAAAACCCAGGCUGCACCUACUGCUGCUCUCUCUGGGAGUUUUGCAGCGGCUGACAUGGAAACUUGUCCUAUUUUUUUUCUUAUUUGUUAAUUUUGAGUUGAGAGAGAGAGAGAGAGAUGAAAGGAGAGUAGAGCUGGUAAAGAACAAGAAAGAAGAUGGAGAUGAAAGAGGGGGGGCAGCUAAGCUUUGUGGGUGUGUGUUGUUUAUUUGUAGCCUUACUGGUUAUGCCAUUCUCGUGAUUCCAAAGUUUUGUUCUCUUCUCCGAUGCGCAUAUUUCCAUUAAAAAUAUUUCACUGCAAACCAUAAAAACAACAGACAUCCCCAUUCCCUACCCCCAAUAUGUUCCUUUUCUUCUUUUUUUACUUUCGGAAUUCACAUUUCCUCCUAUCUACCUACCUACUUCCUUUCUAAGCCAAAGCUACAAUAUUUCCAUCCUAACUUGAUUAUUUUGGAUUCAAGUUAAUUUCUUUAUAACAUUUAACCCUCACACUAUACACAAACAAACCAACAAGUUCGAAAAACCCUAACCGCACUAUGGCCGCGAAAUAGAAACAAAAAUUUGGUCACGCAGUUCAAAAACUUUUAGUAACAACAAAUAAAAAUUCAAUAUGCAAAAUGAGAAGAGACUCGACCUAAUAUGUACUAUGACUUUUGACGAGAGUACAAAGUAGCAAUAAAUAAAAACCCAUAAGCAACAUCCAAAAACACGAAAUCAAAUAAGCAUGCAACAACAUCAAUCGAGUGAGCACAAGAGAAAGUAGAGAAAUAAUAAUUCUUGUAUUCCUUGAAGGUUUGAAGCAAAAAAAAAGCUUCAAAAUGAGAUAGCAACAUAACCCUACCCCUCUCCUUAAGAACACUCUAGAAUUUUUUAUUAAACGGACAUGUAUGGGAGAAUUUUUGUGUGUAUUAAUUUAUUGAUGUACAAGACUCUUCUUAUAAAGAGGACUCAUAUGAGAUCUGCUUAGGUACGGGAGUCAUAUGAGACCUGCCUAGGUAUAGGAGUCGGUUAAUUUGAUUAUUAAUCGUUAAUUAACAAUUGGUGAAAUUGAUAUGAACAUUCAGAUCGGUUAUUUUUAACCGACCGACCGCCACGGUUAAUUAACCGGUUGACUAAUGUAACCGACACUUUAACGCUCCCCCCUCAAGUUUGGUGGUGUAAAUAUCAUACAUCCCAAGCUUGAAGGGGAGUGUUGAAGAUACGUGUAUAGCUAUACAAUUACCUAGUUUGUAUAUCCCAAGCUUGCUGAUCGCCAAAAUAACUGUAAGUUCUCUCGACAACACAAGUGUCGUAUGUGUCCAAGGAUUCCUCUCGUUAUGCUUUUACUCAAACUUAUCAACACGGUCUAGACUUAAUAAUUUGGGAAAGGUUUCUAAUUAAUCUAUUGACUCAAUUAAAACUAAAAAUUAAGGUUUGAUCAAAAGGAGAAAACAAGUUCUUGGAAGGGAUGAUUCAUCAAGCUUAACUUCCUAAUAGUAGUCAAAUCAAGCAAAUGUUGGACUUGGAUUGAAUAUUAUGAUUCUUCUUAUCACUCGUAUGAAUCCGCGGCACGAUCAUGCGCGUGGAUUACCACUACUAGUUUCCCAGUCAAGAAGAACUAUGAUGGUUAGGAUUUCUUUGCAAGAUGAUGGUUAGGGUUUCUUUUCAAUUACUUUCUUCUAGAACUAUAAGUAGCUAAAUCCUUAGGGAUUCUUGGUUGAGAUGUAGGAAUUAAGCUAUGAAACUUGUCUUGAAUGUGUAAGAUUGACGUUUGUGGAUGAUUGAAUUGCAAUGAAAGUUUGUCUUGAUUGUUUGGUGUUCAACCUAAUUCUUGUUAUGGCUUGAAUUAGGUCAAAUUCAUGAAAUCUUUUGUUCGUGAAAGACUUAGGAAUUCGUUAGAUUGACAAUCGAGGAUAGAAUUUGGUUUUAACAUUAGUCAUCUUGUAAUUGGCGAACGCUCUAGUUUGCACCCAAUGGACCAAGUUGGGUGUAGUUAUCAGUAGCUUAGGCGUUGAUGGACCAAGUUAACGCUAUUUCCAAUUACUGGUGAUUUCUUUUAAUUCUUGUGGAACACCCCUUUCACUUUGUAGAACUUCUCGGUGUUCAUUACCGGCUAGCCUGAUUAAGGGGAUUUCUACCUUAGUUGGGAAGCUAGUAGUGGAAAUCCGCGUGCAUGGUCGUGCCGCGGAUUUAUACGAGUGAUAGGAGGAUUCGUCUUAUUCAAUUCAAGUCCACAUUCGCUCGUUUUGAAUGCAUUUAGGCGGUUGAGCUUAAUGACUCUUCUCUUCCAAGAACUCAAUUUCUCCAUUUCAAACAACCUUUAAAUUGAUAGUUUUAGUUAACUUUAGAAUCAUUAGAAAUUAAAACCAAUUAUUUUAGUCUAAACCGUGUUGAUGAAUUCGAGUAGAGGCAUAACGAGAGGACCGGCUAGCCUGAUUAAGGGGAUUUCUACCUUAGUUGGGAAGCCAGUAGUGGUAAUCCACGUGCAUGAUCGUGCCACAGAUUCAUACGAGUGUUAGGAGGAUUCGUUUUAUUCAAUUCAAGUCCACAUUCGCUCGUUUUGAAUGCAUUUAGGCGGUUGAGCUUAAUGACUCUUCUCUUCCAAGAACUCAAUUUCUCCAUUUCAAACAACCUUUAAAUUGAUAGUUUUAGUUAACUUUAGAAUCAUUAGAAAUUAAAACCAAUUAUUUUAGUCUAAACCGUGUUGAUGAAUUCGAGUAGAGGCAUAACGAGAGGAACCUUCGGACACAAACGACACUUGUGUUGUCGGAAUAACUUCACAGUUAUUCGGGCGAUCACAAACCAAGCACAAACUUUUGCAUAAAGUUAGUACCACUCAACACCCACCGACAAAAACAUUUCCCCUAUCACCUAUGCUCAAAACAGAUAGUCCUGGCCGGGUAUUUUUCCCGUCCUAAGUAGUACCACUCAACACCCACCGACAAAAACAUUUCCCUAUCACUUAUGCUCAAAACAGACGAUCCUGGCCGGGUAUUUUACCCGUCCUAAGAGAGGAAUUGGGUACUUUAAUAAUGUAUUCAAAUAAGAGCACUCCCCUCUUCUUUUGCAAUUUAACUAUUCAUGAUAUACUAAACACGUUUGAGUCAAUUGAAUUACUCACUUAAUUGCAAACUCACUUUUCAAAUUUCUUUUAAUACUUUUGGAGGGUAUCUUUCCAAAUGGGGGUAGUUGCAAUCCUAAUCGGGUAAACUUUCAUCCACAUAGACCGACUUGACCUGAAAAACCCCGACCCACAACUAGGAAGAGGUGAGAAGAGAAGCUUGAAGAGACUAGCUUGCAGGCGACAGACUCAAGGUCGCUCGUGUGUUGAAUCGCAACCAAACCCCCAUCACAAUUUGGCACAUUGGCCUCUUUUACACCUUAUUCAGACCAUCUAGUCAAAUAUGAAUUUAAACAACUAGUGCGACUUGAUAUGGGAAUUAAUUGUUCACAAGUCGGUAGGUAUCAAGAUCGAGUCACCAAGUGCAUAAAUCUAUUCUAAACUCGUUUCGAGAAAAAUGAGAGGCGACCCAAAAAUGAGAGCCCCUCUGCUCUUCCAUUUCAUUUCUCGAUCUUUCGUUCGAGCUCCAACCGUGCUCUACUUCAUGUCUAUAGCUUUAUAAGCAGACCACCUGUCUCUAGAUUACCCGUGGACAAAAAAUACUACAAAGAAACACAUCAAAUGGACCGAAACGGUCCAAAUGAACGAGUCUAGGCACAUAAUGCCAAAACACUAAAUCACACGAGAAUGAAACUCGAACAAACUAAUUAUCACUCAAAAAGCAUGCAUAUCAUGACAGAUAAUUUCUACAAAUUCUAGCCUUAUCGAAUCCCCCCCCCCUCACACUAUAAUCUUGCUUAUCCUCAAGCAAAUUACUUUAUGCACUCUAAGCAAACUCUAAACAUGGUGAAAAGGAAACAACAUGCUAGCAGUUCAAGCCUACUUCAUGAUGCCAAGAAUACACUUUAGAUCACCAAACCACACAGUUAGAUUUACCGAGUGCUCUAAUCCAAAUGAAGAACAAACUUGUGCAUAUAGUUAGUACCACUCGACACCCACCGACAAAAACAUUUCCCCUAUCACCUAUGCUCAAAACAGAUGGUCUUGGCCUGGUAUUUUUUCCAUCCUAAGGGAGGGAGUGUUUACGUUAAUAAUGUAUUCAAAUUGGAUCACUCCCCUCUUAUUUUAUAAUUUUACUAUACAUGAUAUACUAAACACGUUUAGGUCAAUUGAAUUACUCAAUUAAUUGCAAACCCACUUUUCAAACAUUUUGUAUAGAUUUGGAGAGUAUCUUUCCAAGUGGGGGUAGUUGCGAUCCUCAUCGGGCUAAGGCUCUCAUCCACAUAGAUCGAGUUUACCUGAAAAACCCCGACCCACAACUAGGAGGAGGUGAGAAAAGAAGCCUGAAGGGACUAGCUUACAGGCGGCAGACUCAAGGUCGCCGGUGUGUUGAAUCGCAACCGAACCCCCACAAAAAUUUGGGAACAUUGGCCUCUUUUGCACCUUAUUCAGAACAUCUAGUCUCAUAUGACUUUAAACAACUAGAACGACUCGAUAAGGGAAUUAAUUGUUCAUAAAGCGAUAGACAUCAAGACCGAGUAACCAAGUGCAUACAUUCAUUCUAAACUCAUUUAGAGAAAACCGAGAGGCGGCCCAAAAGUGAUCUAUCAUGCAUCCUAUUCACCCUCAAGUAGCAAUACUACGCUAAACAUGUAGCAAUACUACGCUAAACAUGCAUUCACAUCAUCCAAAAUUUUCAAGUUUAAGAGGGAAUUUCAAAUGUUGAAAGACAAGGAUUCAAUAAAAGCAAUCAAGUGAAAUACUAGCAUCCUAAUUCAUCCCAUAAACCACAACAUUAUCCUCACAAGCAGUCACAUUUAGAGAAGAGGUAAGGUGAUACCGAUGAAAUGGAGUUUGGUGGUGAGAUGCGAUAGAAGAACCAUUAUUGAGACCUGCCAACCAUAACAAAGACACAAAAACAACGUACUAGUGAUAGAUGUAACAAGUGUUAUCAUCCGUUAACACGAGUCCAAAUGAAGCAUAAGUGUUGACCAAUCAAUCAAAAUCAAUUCCCGCCAUACUUAGAAUUUUCGCCUCCUCGCAAAAUAACUAAUGUGGAAGGUAGGGAAACAAACUCUGGGUAGUUGAUUUUUCAGUAAGGGUGCACGGCGUGCAUACCUUUUUUCUACUAAGGUUUUGAAACAAUCUAGCCAUGCACGACGUGCAUGGGUGCACCACAUGCAUGCUAGAUUCAUAGAAACAUUUUAAUUCAACCUUCGACAACACUCAUCAAACACAAACACUCAAUAAUCACAGCUCCCUAACAUUCAUUUGGCAAAAACGAUCAGAUAGGACACUAUCAACGGACUCAAAACUUGACUCAAUCACAAGACUAACACAAAAGACAUACCACAAGACAUACAAACCAAUAAUCCUUGGGUUUUUAUUCUCUAUUCUAACAAUGGAUAUGCAAGGGGUGCCUCCCAAGAGCGCUCUUUCUUUUUUGUUUUUGAGCUAGACGAUACCUGGAUUAUGCUCCCCAACUUAGAACCUCCUUGAAUUCCGUUAGCUUCUUCAAGGAUUGGAGUUGAUUUCCAAGUAGCACCCUUAGAGAGAGAUGGAGGAUCCAAAGCGGUUGUGAGCGCCAACUCUUUCCUUGUUGUCGCUUCCUCCUUGUGAAUGUGUAUGCAUGAUGAGGGUAGAGGUAGGUUGGUGAGUGAACAUCAAGUUCUAUAAUGCUCCCCAAGCUAAUGGUGGUAUUCUGGCAGUCGGUGAGGUCGUCCAAGGGUGAUCCCGAGAUGGAGAAUUUUGUUCUAGACCGGUGUGGGAAGUACUCCUUGUGAGUUUCCUCACAUAGGUACUUCAAAACCAAACAUGAGUCUUGAAGGGUCUCGUUUGGUCUCAUUGGAACCACAACUCGAGGAAAACGCCAAACAAUGGAUUUUUCAAUGGGAGCUGCAAUGUCGAAUUUGGAAGGCUUCAUAUCUUCAUGUACUUCUUCCUUCCACUCUUUUCCUUCCACUCUCCAUCAGCAUCCCUUUCAGACUCUUAUACCCCAACAUCAAAGAGAGGUAGCCUGUCUUCAAGGAAGGUUGAUGCCUUCACUUCUUCUUCACACCAUCUUCCGUACAUCUCUAACCCCAAAAACAAUCAAAGUAGGUGGUCUUCAAGGGAAGGGACUUCUUCCCUUUCUAACUCCUCUCCCUCACCAUCAUGAUCUGUGUAUUUGUCCUUUGAGAUUGAAAAGUCUUCAAGAUAGAUUGUUAAUUCACCUUCUUUCCCCAUCGGCUCGUGCAUACAUCUCUAAUCCCAAAUACCAUUCAAGUAAGUUAUCUUGACAACACAAGUGUCGUAUGUGUCCAAAAGUUCCUUUUGUUAUGCUUCUACUCAAACUCGUCAACACGGUCUAGACGAAACCGAUUGAAAAGGGUUUCUAACAAUCCUAUUAAUUUAACUCAAAUAGACAAUUAAGGUUUGAUCAAAGGGGAGAAAUCAAACUCUUGGAUGAGAUGAUUCAUCAAGCUCAACUUCCUAAUAGCAGUCAGAUCAAACAAACUUUGGACUUGAAUUAAAUAAUAUGAUUCCUCUUAUCACUCGUAUGAAUCUGCAGCACGAUCAUGUAUGUGGAUUACCACUACUAGUUUCCCAAUCAAGGUUGGAACAACCUCAACUAGGCUAACCGAUAAUGAACACCGAGAAGCUCUACAAAGUGAUAAGGUGCUCUUUCAGAAUUAAAGGAAAUCGCGAGUAAUCGGAAUUAGUAUUAACUUGGUCCAUCAAUACUUAAGCUAUUGAUAAGCACAUCCAACUUGGUCCAUUAGGUGCAAACCAGAGCGCCCGCCAAUUACAAGAUGAACAACCUUUAAAACUAAAAGAAACACGAAACGAGCUAUUGGCUUACCCCACCGAUAACUUUCAUCUAUCUUAGAUUGUUAAUCAUAUGAAUUCCAGAAUCUAUUAAAUAAAGGAUUUUAUAGAUUUGACCUAAUUCAAGCCGUAACAAGAACUAGGUUGAAAACCUAACAAUGAAGCAAUCAUUCAUUUGAAUCCAAUUAUUCAACAAUCAUCGACCCUAUACUUUUAGGGAGAGUUUCAUCGGUCAAAUCCUACAUCUCAACCAAGAAACUCUAAAGUAUAGCUACUCAUGAUUCUAGAAGAAGACAAAUCAGAAUUCAGCCUAACCAUGAUCUUGAUUGUGAGACGAUGAAUCCAUCUUGCUCCAAUCGUCGCUUUUAAUCUUCUAGUUUCAAUCGUAGCCCAAUCAAUCUUUCUUACCUCUUCACUAUGUUUUGAUCAUAAGUGAGACAACAUGCUAGCAGUUCAAGCCUACUUCAUGAUUCCAAGAACACACUUUAGUCACUAAACCAAACAGUUAUAUUUACCAAGUCUUCUAAUCCAAAUAAAAAACAAACCUAUGCAUAUAGUUAGUACCACUCAACACCCACCGACAAAAACAUUUCCCCUAUCACUUAUGCUCAAAACAGAUGGUCCUGGCCUCGUAUUUUUCCGUCAUAAGGGAGGGAGUGCUUACUUUAAUAAUAUAUUCAAAUCAGAGCACUCCCCUCUUCUUUUAAAAUUUUUCUAUAGAUGAUAUACUAAACUCUUUUGGGUCAAUUGAAUUACUCAAUUAAUUGAAAACCCACUUUUCAAAAUUUUUGUAUAACUUUUUGGGGGUAUCUUUCAAAGUGGGGAUAGUUGCGACCCUGAUCGAGUUAAGGCUCUCAUCCACAUAGACUGAGUUUACCCAAAAAACCCUGACCAACAACUUGGAAGAGGUGAGAAGAAAAGCCUGAAGGAACUAGCUUGCAGGCGGCAGACUCAAAGUCACUAGUAUGUUGAAUCGCAACCGAACCCCCACGACAAUUUGUGCAAAUUGGCCACUUUUGCACCUUAUUCAGACCAUCUAGUCAAAUAUGACUUUAAACAACUAGAGACUCGAUAGGGGAAUUAAUUGUUUACAAAGUCGACAGACAUCAAGACUGAGUAACCAAGUGCAUAAAUCUAUUAUAAACUCGUUUCUAGAAAAACGGGAGGCGGCCUAAAAAUGAUCUAUCAUGCAUCCUAUUCACCCUCAAGUAGAAAUACUAUGCUGAACAUGCGUCCAAAUGAUCCAUAGAUUUCAAGUUUAAAAGGAAAUUUCAAAUGUUGAUAGACAAAAAUUCAAUUAAGCAAUCAAGUGAAAUAACUAGUAUCCUAAUUCAACCCACAACCCACAACUAUAUCCUCGUAAUAAGUCACAUUAGAGAAGAGGAAAGGUGAUACCGAUGAAAUGGAGUUUGAUGAUGAGAUGUGAUCGAACAGCUAUUUUUGGAACCUGCCAACCAUAACAAAAAAGAACGUACUAGUGAUAGAUGUAACAAGUGUUAUCAUCUAUUAACAAGGGUCCAAUUGAAGCACAGAGGUUAACAAAUAAUCAAACAAUCAGAAUCAUGACUCCUUUUGAUCUUCAAUUGGAACUCUAAGUAUGGGGAAUGGUGUUUUUGCAGAGAGGAGAUCGUGGAAAAAUUGAAGGAAUUCGUUCUAGGGAAGUCUGAUUCUCUUUCCUCGAAAUCAUACUUUUAUAUGGAAAACUACAGAUCUGGGGGGUGCACGCCGUGCACCCCUUGUCCUGAAAUGGUCAUGGCCUGAAAAACAAUGCACGUCGUGCAGCUCAUUUUGCUACGAGGGUAUUUUGCAAUUUAGGCCUGCACGGCGUACAGUUCGUCUGCUCCAUCAUUUCUUGUCUUGUUCUUCCGUCCGAGCUCCAAUCAUGCUCUAUUUCAUAUCCAAAGACUCGUAACCAGACCCUCUAUCUCUAGAGUACAUGUGGAUUACAAAUUCUAUAAAGAAACACAUCAACUGGACCACAAACGGUCCAAGUGAACGGGUCUUGGCAUAUAAUGCCAAAACACAAAAACACAUAGAUAUGAAGCACGGACAAUCUAGUAUUCACUCAAAAAGCGUACAAAUAAGUAUAGAUAAUUACUACAAAUCCUAGCAGUAUCAGUCAUCAGCAGGUAGUCUUUGAGGGAGAUUGAUCACACCAAAUUUGGGGAAAUUAUUUAGAUGUGUUAGGGCUUAUUUAGAGUCUGGGAUGAAUUUAAGUUUCACUUUGUUAGGAGAGAAAGAAAUUUGAUCACACACGAGCUAACUUGUUGUUCUCAUUUUCAUACUUUUCCGCAUGUGGGGUUUGUACCUACUAACUGGUUUAUUAAUAUUAUAACGCCUUGUGUCGGCCGGCACAAUAUUGAUAAGAGUUUAUGCUUGCUAGUGUAAAAAAACUAGGGAUGAUAUUCUGCAUUUUAAAAUAAGUGCUUUCAAAAUUCAUUUUAAAAUACAGAAUACCAUCNNNNNNNNNNNNNNNNNNNNNNNNNNNNNNNNNNNNNNNNNNNNNNNNNNNNNNNNNNNNNNNNNNNNNNNNNNNNNNNNNNNNNNNNNNNNNNNNNNNNNNNNNNNNNNNNNNNNNNNNNNNNNNNNNNNNNNNNNNNNNNNNNNNNNNNNNNNNNNNNNNNNNNNNNNNNNNNNNNNNNNNNNNNNNNNNNNNNNNNNNNNNNNNNNNNNNNNNNNNNNNNNNNNNNNNNNNNNNNNNNNNNNNNNNNNNNNNNNNNNNNNNNNNNNNNNNNNNNNNNNNNNNNNNNNNNNNNNNNNNNNNNNNNNNNNNNNNNNNNNNNNNNNNNNNNNNNNNNNNNNNNNNNNNNNNNNNNNNNNNNNNNNNNNNNNNNNNNNNNNNNNNNNNNNNNNNNNNNNNNNNNNNNNNNNNNNNNNNNNNNNNNNNNNNNNNNNNNNNNNNNNNNNNNNNNNNNNNNNNNNNNNNNNNAAUAUUAUAUAAAUAAUUGAUUAUCGUAAAGUUGAGCUUCAGGUUGAUUCGGCUGUGGUGACUUCUUUUCCUCUCAAAGAUCCCACUGAUGAAAAUCGUCAUUCGACAUGCACUAUUGAGCUACAACGCCUCCUCCAUCUUGACUAGAAGGUUUGAGUUAUACAAAUGUUUUGAGAAGGUAAUCGAGUUGCUGAUCUCCUAACCCAUCUUAAACAUUCUCUACCUUUGGGUUUCUUCCAUUCGAAUCUUCCCCUUACUUCUGAUUUAUUUUAUUGUAUUCAAAGAAACCUUAUUGGUGUAUCAUUCCCUCAUUUUCUUCCAAAUUAAUAAUAUUGGACACUAGUCCACCUCUCUAAAAAAAACUUGAUUUGAACAAUAUUAUCAAAUCAACCAUACACAAAACCAAACUAUCCCACUUACAAACUCGCCUAGAUCAGCAUUGCAUGGAUGCUUUUUUUUAUGUACAAAAAAACUGCAUGGUUACUUUUAAAGUGUAAUAAAACAAAUGGAGAGCUCAUCAUUCAUACAUAAAAAAAAGCUAAUUUUGUAAACACUAGUUAAUGUUAUAAGAUUCUCACGUUAAAAGAAGAGAAGAACAAGACUUGUCUUUCCCUCCCCUCUCCACUACUCCUAUCUUCUUCUUCCUUUUUCGUUUACCUUUUCCCCUCACUACUCACUACUCACUACCCUUUCUUCUUCCAAUGAAAUUUUAUAUAUAGUUCCAUCCAAACCAUAUUACGAUGCGUAUAUACUGCUAGAGAUCAACUUGAUGAUAACAUUAUUGGGUGCAAUGCAAUGCCUCGCGUACGUGAAUGCAUGGUUGGUUUUUGUUCCACAAAUGAAACUAUAUCUUAUAUGCAACAUCUUUGUAAUGUAAACAUAAAUAAAUAAUAUAAUGGGGGCACACGUACGUGAAGGAAUCCAAAAAUAUAUGGGCCUUACCAAACGUGAAUAAUACUAUAAUAGUAUUGGACCGCUAGUGUCGGUAAUGUGGUAUUUCUCAAGUUGCUCGCAAAGAUUGGUUACGUGUGUGAUGGUCUUUGGUGCCGAAACUUUUAUUGGCACCUAAAGGUUCGUCCGACAGCUUGUCCAGUUGAUGUUAACGAUGGUUCAAAGUAUAUACAGAUAGGCAUACCAAUUAUAGUAUAACGAUAUUAAAUGAGUAAUUCUUGAUUUGAGUGGUGGAUUUUUGUAAUGCCUAUGAAGAGAUUGAUGUAUGAGGGAGAGGUUGUUGGGUUAUCUCACAUCGGAAUGUGAAAUGGACUGAGUACUGUUUAUAAGUGUGAGGGAAAACCUCACCUUUUGAAUUAGUUUUUGGGGUGAAAAAGUCCAAUAAUACCCAACAUGAUAUUAAAUAAGUAAUUCUUAAUUUAAACGAUGGAUUUUUAGGAUAACAAUCUAAAUAUUUCAUUAAAAAUUUGGAGAAAAGCUUCCCUAGCUUAAAAAGAGUCCACUAACUAUACAAGCAAGAGGCGUUUGGAAAAGAAAUCAAAAUAAAAUGUUCUUCCGAAUUUGACCCAAAUCAAAUAGUACAAGUAUACUAGUGUCAAGCCGCUGGUAACCGAGAUCAAUUGUAAGUGGAACAAUAACUAGUAAGAAGUGGGCUAUUUAUUAUUAAUAUAGGAAGGAGUUGUUUGGAUGUUUGAUUAUCUGAAAGAACAUUCUUUUGUAGCUACGUACUAUGUCAUUGAAUAUCUAAAAAAAAUGCAUAAGAUUUUGAAAUGGAAAAAGAAGAGAAAAGAAAGGAAGUAGGAAAUGAGUAUAUCCAUCCAUCCAUCCAUACUAGCUAGGGGUAGCAAGUGAUGGGAUGAAGCAAAAGAAAAGGCUGAUUUCACGUAUGAUCUACUUUGAUGUGAAAUGUUGUUUGUGUCGCGAGGGAGGCCCCACCAAUUCCACUAAUGACAUGCUUUCCUUUCCUUUUUUUAAAACGGUGAUAUUGAUGAUUUAAGUCUUUGUUUGGAUGACAAAGAUCGAUCCAUUGGGGCCCUAUAUAUUUCAAAGUUGUUCCUUUUUUAUUUAUACUUUAGAAGGGAAGCGAGAGAAACCAUGAAAUGUUCCAUGCAUGACCGGCUUAGUAAGCCUAACACACCCAAAAAACACACACUCCUUUUGGCUUAAAUGUCAAUAAAGCGGCGUCGAAGAAGAAGAAGAAGAAAUUUUAAUGUGUGGUUUGUAGAUUAAGGGAAGCUUUGCUUUAUUAAUAAAUAAAUAUUAAUUGGGAAGUAAGAGUGGAACAAAAGGCUGUUGGAUCACAUGCACAUCACUUUCUUUCAAACGUUUCUCUCUUUUUUCCCCUUUCUUUUACUCCCACCAUUCCUUUCUACUUCUUCUUCUUCUUCUUCUUCUUAUCCUCUUUGCUUUUAUUUUUUUACUGUUACUGUGGUUGAUGUAAUACAAUUUUACCGCGAAAUCGUUAAAGGAUGUGUUGACCUUCCUCUCUGGUCAACUAACUAUAACCAAUGCAAGCCUACAUUGCCAAUCACAAAACGGCAUUGCGUAUUAAGAUACCCAAGUGUGAUAUGCAUUACUACUCCUCAAUCCAAGGGGUUCCUCUGGUGAGGAUGAAAAGCCACAUCUGGUGGGACCCUCCAUCAAAUUACCAUGCAUAUAAAUUUGUACAGGGGAAAAAAAAAGAAAGAAACAAAAGAGAAAAGAGCCUCCUUUCCUGAUCUCCUUUCUUUCUCGAAAGCUAUAAAAUCAAACUGCUGCACAUAUGAUUACAAAGCCAUCCAUUACUUUCAUCUUUGUGAUAACCACCUCAAUCUGCCUGCAUUAUAUACGGAUGAGGUAUUUUAGACCAAAUAACUCCAUUUAAAUUGAAUUAUAUAUUUGGAUUAAAUUAAAUAUUUCAUUUAUUAUCCAAAAAAUAUUUCAAACGGUGGUAUUUAAAAUAAUUUCAAUUGAGUUAUUUUAAAUAUAUACGUAUAUGGGAGUGAUAUUUAAAAUAAUUUUAAUUCAAAAAGCACCAUUCAAAACUCACAACUCAUUGUUUUUUGUUAGCCAAAUAAGAUAAUUCUUACUCCUCAAAUCUUUUACACUUCAAGAAUACUAGUAUACUACAUUCUCAAAAAAAUACAUUAUUUUGCUCUAAAAUACCUCAUUUGCAAAAGAACUUGUCCAAACAACCGUAAAUUUAUAUAAAUUUCAAUAUUUUUUCUCAAUUCAUCGGAACACUAUAUAUGAUCAAACUUAUAUGUGCAAGCUACGCACCGCACCCAAUGGUCUUAACAUUAAUUACCUAAUUCUUAGCCUAGCUAGAUUCUUCAUAGGAAGAAUGUAUGUUGUCCUUUGAAUAUCUUUGGUUAUCCUAUUCCCAUUCUUUGUUAUUUUUUCUUUUGGAUUAGGACUUAGGGUUAGGACCACUAAUGUUACCCAAAGUGAAACCAUAUCAUGCUUAUUAUAAUUUUGAUUUUGAUUAUACUAUAAUUACAUUUAUUUGUUGUGGAGUAUCUAAUAAGUACUUUGGAAAUGGGUUCAUUUGACAAUAUAUCAAUGAGAUAAGUCACUGCCAUUUUCCUAAUUGUUAGUGAUAAAAAAGAAAAUUAUGUAUUAAACGAUUGAAGAACAAGGAGUAAGUAUUUACGUGAUUUUUUAUCAGUAUAAUCGAGUAGUCCAAUUAUGAGAUUAGAAGAAGUGAUGUUUUUAUUCUUGAUAGCAAUCUGAAUAUCACUUGUGUAGUCUAUAUGAAGACGGCCGUUUCUGCCAAAUCGACUCCGGACAGACUUCUAACAUCUAUAUUAUACUUCAUUCAACGACUUCGGAACCUUGUCUUUUUUUCUUUCAUGCAAUGCCAGACAAAACAUAUGAAUCUCCGACCUUGGCAUCUACCAUCAUGACGCUGACCGAGGUGUAUCCAUACAACCUGCAUAAUAUGGAUCGGCUUAUCAUAUGCGUUGCCUACAGAUACCGCAAGAUACGGAAUAGUACUGCAUCCAAAUUCUUAGUUCUCACAUAAAUUGACUAACGACUUGCACUGUAAGUGUUUAAUUUGCCAGUCGUUAUAGUUAUUAUAUACGUAUGCUGGAUCCUCACUGCAUGUACACAGGUAGGGUGCAGACUGAGGAAGCAUGCAACUCAUAUUCCCAGAGCCAAAAAGCUAAUUAAUUAAGUUGAACAUUAUUAGAAAGACGGGAGAAAGGUACAAUACAGUUUGAGUAUUCUCUUUAGUCUUCAGAAAACAAUUGUAACUUUUGACAGGCAGCUAGCUAGCUAGCUAGUAGUGAUGCUGAUAGGAAAAAGAAAAGAGAAAGAAAGGAAGUGCAAACAAACAAUGUCUGAUGAAUAAAGAAGGGCAAAAGAGAAACAAAGGUACCGAGUGGAGGGGGAAGCUAACAGUCAUAUAUAUAAUUUAUAUACAUUGUGCUUCUCAUACCCCACAAGAUUAAAGAAAGAAAGAAAGAAAGGAACUGGAAGAAAAGAAGAAUGAAAGUAAGUUGAAGCAGCAGGAAAAAACCAGCUUUUUAAAGAAUAAGUGCAAUAUGACAAUAAUGGAAUGAUUGUGACUCAACUCUUCUGUUGAGGGAUACAAGAACAAACAUAUAUUUUUAUUUUUAUUUUGUUAAGAAAGCUCUAAUGCUUACUAAUAUAAUUGUACUUUUGAGUCUAAUUGCAAAGCCAUUUACACAAAUAUUACAAAGAAAAAUAGGCUCUAAGCUUUGUUAACAUGAUCUCCAGCUGCCUAGACUCUCGAGAGGUUCAUAAUCAUUCCUUUCAACAUGCAUCCUUAAGUUUUCACUGUGCUAAAUUGAAAUACGUACCAAAAAUGGUAUUUGUAGUAGUAAAGUUUGAUUUGACAGCAAAAAUUAUCAUUUAUAGAAAAAUUAUAUCGUGGUAAGUAGAAGGACGUUGAAUUGAGGUCAAGAGAGGUAGUAGGAUUGUAGGAAGCUAAUUAGGUUGAGGAAUAAAAAAGAUAUUUUGGAAAGUAAUUUUCUAUCGAGUGACUUUGGAGUCGCAAAGAAAUAACCAUCCACUGAGUCAUUUUCAUAAUAUAGGUGUUAAAUUUGAUUAUAAAUAAACACCAUAAGAAAGAAAGCAAAUAAAUAACAAGCGACUAAAGACGGGGGAUGGCUGGGGAAGCUUUUUUGGGUUAUUAAUACAGGGCCCAAAUGAUGGCCUUAUGAAGGCCCAAAUGUUUCAAAACGUCAAUUUUAACACGGCCGAAUUUAAAAUUUUUCACUGAGCAAGUCUUUGUUUGUAAGAGAAUAAGUUUAGAAUUAUGUUUGCACUAUUUUUCUGUACGUCACAUCUAGACAUGAGCUUCAUGGAUUAAAGUAGAGUUAAUUUAAUGAUAGAGUAUUAUGUCUGAUGAGUUGAAGGUUCUGAAUUUAAAUCUAAUAUUUAGAUAUCAUUUGUUGUAUUUAUUUUCAAUUUUUUAUCUUAAAAAAACAUUUAUCUUAAUAGCGGACGUAACCCAUAACAUAUGACACGGGACGGUCAUCCCAACAUAAUUUCUAACUUUUCUUUCUUUACAAAUAAAGACUAACCCAUGACUCUACUAAUAAUUUUGAAUUUUGUACUAGACUUGAAGUUGCGAAAAUUUUGAAUUUCGUUCUAUCUAGUUUUAGCCUUGUAAUGAUAACAAUCCAAGCUUUUAUUUCUGGUCUAUAUGGGGUGGAAGUGGAGGUGUACUCAUUAUCAACAGCAAUUUAUGUAUCAUAAUAAAACGAGAUUAAGUGUUGUGUGAAUCUGACAAUGUAAGUAUUUUUUAAAGGGUGGACUCAAGAUCUUAAUUAUUAAUAACAACGCCCGUGAAAAUGAUACCCCAAUCAUAUCCACAUUAAUACAAUUAGAGAUUUUAUGAGAAAAAGAGAUAAUUCGGUGCAUUUCAAACAAAAGGGAAUGACCAUGAUGAGCGAGUUCAUCUGGCACCCGAUUACCCUCCCUAUAAGUAUGGGUAGUGAUAACAAUCCAAUUGCAUUGUAAAAGUUCAUACAAUUCCUUGAUACAUAUGCAACAACCAUUUUGGAAUCAACUUGCAAGUUGAUUUUCCUGAAUCCCACGUCCCAAGCGAUCCGUAAACCAUUAAUUGCCACUCGAAGUUCAGCUCAAGUAAUUGUGCAUUCACCAUAAUUAGCCGCAAAAACAGCAAUGCAAAUCCCUAUCGUAUCCCUUAAAACACCACCCUCUGUUGAGCUCUUUGAGGCCUAGAGUACGGAUCCGUCCGUAUUGAGGAUAGCCUCAACAUCAGUACGCACCGAGCAGCACACAAGGCCUCCAUGCACUGAGAGCCGGCUAUUAGAUGAACCAUCACAGGCGUGACUGACAGUCUGCCAUGAGCGUGAUCAUCAGGUAGAUCAUGACCGUAGUCAGUAAUGAUGACGAUCAAAUCACACUCUUUAGAGGAAAGCUUUUCAGAGGUAGGGGUUAGGAUUACUUUUCUACUUUAUGCGAAGAAUUGUACUUAGCAGUCAGGUUUCCUUACUUGGAUUUUCAGGACUGUAUAAUAGCGUGCGAUAUGUGGUUGUGGUUUGUAGUUGAGUAUUUCAGGCUCUGUAGUACCGUGAUCUACUACACAGACAGUUGGUAUUUUCGAGCAUAAGCUCGCAGUGAUGAACUGUGCGUGUGAUUCACAAUUAAUUUUAGGAUAAGAAUAAGGACUAGUUAGAUUAGCUCUCGUUACACAUUGGUCGCCCACCCUUUGGGUUGCUCAAUCCCCCUGGAUUCAUUCAGGUUCAUACAGGUGGUGAUGAGUUAACCUCCAGUAUUGCUCUCAUGGCUUUUCAGGGUGGUAUCAGGAUCUGAUCCACCAUGAGGUUUUCAUAUUUAGGGGUGGCUGUCGUUAUGAUGAUGCCUACAGGACUACAGAGUCACUUUACUAGAUACUAGUUCAGUUCUCAAGUUCAGGCUUAGUUACCCAGUUGCUUAUAUUUUGAUAUUGGAUUCGACCCAUAUAUGCUCGAUUUACUUUUCAGCGGUUUUACUUAUGUUAUGAAGCCUUUCAGUACAGUUAUUUUCAUGUGUAUCUUGUGAUCGAUUGAACCUGCGAGUGUUGCAUGGAUCAAAUCGUGUCGUUAGAUUGAGUCAUCUAGGGGUGGGUUUCACAAUGGGUAUUUGAAUUUGGUAAUUCUCUACGGUGUGAUCGAGGUUACUCGUAUCGAAACGUCAUGAACCUCAAAGCGACCAGUAAUGUCGGGAGCAUAGUACUAAAUAACCUGGGGAGAUAUUCUUAUAUGUAUAGGCGUCUGUAAGUUUCUGUGUUUCUUUGCAAGUUGAAAACGGGAAGUCAGUCACGGGUGUGGUGGAAAAUAAGUCAUAGACGCAAUGAACUAUCCACCACGAGCGUGGCUAGUGGUGGGGAACGGCCAUUGCUUUAUGAAUGAUAGAGCUAUUGAUGACUGAUAGUGCUAGGAUUUGUAGUCACUAUCUAUCCUUAAUUGCAUGGUUUUUUAGUGAAUACUAGCUUGUUCAUGCUUCAUUUCUGUGUGGUUUCAUGUUUUGGCAGUAUGUACCUAGACCCAUUCACUUGGACCGUUAUGGUCCAUUUAAUGUGUUUUUUGUAGUAUUUUUUAUCCACAGGUACUCUAGGGAUAGAGGGUCUUAUUACGAGUCUCUGGAUACAUAAAAGAGCACGAUUGGAGAUCGAACGAAGAAAUGGUGAAGAAAAAGGACUGCACGCAUGCAUCACGGCAGCCAUGCAUCACUACACGCCGUGCCGUCCUGAAAACCAAAAUAGGCUCGUCGCCAAAACAGGGGAACGUCGUGCACCCCUUCACGCCGUUUCUUCAUUUUUAUACAUGGUGAUAGGGCUAGAAAUUGUAGCAGUUAUCUACCCUUUUUCUACAUGCAUUUGAGUGGUUAUUAGCAUGUUCGCACUUCAUUUCUCUUCAAUUUCGUGUUUUCGCGUAUUGUGUAUAGAUCCAUUCAUUUGGACCGUUUCGGUCCAUUUGAUGUUUUCUUUGUAGUAUUUUUUAUCCACAGGUACUAUGGAGAUAGGUGAUUUGACCAUGAGGCCAAGGUCGUGGUGUGGAGAGUGAUUGGAGUUCGAGAAAUGAAGUCGAGAUUGGAGUUGGCGCAGCAGAGGGACUGCACGCCGUGCAGUCCAUAAAAUACUCCAAAGGCACGGCUUCAAAACAGGUGCACAGCGUGGACCACUGCACGUCGUUCCUUACUUUUGGCGUCGUAGAAUCAUGAAGAAUUGAAGCAGCACGGCGUGCACCACUGCACGCCGUUCCUACCUUUUGGCGUCGCAGCAUGGAGAAGUAUUGGAGCAGCACGGCGUGCACCUCUGCACGUCGUUCCCUUUCUUUUAGUACAUGGAACGAACACCUUAGGAAGGUGCACGGCGUGCACCCUCCAAAUCCGGCUGCUACUAUAAAAAGGGAAGUUGGAGGAAAGAGAAACCAUUCUUCCCCAACUCGAUUUUCCACGAUUUUUCCCGAGCUUUUCCUGCAAAAACCAGCACAUAAACUCCAUUAGAAGCCAAAUUGAAGAUCCAAAGGAGCUCCCCUUGAAGGAUUGAAGCUAGGAUUGAAGCGUUUUGAAUACAUUCUAGCAGUUGAGCUUAAUAACUCGUCUCUUCCAAGAACUCGUUUUCUCCUUUGAAUCAACUUAUAAUCUUUUAGUUUAAUUUACUCACUAGAAUAUUUAGAAUCAAAAACCAAAUAUUUUAGCCUAAACCGUGUUGACGAAUUCGAGUAGAGGCAUAACGAGAGGGACCUUCGGACACAAACGACACUUGUGUUGUGGGAAUAACUUCACAGUUAUUUGGGCGAUCAUUCAUCAUAGUGAUGCCUAUAGAUUUUGCUUGUUAUAACUCAAUAAGCUUUCCUAUAUAAAACCCUGAUUUGAGCUAUGAUAGUCUCCCUACAAGUAUAGAGUUGACGAUUGUUGGAUAUUUGGAUUCAAAUGAAUAAUUGCUUUGAUUGUUGGGUUUUCAAUCUAGUUCUUGUUACGACUUGAAUUAGGUCAAAUCUAUUAAAUCCUUUAUUUGAUAGAUUCUCGAAUUCAUAUGAUUAACAAUCUAAGAUAGAUGAAAGUUAUCAGUGGGGUAAGCCAAUGGCUCAAUUUUAUCUUUCGUGUUUCUUUUAGUUUUAAAGGUUGUUCAUUUUGUAAUUGGCGGGCGCUCUGGUUUGCACCUAAUGGACCAAGUUGGGUGUAGUUAUCAGUAGCUUAGGCGUUGAUGGACCAAGUUAACGCUAUUUCCAAUUACUCUAUUGAAAGGCCAUGUUAAUACUAAUUCCGAUUACUUGUGAUUCCCAUUAAUUCUAAAAGAGCACUUUAUCACUUUGUAUAACUUCUCGGUGUUCAUUACCAGUUAGCCUAGUUGAGGUUGUUCCAACCUUGUUUGGGAAACUAGUAGUGGUAAUCCACAUGCAUGAUUGUGUCGUGAAUUCAACGAGUGAUAAGAAGAUCCGUAUUAUUUAAUCCAAGUCCAACGUUUGUUCGAUCCGACUGCUAUUAGGAAGUUAAGCUUGAUGAAUUAUCUCAUCCAAGAGCUUGUUUUCUCCCUUUGAUCAAACAUUAAUUGUCUAUUUUAAUUGAAUUAAUAGGAUUGUUAGAAACCCUUUCCAAUCUUUUUCGCCUAGACCUUAUUGUUAAGUUUGAGUGGAAGUGUAGCGAGAAAAAUCCUUGGAAACAUACGAAACUUGUGUUGUCGAGAUAAUUUCACAGUUAUUUUGGCUAUCAAUAACGACCACGGGCGUGAUUAGUUAGUAGGUCACGGGGUUAGUGGGAUAGAGAUGAUGGGCUUGGUCAUGUGUAAACCACCGGUGUGGUGAUGCUGGUCACAUGCGUGGCAAUGUUUCAGCCACGAACGUGAUCUAGGAUACACCACGGGUGUGGCGGUAUGUACAACACGUGCGUCGUCAUGUUUUUACGAUUUUAAGAACAACUUAGAGAUAAGCUUAAAUGAAAGAGGGGUUGAAUAAUUCCUUCGUGCUUGUAGCGAGCCCAAGAUUUCAGUUGAGAGGACUAGAGACCCGCCUGUGUCAAGGAUGGAUUUCAAGGAGCUGACUCGUACGGGAGCCAUCACCUUAAAUAGGGAGUCCACAAAUCUGCAGUUAGUAGUAGACUGAAUGAGAGAGCUGAUGAAUGCAUUCAGGUAUUUGAGACCUGCGCCAGUGCUGAGAGUGUUGUAUGCUACUUACCUGUUGAAAGGUACAAACAAAAGAGAAGUGGGAUAAUUAGCUGGAGUUUGAGGGUGACUUCCUGAUGUCAAAAUUGGGAGGAGUUCCUGAUCUUAUUUAAGAACGAGUUCAUGCCAGAGAAGUGGCAGAAGAACAAGAGGGCUAAGUUCAUCAACCUCAUACAGGGUGAUAUGAAGGUGGUGGAUUACCACAACGCUUUCAUCAAGUUGAGUAGGUGGUACAAGGGUCCACCUGAAUACAAGAUGUAGGAUUUGAAGCAUAUGUUCCUAGAUGGGCUGAGGGCUCACAACAAGAUUGGGGUCACCAGCAAUCAUACGGCGACCUUGGCAAAUAUCAAGGCAGUAGGCUUGAGGGCAGAGCACGUGGAUGGUGUAAGAAAGGGGGAGCGCCAGGCUUGGUAAGAGGAGAAGAAAAGGAAGGGAAUGCUAGGUGGAUCACAACUAAUGCUAGCACCCCAAAGGAGGAAGGACACACAUCAUGGUGCUUCUACAUUCCAAACUCACUUCUCUGCCCCUGUCACCCCGACAGUGCAGCAUAAGCAGUCCAUUGUCAGGUUUGACUGUCCUAAUGUCUGAAGUGUGGGAUGCGACACUAUGAGCGUGUCUGAAGAAAGCAUGAGUCUGCUUUUGGUGCGGGAAGCCAGUGCACUUUUCUCGAGAGUGCAUCGAGUUGAGUAAGCAUGCAGCAUCAGAGGUGACAGUGCAGCAAGGAGAGCUCCAUCUGGGAGAAGGAUCAGAGGUAGGGGCUCCAAGGCUUCGCUGACAGGAGCUAAUGCAGUAGCCUUGAGACGGGGCAUGUCGUAGGGGAGGAACAUAGAGGCUCAGAACAGGGUGUAUGCUACCAAAGCUGAGGAAGAGGCCACCUCGGAUAUCAUCACGGGUAUGGUUGUCCUUUUUGGAAGAUCUUUUCAUGCCUUGUUUCAUACAGGUGCUUCGCACUUUUUCAUCUUAGCUGUUGGCGUUCGAAUUUUACCAAUAUUGUCUACUAGGAUGAGUAGACCUUUUAGAGUGAGUACCUCAGCAGGGAAGACUCUGCUGGUAGAGUCUUGGGUAGAAGGAGCAGUUCUGCUCUUUGAGGAUAGAGAGUUCAUAAUGGAUCUCAUCAUUCUUCGUUUUGAUUAGUUUAAUGUAAUUUUGGGGAUGGAUUGGCUGGCACACCGUUGAGCCUUAAUAGAUUGUAAGAAGAAGACGAUAUGUUUCUUGAUACCUAAGCAGAAGGAUGUAGUCAUCACAGGGAUUCAGCAGCAGAUGCACCACAUACUUCCUUCCAUUUUUGCCUUGAAGUUAGAGAGAUUCAUCAGGGAUGGGUGUGAGGCUUUUGUAGCUCACGUCAUCCUCGUUGCGGAGGGACAAAUCAAGGAUGUGCCAGUAGUUUAGGUAUUUCUGGAUGUCUUUCCAGAUGACCUUUCAAAGGUAUCGUUUAACACAAAGGUGGCUUUCGAUAUAGAGCUGGUGUCAGGCACAACACCUAUAUCCAUAGCACCCUACCCCAUGGCUCCAGUAGAGCUGAAAAUAUGAAGCUAUGGACGCAAAAUAGAGCAUGGUUGGAGCUUGAACGGAAGGAUAGUGCAAGACUUGGCGAAGAAGAAGAGUUGCACGUCGUGCAUCACUGCACGCCGUGCAGCCCCUAAACUUGAAUUACCCUCGUAGCUAAAGGGGGUGCACGAUUGUUGGAUAUUUGGAUUUGAAUGAAAGAUUGCUUUGAUUGUUGGGUUGUUAACCUUGUUAUUGUUACGACUGGAAUUAGGUAAAAUCUAUGAAAACCUCUGUUUGAUGGACUUAGGAAUUCAUAUGAUUAACAAUCUAAGAUAAAAGAAAGUUAUCGGUGGAGUAAGCCAAUAGCUCGAUUCUACUUUUCGUGCUUCUUUCCGUUUUAAAUGUUGUUCAUCGAGUAACUGGCGGUGCGCUCUGAUUUACACCUAAUGGACCAACUUGGGUGUAGUUAUCAGUAGCUCAGGUGUUUAUGGACCAAGUUAACACUAAUUCCAAUUGCUUGUGAUUUCCUUUAAUUCAAAGAGAGAACCUUAUCAGUUUGUAGAACUUAUCGGUGUUCAUUGCUGGUUAGCCUAGUUGAGGUGAUUUCAACCUUGAUUGGGAAACGAGUAAUGGUAAUCAGCGUGCAUGAUCGUGUCGCAGAUUAUACGAGUGAUAAUAGGAAUUGUAUUAUUCAAUCCAUGUCCAACCUUUUGCUCGAUCCCACUACUAUUAGGAAGUUGAGCUUGAUGAAUCAUCCCUUCCAGAGAACUUGUCUUCUCCUUAUGUUCAACCUUAAUUUCUUAGUUUUAAUUGUUAGUGUUGAUUGAAUUAAUAGUAUAAUUAGGAACCAUUAUCAAUUUUUUCAGUCUAGACCGUGCUGAUAAGUUUGAGCAGAACCAUAACGAGCGGAAUCCUUGGACACAUGCGACACUUGUGUUGUAGAGAUAAUUUCAUAGUUAUUUUGGCGAUCAUGCAUGCUUGACUCGAAGAAUAUUUUCUAAAUUAAGAGAAUGAUUAAAUAAUGUAGCUUGAGAGGAGCUAGAGUGAGAGAUUGGAAGUGUUUAGCCCAGAGUUCGGAAUGAUGUGCCAAGUUGUCCAGAUCCAAAGUCAAAUGAUGAUUAGCCCAGAGUUCAUAAGCCAUUAUUGGGAGGAUGAGGUUGGAUGGAGGUUUAGGCUAGGUAGAAGAUGGUCCAGCAGAAUGAGAUCCAAAAUAAUGAGGACUAGGACAAGUGGGUUGAAUAUUCCCUCUUCCACCACAAUUAUGGCACACCACUUCACUUGAGCCGGACUAGCCUUAUUCAAGAAGCCCAACAGUGAAUGAAGUUGCUACCGACUUGAUGUUGUGAGGGUUAGUCACUUGGUGCUUCUGUAGUUGUAGUUCUUCUGGUGAUGAUCUCCAGAGAUCAUCAUAGACAAUGGGUUCGAGCUUGGAUUCCAUGUGCCACUGAAAAGGACGGUAGAACUCAUCUAGACCUUAUAGGAGGGAAGAAACCAACUCAUAUUCUCUAACUGAAUCUCGAAGGGCUACGACUUGGUCAUAGAUCGUGUUUCCUCGUUGCAGAUAGUGAUGAGCAGAGUCUGCACCGCGAGUGAUGCAAUGUACUGACUCCCACAAUUGAUGAAUCUGGAUUAGUGAUCCAGUAGUACAUAUGUGAGCUAGUGAAUCCCAGGUUUCAAGAGUCGUGGCCUUGUUGAGGAUGUUCGGCAUAACAGAUUCUGACAGCGACAACGUAAUCCAUGUUAGUGCUAAUUGAACUUUUUCAUACCAUGUAGAGAAGGAUGGAUUUGGUUGGGAGUUGAUUGUUGGAGGAGGAUCAAUAGCAGUGCAGUCAACGUGGCCGAUCAGACGACUCCCACGUAGUAGAGACUGGACUUGGGCCUUCCAUAUCAAGUAAUUUGUUGGUGUCAAUUUCACAAUGAGUUGAGGAUUGGAGGGGAGAUUGAGAACGGGGGGAGUGAACUGAUGUAAGAGCAAAAUCUCAAUUGUAUUUCUUGUUGAAUGAUUACAUAUAGCAUCAGCUAACAACAUGUAGCUAGAUUUAAGGAAUAUGUGUCUAACUGAAUUAAAUAGAAUCAGCUGUGUAUCGUUGAGGCUUUGAAAGGUUCAAUCCUCCCAAUGUGAAGGAGAUAUUGUGGUCUCCUUAUCAUAUAGUAUUUAUUAAAAGUAUUUAAAGUUAGUAUAUAUUUCAUUUAUAACUGGUUAUAUUCUACCGUGAUUAUAUCAGAUUAUAUAUUUGAUGUGCCAAAUGAAUCAAGCAUUUCUUAUGAAGCUAAUAUGGGGUACGUUAAAGUAACCAGACGAACUUUGGAUUCAAGUCAUGUCAACCAAAUAUUUUCGGAAAAUAGACUCGGGAAUGCGCCAUCGAAAUUCAACACGUCAGUCCAAGCUGUGGGGAGGGUUGCGAGAGAUUUGGAUGACCUUUACCUGGGGUCUGUAGUGGGGAAUUCGUAACGGGUUCACCGUUUGUUUCUAGGAUGAUAUAUGGCUUGAUAAUGGGCGUAGGCUCCGAGACUAUGCUUCCCCUUCGGAAAGUGGCAGAAUUUGUUAGCAUGUCGGGCGAGUGGGAUUUUGCUAAACUUGCUUCUUGUUUUGGUGCCUAGUGCAGUUGCAGCAGUGGUGGGUAUGCAGCCUCCUCAAGCAAGUUUGGGGUCUGAUACUUUGACUUGGGGGCUUGAAGGACAUGAUCGUUACACUGUGAGUUCAGGUUAUCAAUUUCUUAAUGAUCUGAAUGGGGCUCUUCGUCAAGUUGGUCUGAAGUUGAAGAAGAUUUGUAACUGGCAUGGUCCAAAUCGAAUUAGACAAGUCAUUUGGUUGGUUUCUCAUGGGAAGAUCCUUACUAACCAUGAGCGAAGGUGCCGGCACAUGUCCGCAAAUGGAAAAUGUCCAAUUUGUGAUGCUCAAACUGAGUCCUUACAUCAUCUUUUUUGAGAAUGUCAGCCUGCUCGAGACAUUUGGGAGUUUGUCCUUGCACCUGGCCAACUUGACAGGUUGGAGGAUGGAACCUUUGAGAAUUGGUGGUUGACAAAUCUGGCGGACCUGUCGAAUGGAACACGUUUUGGGAUUCUUUGUUGGUUGCUUUGGCAGAAUCGGAACCUGAAGGUCUUCGAAGGCAUGGCUCAAACGCGGGAUACUAUUUUGGCCAAGCUGAAGUAACGGGCAGGAUGUUGUGCUUAAGAGCUUGAAGGAUGUUGUGCUUAAGAGCUUGAAGGAAUAGCCAAUGGGCUGCAUCAAGCAUUUGGGAAGCAAAAAGUUGUCCGGCAGAAUAGUUGGUGCCCGGCGAUGGAACCCUGGCUGACCUUGAAUACUGAUGGUUCGGUUCUUAAUCCAGGGAGUAGAGAUGCUACUGGUGGGCUGCUGCGAAAUGGUGAUGGGAAUGUACUUUAUGCUUUUACAGGGAAUCUAGAUGUUUGCAGCAUUACUCGAGCUGAAUUGUGUGGCGUUGUUGAGGUGCUUGAAUUCGCUUGGUAGUUUGGAGCUCGUCAUAUUAUUUUACAAAUGGAUUCGAGAUGUGCUAUUUAGCUUUUGGAAGGGAGUGGUAUCGACGACCACCAACAUGCUGCUCUAAUUGGUAGAUUUCGUGAGUUCUACACUCGAAACUGGGAGAUUAAGCUUGUUCACAUCUAUAGAGUGACCAUCACUAUAACUGAUUUCCUUGCCCAUUUAGGCCACUCUUACAACUUCGGUAUUCAUAGGUUGACUACUUUCUCGGCCGAUCUGACUAACUGGAUUCUUCAUGUUGUUGUCUAUUUCCCAACCUCGUCGAGUUUCAGUCUAAAUGUUUGUUUGGGUCUUUCUACCAAAAAGAUUAUAUAUUUCAUUUAUAACUGGAUGUAUAGUAUAUUUUUAACUUGUUAUAUAUGUGGGUUAUAAUUAGUUAUAUAAUAUAUUUAUAACUUGACAUAUAUUACCGUGUUAAUAAUUGGUUAUAUACUUAAUUUAUAAAAUCGUUUCCUAAAAUCCUAAACCCAUCUAGAUGUAAGGCUUUAGGGCUUUUUAUUUUAUCCUAAACCCUAAAAUCCUAAAAAUGUAAAUCAUAACUCGUCAGUUUGUAUUGAUUAAAAAAGUUAUUGGAUCGUGGCCGAUCAUAGUUGAAAGUUACCAAUUAUGUCAGUUAUUUUACUUAACUUUGGGACCCUAAGCUGUAAAACAAAUGGGGGACUAAAUCGGAUUUUUGCCAAGUCUUCUUCCCCAAUUACACAUCGUUGUUGCCCUACUUACAGUCAUCUCAUCGGUCCGAUAACGGAACGACUGCUCCAAGUACCUUUCGGUUUAAUUCUGCCGUCCCUAGGGUAACUCAAGAACAUGGCAGCUCUUUGGUUGAACUUUAAUAUGCGAUUGAACAUAAUCAUCUAUCCUAGCCCAGGAGUCCAGAUUUCAUGGCCACUAAUCUUCAGCCUAGUAGUAAUGAUAACAGGCAGGGGGGCUAUGGCUUAGCAGUGAAUACCCGAUGGGCCUUUUGGCCCAGAAUUUAUAAGGAAGAAAGGGUGGCCUUUAGCCAUGUAACGAAAUGAAGGGAGAGAGGAGCCCUGGGCCGAAUUAUUUUAUCAGUAGGGCCCUGGUGUCUAUCUUCAUUAAGACAGUAUAAUGCGGGCCGUAUCUUUAUAGUCUUAAAUUAAUGCAUUAUUAUUCUUAAGAUUUUAUAUUAGGUAUAAUUAUAGUAAUGAUUUGAGUGUUUUUUUUUUGUGGUUUUGUAAGAUUCAAUAAUUAUCAAGUUGAUGUGGUUGCCACAGCUACAAAUAAGUUCAAAUCCUUAAUAUUAAAAUAUAAAAUCAUAAAAUAAAUGAAUUUAAAAAUAAUAAGUAAUUGAUAAUUAUUGUCUCCUUCACAUCUCNNNNNNNNNNNNNNNNNNNNNNNNNNNNNNNNNNNNNNNNNNNNNNNNNNNNAUUGUCUCCUUCACAUCUCUCAAGAACUUGAACUUCGGCGGCGAGCCAUUGAUGAUUCAAACAAGGAAUUGAAAUCUCGAGAGUUAUAAGACUCUGAAUGAUUCUAGGAGAUGUUACGGAGGUAAACAAUAGCGUCGAUUAGACACUCGUCAAACUUAGAGUCCUCUACUGAGGAAGAAGACUAUGUGAGGAGGGAGAUUUGACGCAUUCUUUUUAGUUAUGUUUAUUUUAUUUUAAUUUUUGUUUAUUUAUUUUAAGACUCAUUUGUAGUUUGUGUGGCAGCCCCCACCUNNNNNNNNNNNNNNNNNNNNNNNNNNNNNNNNNNNNNNNNNNNNNNNNNNNNNNNNNNNNNNNNNNNNNNNNNNNNNNNNNNNNNNNNNNNNNNNNNNNNNNNNNNNNNNNNNNNCUAUAAUGACAUUCGAUGCAGAAUCUUAACUAUAAUGACAUAUAGUAUAUUAACUAAACACUGUAACGGUAUGGGUCCCAUUUUACUCCGACAGAAUUAGUUGAGGGGUUAGGAGAGGAAGGGUUGUUUGGGGCAGAUAAAUUUGUAGGCAAACAAUUUAAAUAAUCAGUAAAUUAAUAGUUAGAAAAUAAUAAGAAUGCAGAAUAUACCCAGUUGGUGCCCAUUGUUAAAAUAGAAACCAAUUUAAAAACACCAUUACGUAUACUUUGAUUACGUUCGAUUGGAAUGAAGACACUUAGGGAGGUUUGCAAGUUUUCAAUAAGUUUUGUGUUGAUGUGCUAUAAAAAUGAUAAAGAAUUAUGAAGAUAGAUAUGAACAAUAAAAAAAUUAUACUAGACCCAGAGAACAAAAAAGUAGAGGGAGAAGAAAAUAAAUUAUUAUUUAAAUAUAUAUUAUAUAAUGUUGAGAGUAGGUUUGGCAGCAAGUUUGCGGGUUUCGGGUAUUCGCGAGAACCCGUUCAAAUUGAGCCCAUUUGUGCCCAUCAACGGCGGGUUUUUAUCGGUUUUGGGCUCACGCGCGACCCGCCAAACACGUGUGACGGAUGGUCGUGGUUAAUGGGAUCUCGGACCCAUCACCGACCCGAUAACAAAACGUCGUUUUUUCUAUGAUAUAUAAACCGAGUUUAGAGUUUCAGAUUAGUCUUCCGCCGCUUUCAACCUCCCUUCUCGAUUUUUUUCUCAAUUUGCGAUCUCUCUCAAAUCCAACGAAGAAAUCUCUUUGAUCCCUACGAUUCCUCCAUGUUUUCUGCCUUUUUCCUCUCCUAACCAAAUAAUAUCUAAAGGGGUCAGUGAUAACCAAUCAAGGAUUGAAUCUCUAAAAACUCUGACUGUCAGGUUUUCCUACGUAGAUUUCAAUCAAUAGGUUUAAGAGAGAAAGAAGAGGAUUAUUUACCUUAUCUUACAUCUCCUAUCCACUCCAUUCCUUUAUCCUUGAUCAUCAACUAAUCAGCUCCAACUUCUCUCUUUGAUCGAUCUCCUUCAUCUCAUGGAAAGAAAUCGCCUUUUGUAGGUUUAUCUUUCGUUGUUUUUAAGUUGUAGGUCAUGAUUCUGACUUAUAUAUUAAGUCUACCAUGCACGUGACAGACUUACCACAAUGUCUGUGACUGCCUGUUGGUCACUUCUGUGACCUUCUAUUGGUCACGCCCAUGGUCUCUUGAUGGUAACACUCGUGACUAUAUGUUGACCAUGACUGUGGCCAGUCUGGCAACCACACCUGUGACAAUAUGUUGGCCACACCUGUCAUCCCCAUCCUAUCAGACCAAAACUCAACGGAAUCAAACCAAAACCCAAACCAAUAGUUGAACCGAAGUUCGGGUGUCACAUGGGUUAACAAGUACUUGUGAUAUUACUGCUUAUGUCAAUGCUGACCAUGUAGGUUUUUUGGAUACUCGUUGCUCUCCGUCAUGAUGGUGAGUUAUGCUUGGUGAUUCGUGUGUUACCUGGUAGUGUACGAAACAAGGCGGGUUUCCAAAUCCUCGAUGGAGGUGGAGUACCGAUCCAUAUUUGAUGUGUGCUUCGAGAUAGUUUGGCUUACUCAGUUACUAGUGGAGCAUGGUGGUACUAUGACACGACUUGCAUCUCUUUUUGUUAAUUACACGAGUGUGAUUGCUAUUGUGACAAAUGACUUUGAGACUCAUGUUCAUUAUAUUCGAGAGCUUAUUGUAAAUGGGAGUGUGCGGCUCAUCUAUAUUCGCACCGACGAUUAAGUUGUGGACUUACUCACCAAUUCGGUUGUCACUAGUCAUUACUGGUUGCUUGUGGCCUUACCCAAUUGUAAUUAUUUUGUUGAUCUCGGGUUUGUAGGAGUCUAUAUAUACUCGAUCGAUAUACCUUGUUGGGUUUUGUAUUGACCAGUCUCUCUAAUAAUAUUUUUUAACCAUUGUGUCGUGGAUUAGCCUAAACGAUUUUUGUGAGGAAUACCACGUAAAUCUUGUCUUGUGUGAUUGUUCUUCGUCUCCUUCCUGAUUGUUAUCAGGUUAGAGGUGUUUGAGACUUUGUAUGUUACAAAUUUACAAAUUUACAAAUUUAGCGAGAAGGUUACGAAGAUCCUUAACUUAGUUACUAUCGUAGUUUACAAAUUGAAGAUUUAGAUUAACAAUUGUUAAUUGUAGAAACAUUUUCCAAAGAGAGAAUUAUCCAUGCAUGGCUCUCAAUCUGCAAAAGUUAGGAUAAAGCAUGCUAGCAUUUCAUUAUGGCAUAGCUUGUGUCAGGGUGUAUCAUUCAACGUCUAAAAUUAUUCGUCUUCUUCCUGAUUGUUAUCAGGUUAGAGGUGUUUGAGACCUUGUAUGUUACAAAUUUACAAAUUUAACGGGAAGGUUACGAAGAUCCUUAGCUCAGUUACUAUCAUAGUUUACAAAUUGAAGAUUUAGAUUAACAAUUGUUAAUUGUAGAAACAUUUUCCAAAGAGAGAAUUAUCCAUGCAUGGCUCUCAAUCUGCAAAAGUUAGGAUAAAGCAUGCUAGCAUUUCAUUAUGGCAUAGCUUGUGUCAGGGUGUAUCAUUCAACGUCUAAAAUUAUUCGUCUUCUUCCUGAUUGUUAUCAGGUUAGAGGUGUUUGAGACCUUGUAUGUUACAAAUUUACAAAUUUAGCGGGAAGGUUACAAAGAUCCUUAGCUCAGUUACUAUCGUAGUUUACAAAUUGAAGAUUUAGAUUAACAAUUGUUAAUUGUAUAAACAUUUUCCAAAGAGAGAAUCAUCCAUGCAUCGCUCUCAAUCUGCAAAAGUUAAGAUAAAACAUGCUAGCAUUUCAUUGUGGCAUAGCUUGUGUUAGGGUGUAUCAUUCAACGUCUGAACUUAUUCGUCUCCUUCUCGAUUGUUAUCAGGUUAGAUGUGUUUGAGACCUUGUAUGUUACAAAUUUACAAAUUUAGCGGGAAGGUUACAAAGAUCCUUAGCUCAGUUACUAUCGUAGUUUACAAAUUGAAGAUUUAGAUUAACAAUUGUUAAUUGUAGAAACAUUUUUCAAAGAGAGAAUUAUCCAUGCAUCGCUCUCAAUCUGCAAAAGUUAAGAUAAAACAUGCUAGCAUUUCAUUGUGGCAUAGCUUGUGUUAGGGUGUAUCAUUCAACGUCUGAACUUAUUCGUCUCCUUCUCGAUUGUUAUCAGGUUAGAUGUGUUUGAGACCUUGUAUGUUACAAAUUUACAAAUUUAGCGGGAAGGUUACAAAGAUCCUUAGCUCAGUUACUAUCGUAGUUUACAAAUUGAAGAUUUAGAUUAACAAUUGUUAAUUGUAGAAACAUUUUCCAAAGAGAGAAUUAUCCAUGCAUGGCUCUCAAUCUGCAAAAGUUAGGAUAAAGCAUGCUAGCAUUUCAUUAUGGCAUAGCUUGUGUCAGGGUGUAUCAUUCAACGUCUAAAAUUAUUCGUCUUCUUCCUGAUUGUUAUCAGGUUAGAGGUGUUUGAGACCUUGUAUGUUACAAAUUUACAAAUUUAGCGGGAAGGUUACAAAGAUCCUUAGCUCAGUUACUAUCGUAGUUUACAAAUUGAAGAUUUAGAUUAACAAUUGUUAAUUGUAUAAACAUUUUCCAAAGAGAGAAUCAUCCAUGCAUCGCUCUCAAUCUGCAAAAGUUAGGAUAAAACAUGUUAGCAUUUCAUUGUGGCAUAGCUUAUGUCGAGGUUGUAUCAUUCAACGUCUGAACUUAAUAAAUUUUUUGAGAUAUCUACCUUCGUUACGUGCGAGUAGAAUAUCAGGUUAGGCGGUAUACAACCCUUUGUGUAAAAUUGUAAAAUUGUAUUAUGUAACCUCACAAAUACUUUUAACUCACUUUGUCAAAUAAAAGCCAACUAGCUAAACUUGUAAAAUUAGGUUACUAAACUAACAAAAAUACCAAAAUAUAAUAGCUGCUAUAUCCACUAGUUAAAAAAUUGUGACCACAUGUAAAAAUUAUGAAGAGUAGUACACCAGAUGCGUGCGGUGCGCGUGUAUUCCACUCCCAAACCAAUGUUUUUAAAUGCUUCUUUUCAAUUUCACGCGCAUGUGAUGCGCUUCUGUUAUUUAUUUAUUUUAUUUGCUUUUUAUGCUUUGCGAAGUUAAUUACUAGUAUCACGGGGUCACUAAUUUGUCUUUUACACUAGUUUCAUCCUAAAAUAAGUUGAAUUUAAUUUAUUGAAAAUUUAGUCAAAUUUUAUUAAAAUGUUGGUAUCAAAUUGUGAUUAAUUAAUAUAAAAAGAUUAAAAUAAAAAAUGUUAAUUUAAUUUCGUAAUUUAUAUUUAUUAAACUUAAAAUAAAAAUUUAAGUGUUUAGCUAGUUUUAUAUUUGGAGUAGUUGCAAUAUUCGAAGGGAAUAAAAUGUUAAAAUCACAUUUGGCCUCCUUAUAUUAUUAUACAAAGAGAGUUGUGAUUAGCCUUACAGAGAAGAGCUUUAUUGUUGGGCUUAUUUGUAUUGGGUCAUCAAAUUUGUUUACCCAAAGUGGUGCCCAAAAACACAAACUCGGGCACUGUCAACAAUAACUAAAACAUGAGACCUAGAAGGAGAGAAGAUUAAACUUGAUCUCCAGACAUGAAGCAGCAAGAAAAGCAUCAUGGAGGGAAUCAGCUUAAGUCUGAUGAACCCAAGCACCAAGCACCUUUAGAUCGUCUUUUGGGAGGGCUCUUAUAAUCCACAUGCGAAAGUCAGAACGUUGUGUUUCAGCAACGAAGUCAGCCGCCAGAGGGCCUUGCGGGUCAGUCUAACCCAACUGAGACCAACAAGCCAAGGGGGCCUAGAGCUAUGCUUAGGCUUAAGUAACAACAAAUUCCCUUCUAAGCCAAAUCAAAGACUGGAGGCGCUGCACACCGAUUCUUCACCACUAGUGCAUACCAGGCAUUCACCUACGGUCCCUCUCCAUCAUGGCUUUCUAGUGUGGCAUUAUUGGAUUGGGCAUGAAACAGCUCAAUACAUUGAUGACAAAAGCAAGGUCAGGCCUAGUACAAAGGAUUGAAUACAUUACAAAGUCGACAUCCACGUCAUAAAGAACAUUCCUCAUUUGAGUUGAGGAAGGUUUGACAUUUCUUAUUGAAAACCUAUCUAACACAUUGAACACAUAGUCAACUUGGGACAAGAAAACCUCGUGCUUCACACGAUUAUGAAUGAUCUUAAUACUCAGAAUUUUCUGAGCAGGUCAUAGGUGUUUCAUGUCAAAAUAUUUUUUAAGAUUACCUUUCAUAUUUGUAAUAGAGGAUUUAUCCCUAUAUAUUAGAAGGAUAUCAUCCAUAUACAAUAAAAUAUACAUCAUAGAUUUCAAUUUGGUUUUCUUAAGAUAAAUGUAAGUAUCAAACUUAUUAGGAGUGAAACCUAGAAAGUUUAUAAAAGCAUUAAAUUUGAUAUUAUACGAGUUAGGAGAUUAUUUAAGGCCGUAAAUAGAUUUCUCAAGCAUAAAAACAUGGUCAGGUUUUUGUUUAUCUAUAUAUGAACCCUUUUGGCUUCCUAUGUAUAUGAUCUAAUUUAGAUCAUUAUGUAGGAAGGCGGUUUUAACAUCCAUUUUUUCUAACUCUCAACCAUAGACGACAGUCAUAGCUAGGAGUAACUUUAAGAACUUGUACUUCACAAUAGGGGCAAAAAUUUCAUUUUAAUGUAUGCCCUCCUUUUGGGUAAAGCCCUUACCAACAACGCGAUCAUUGUACAUGGAAGGGUCGAGGGGACAUAUUGCCUCCUUUAACCUAAAGAUCCACUUAUUGUCAAUAAGACAGAUCCUUUAGGUAUAGGUAUGAGAUCCAAAGUUUGAUUCGAGAGCAUGGACUGAAAUUUCUCGUGAAUGGCUUGAUUCUAAAACUCAAACUUUGAGCUAAGCAUGGGUUGUUGAAAGGUUUCAUGAUAAUCAUUAGCUAGCAUCACAAACACAUGAAUUGAAAACUUAGCAAUAUUGGAAGUAAACCUACUAUUGGGAAUUCCAGUUCUAGGCAAAUGAUCCCUAACAAGUUGAUAAUCAGCUAACUCACUAGUGGAAUGAUCAUUUCUAGAAGCAGAGGAAGAACCAUUCACAAAUGAACUAAUCACAAGAGAGUUUAAUUGAGAGUUAUGCUGAUUAUUAUUGGAAGAAGAAAUUGAUACUACUUAUUUUACUGUAGUAGGUUUGCUUACCUCCCCACCUGAUUGGUUAGGUUUUUUAGGGAGUCUGAGAGCUUGAGGAGGUAUCUUGAGUCAAAGACUCGAGAUGGCGUUCUAAGGUUAUGGAAUGGCCAUGAUCAUCAUGACCAAUGUCAAACUCGGGGUCAAUGUCAACCUGUCUUGAUUCAGUUGCUUACAUGGGUGAGAUCUGUAUCAUCUGGUUCAGAUUUCCCUGCUGUCUCAACAAUAGAGGUGAGUGUAUCUUAAACUGAAACUUUCUCAUUAAAAGUAACAUUAAGGGAGGUUAUCACUUUGUAACCUCCAUGUUGCACAAGCAACAACUUGUAACACCAUCAGACUAUCCAGCAUGACACAUUUUUGUGCUUUAAGAUUCAAUUUCUCUUAGAAAAUUUUGGAAUAGGAAGUGCAACCGAAGGGCCUGAGAUGGGACCGGGUAGGUUUCUUUUAUGUCCACAUCUUUAGGGGGGGGUUUGAAAACAGAUAGCGGACGAGGGAGAUCUGUUUAUGUGGUAAGCAACUAUAACCAUUAUUUUACCGUACAAUGACGGUCUUAAUCUUACGCUGAUUAACAUGUAUCUAGCCUUUUCCAACAAAGUCAGGUUCAUCCUCUCAGCAGUACUAUUCUAGCGAGGGGUGCCAGGAACAGUGAGGUGUAUGUUCCCCAAGAAGGCGAGGGAAGCCGAUCGAAAAACCUAUUCCCCAAGAAGGCUGGAGGUCGCCGGCGAGAACAGCAUCUCCAUCGAGAUGUGAUCAGGAAGAAUGACCCUUCUGCAAUGUGAGAAAGAUAAGUGACCUCAGUAUAGUUUCUACAAGUUCAGGGACGGGGUUGUACUAUCUGAAUGUUAGGGGACAGAUUUAAUAAUUAUGACUGUUCAGGGACUGAUCUGCAAAUUAUGACUGUUCAGAGACUGAUCUGAAAUAGCCAGCGUUGGAGGACUGGUGCUGGAAUUUACCAAACUGACCUGUGAAUGACAGUUCUGCCCCUGUAAGUUUAAGUUUGUUGCAACAGAGUAAUUGGUGCAUAACUCUACCGUUUGAGCUCCAAAUGAUGCACCGUUAGAAAUUAUGGUUUCGUAGUGGCAUGGCGGAUCAGCUAAGAUCCAAAUUCUGAGAUGCCGUCUCUUCAAUAAGGUGGGUUGGUUUAAGGGGGUAAUAUAUUUUCGUUGCAGUAGGUUAGGUUAGAUUUUAAUUAAUUUGAUGCAUUUGAUUUAUGCCAUGUUCCAUGAUUGAGUGUUUAUUUAUGUCAUGUUAUGAUUUUAAUAUUGUGCAGGUUGUGUAUAUAACUAUAAGGUUAGACUAGUGUUAAUAACACUAAGAUAAGGUUAGACUAACGUUAAUAAUAGAUGAUGAUAAGAUUAGUUAUGACCAGUGAUAAGAAACAAGAACACAUCACCUACAUUAGUAAUAGGUGGACUACAACAUGAAACUCACUAACUAGACCCCGCCUCUUAUAACUCGAGCCACAUUUUUGCCCACCAUGAUUUAUGGGCCACAGCUGCCCCCCAUGAUUCACGGGCCACAAUAUUACCUUCUAGACCUUCAUGAUUUUAGCACUAGGGCGGUGGGCUAGUUAGUUAAGUUGGGGGACGCCUCACAAGAAAUAACUUUCCUUACAUAAGGACAAGAAUAAUACAAGAAUUAAGUGAUGUAUAUGACUUUCAUCAACAAGAUGAUUAGGAUAUGACAAGUUAUAAGAAUCAUGAUACUAUGAUUUAUAAUGCACCUAACUUGAUUGAGUUUAGCUUCAAUCUUCCUUGAUGAUUCCUCGGUGAUGAUUCGUUGUUGAUGAUUCCUUGAUGAUGAUUCUUUGUUGAUGAUUCCUUGACGAUGAUUCGUUGUUGAUGAUUCCUUGAUGAUAAUUAGUUGUUGAUAAUUCUUUGAUGAUUCAUUGUUGAUGAUUAAUUACUUGUUAUGUUAAGUCUUUAUUUAUGAUAGGAUUACAUAAAUAGGACUACUUUAUGUAAUAUGGUUACUUAGUUAGUACUUAUGAAUCUAAAUGUGUUUUUAUUUUCCUAUGUUCAGUUAUGAUGCUCAUAUGACGUGCCUAUAUGAUUAAACUAGAACAUGAUUGGAUUAGCUAGCAAGUGAACAAAUAGAACUAAGUCUAGAUGAUUAAUAGAUGAUCUAAUAAUACGUUAGGAUUUCAUUUAUGUUAGCAUGUUAUUUAUUAUGAAUAGAGUACGAAAGACUGACCACGAACCACCCACCAUGGUGUUUCGAUAGUUGAUGCAGGAGCAGAGUGGAGCUGAUUCGGGAAGUGGCGAUGUGGACUUGGUUUUUAGACGGAUGUUUUAGAAUUUUUAUGUUGAGACUUGUUUUCAAUAUUUUUGAGCAUUUAUUAGUAGUCAGUUAUUUACAAAAGAUUUCUGUUUUAUUUUUUUGGUUGGAAAAUUCCAUGGUCGGGGAAUUUUAGUCAUUUAAUAAAUCGUAAGAAUUCAAGGUGUUUCGGCUAAUCCCUCAUGGAUUUGGUUUCGGAUGCAUAACAAGUGACUUUCCAAAAGGUCACCCAUUUUUGCACUGCUCCACCCUUGAGCUAGUUGAUACCUGGAAGGUUAUUCGGUCCAAGUAAGUACCUCCUUGAAUGCCAUCAUCUUCUUCAUGGUAAGAAGUUGAGUAUCGAGCAGUAAUUGAAGUAGAUGAUAGAAUAACUAGCAAACUUUGCUCAAAACCUGCUUGCCACCCCGGAAUAACCAUCUCCUUCAGAAGUUAUAUGCUUGAGGAGUGAAUAGGUAGAAAGGUGCAUCACUAUCAACAACCUCAAACUUCUCCAAACCAGUGAUGCCACUUGAAAUGUCUUCUGAUUUGAGCUUGAAUGGUUCCUCUUCUAUGACAUCUUCAACCUUGGUGUUAAGGUGCUUGCUAUCAGUUUCCUGACAAAAAGACUUCAUGACCGAGCAAGAAUUUCGAAGGGCCUCAACAUUCAUUGGUAAAACCACAAUCUGAGCGAUGUCUUCGUCGAUGGAGCACUUUAUAUAGCCAAUCGCUAAUUUCGAACAUGAGCUUCAUCCUUCUACAGGUGUUUUGAUGAGAUAUUCACUGCCAUCGCCUUCAUAUUCUAUUUUAUUUUCAUCACAGAUAGCUUGAAUUUCCUUAAUGAUUUGUUCUUGUAGAUCUUCAUCGUUGUCCCAAAAGCAUGAAAAAGUUCCAUCCAAUUCACAUUCUCCAAGCUCACCAUCAUAGCUAGCUUGAACUUUCACAAUGAUGUGUGCAUCUUCUAGAUCUUCAUCUUCAUCCUCUAAGAAUUAAAAAGGGAAUUCACCCUCGUCCCUUUCAUGAUCUUAUAGCUUUUCAUCACAGUCGACUACAUUGUACUCAAUGAUGGAUGCAUCUUCCUCCUCUAUGACCACUAUGUUUCUUGUAAUACUAAGAACAUCCUGAAUGUCAUCAUCACUGUCGAGCACGUCAUCCUCUUCAAAGGGGAUAUUGACGGGCUCUACUUUGAAAUCAACUCGUAUGUGGCAUUCAUUCGCUUCAUAAGUGCUUCGUAGGCUGCCAUCAUUUCUUCAAACCACAAUAUGCUUUUAACGGUGCAGUUUUGAAAUAACUGUUUUAAUUCUUCAUAAGCUGUAGGAGGUUGAUAGUGAUAAUUCCGUGUAGGCCCUUGGUAGUAUGGAGGUGAGUAUGGAUCUUCAUGAUGGUAAUUAUAUGAUGAUGGCUCUAAAUAACUUGGGGAAGGCUGAUGUUGAUAAUCCCAUGCAGACUUCAGGUAGUAUGAAUUGGAAUAAGAGUUCUCAUACCACGAUAGUGAUGGUUGAUGCUCGUUAUAACUCCAUCGCUGGUUGUAUCCUCUGUAGUCAUGCAUCAAUACACUCAAACAAAACUAUCAAGGUGAAACUAGCAAAAGAAAAUACAAAAUAGAUGGAAAUAUACAAUGAGUGAAUGGUUAACACUAAACUAACUCCUUUCAAACACAACAAAUUGUCUAUGUAUCAAGUAUCCAUGUUUAUUUAAGUUCAUGACAAGCACUAGUUUGCAGAAUAUAUGUACCUGAAUAGGACGGUGGAGCUGGAGGACUUUGAGCGACUACUAAGUUGGUGAAUGUUGCAAUAGCAUUCUUAGUUGAUGCAAUUCUUCUGAGGUGAUAUGAGGAAUGUUGGCAGGGAGUUUGGACUCAAUCCCUUUAGCAUAUUGAUCAUUGGAUAUCUCCCCCAGAGUCACAGCACCUACAAAAUGAUUGUUGGAGUUCCAUUUUCCUGGAUUCCAAGUACCUGCAUCUUCAUGUUGUUUCUUCCAUUUCAGCUUCAUACACUCCUCUAACAGACGUCCUUCUUUCUUACAAUAGCGGCAAGUCUACUUCUCAGAUCCUCCAUGUGAACUCUUGAAAGUGUAAGCUACUUGAACUAUCUUAACAUCUGGAAUAGCAAAGACUACUGCAGAGCUAGCCUUUUCUUUGCCAAUGGUAGCUCCUCCUUUCAACUUCUCUUCAUGUUGUAAAACACUAUCAUAAGCAGCGGUAACGGAAGGUAGUGGUUUCAUCAUUAGCAAUUGAGUUUUCACCACUUUAUAAUCAUCAUUUAAACAACGCAAACACCGAAUGAGAUCAUCGGUGUCUUGUUUCUCCUGAAAAGCAAUGACUGCUGGACAGGGAGCAGUGUACCCAAGAUUGCAAUUGCAAGCCACAAUCGGAGUGUAUUGGCUAUACUCCUCCCGUAAUCCUUUGAUCAGAGUAUAAUAGCUAGUAGCUGACAGAGAUCCAUGUUAGAAUUAGCUCGAGCAAAUCUGCAUUUCAGCUCCAUACAGAGAACUUGAGCAUUCUCGUGAUUAAGAAUGCUAAGACGGAUCUCUGGAUGUAGUGAAUUAGAAAUCUAACACAGUACCAUCGUGUUAUAGACAUCCUACUGAGUGAAGAGAUAACUGGUCGUCGGAGGUUGCAGCAGCGAUCCAUCAACAAAUCCAAGUUUAUGUUUUGUUUUCAACGCAAAACGUACAAGAGAUCUACUCCAUACAUGAUAUUUUACGCCAUCAAGAACAAUAAUGACAAUCGAUUGAGACAGAUUUUCAUACGGAUUCAAAUAGUAGGGAUUUCCAAAGCUCAAUUCAGGAUUAGUGUUACCAUUUGGGUUAAAGGUGCCAAACGUGAAGCCUAAUCGAUCUCCUCUGGAGGUGGAGUGACUUCCAUUAGACUCUGGAGUAUGCUCUCCUCUUCCUUCAUUCACCAUUACGCCAUCAUGGAUCUUCAUAUCUACUCUAAUACCAUCUUAGAAUGGGAGAGAGGAAGAGAAAUGAACGAAGAAAUGAUGUGCAGAAGCUGUCAAACUUACAGCUCUGGCUCAGGAUUGAUUCUUAUUUAAAUGGUCCAGUAAAGUUGGAGUACAUACAACGGUAAACAAGACAAGUGGCAGAGCAUUAUUCGUUACUGAGUAGAUUAAUUAAGCUAAUCCACAGCGACAACGUUUCAGUAAAUGGAGAUGAAAUGACAAAACCAGCUGGUUCAGGUAUCCUUGAUGACCUCUUCUGAUACAGACAAUAACCGUAACGAUGUAGUGUGUUUGGGGUUAGCUCAAACUGUGAAGAAAGAAGAAGAGAGAUAUGGGAGGAGGCAGUCGGUGUUGGGGAUGAAGACGGACUUGUCCUGGAAGAGAUGAAGAUACAAUUACUUAAUAGAGAAUUAAUUUUUUUAAGUUAAUGUGGUAUUUUGAUUAGUAAGUAUAGGCCAUGUCAGUUUUGUUUUCACGGUCACUAACAAUCAUGGUUAAGAAUGUCAGAUCAGACCGGUCGGUCCAACCGAAAACUGGCCGAGCCGAAACUAAGUCACCGGCUGAUGAGAAUGGUCAAAAUUAGGCGUUAACUAGGCUUGACAAAAAAUUCAGCCGGUUAGACCCGAUUUUUAUGACUACACUUUUUAUUUUUCAAAAAUGUAGGAGUAAGAUUUAAGUAGAGAGGAUGAGUGAUUACCAUCUCUACUAAUAUCAUAAUUUUAUUAAAACAUACAUUUAAUUGAUAAUAAUAGACAUUAUGAUAGCUAAUAAGCACUAAAAAAAUAGCAUCUUACCACAAAUUAAGUAAAUUGUACAUUAGAUCUCAAUCAAAUUAAUAAAAAAAUUCAAAUUAUUUAUUUAAUUUUAUACUUCUUAAAAAUGACUCAAUAACUAUAUUUUUUACAAGUUAGAUUAUGAUAUUGAACUCUCUAUAGUAUUGGUUCAAUUGGGCUCAAUAAAAAAAUCGGCCAAUCUGACUUAACUAUAUUUAUUUAUUUAAUAAUUAAAACGGUCUAACCCAGUUUUGAAAACGGUCGGACCUCCAUAGAACCAUCAACUUGAAUCCCUAACCUCACCGGUUCAAUCUCCGAUCCUGUUUUCAAAACCUUUGUGAAAUUCAAAAAAAUUUGUGUACAAACGUGUAAUUACGCUAUAAUUCGUGCUAAUAUGAGAUUGUAAACAUUUUAUUGAAACAAAACUAAUACUAAAAUAAUAGAACAGUACUUACCAAUUUGGUAAUGAUACAAAAAAAUUAAAUAAAAAAUAGUAAAAAUCGUAGAUGUAAUUGAAUUAAUUGUUAGUUGCAAAAUAUGAUAAUCCUGCAGGAAUUUUUUACCUAAUCUGCACUGGAGCCAUUUCGAAUUAUAAAAUAUAUCCCUAAGUUAUCAUUCUAUAUAUGUCAAGUUGUAAGGUUGUAAGGUUGUAAAUGUUGUGAGAAUCAAAGCAUAGAUCUGAAAGUGUAAUAAGUAAGGGUUGCUUUGUAAAAUAGGAAAGAGAGAAAGGGUAGUUGCAGAGGAUGAUGCAGUGUUUCUAUUGCAGCAGUGAAGAUUGGGAAGGAGCAAGGUGGAGGAAGGAACAAGGUCCCAAGAUACAUGCAGCAGUACUAUUCAAUUUUAUUUUUAUUUUUUUCAAAAAGCAUGCAGUUCCCCACUCAUACUGUCAAAUUCAUAUUUCAUAUGCUGAUGUGAUGCCGCCACUGAUCAGGCAACUGACUCAGACUCCCUGAGAGUAAAUUAAAGCUCUCUCGUUCCAAAUUUCUAGCACAUGAAUGAAUGAAUGAAACAGCCUCACCAAUAUACUGCUAGUGGUCGCAGCAAAAUGAAAAACCCAAAAAAGUAAAGUGAGAGAGAAAAACCUGAUCCUUCUCGAAAUGCGUUCCCCUUUUAGACAGUGAUUUGUUAUUAUUUAGGUUAAAGUCUUAUGCCGGUAGCUAGCUGGCUGGAUCCACCCCUUGCACAAACCAUAUCUUGAUAAUGCAAUUCAUUUCAACUUGUGGAAUUACUUAUUCCUUCCAACUUCAAUACACAAUAAUACUAAGCAAAACGAAACAAAUUCCAAUCUUUUUCCAACAUGUUUUGUAAGCCUAAAUGUAAAUACUCGUCUCCACCACUUUUUGUGGUCCGGUCCACAUAUGUAAUUCAAUAACCGCCUUGUCUAUUAAUAAAUUUAUACGAUCGGUCGCAGAUAACUAUAUAAUGUUUUUUUAUCAAGAUAGCUAUAUAGUUCAUACACUGGAUUUCAACUAUUUGUGCUCCAAGUCACAUACUAAAUAUACUUGCAAAUAGAGGUAGACCGGAUUAAUUGAUUAUUAGUUUAAGUGAAGUUAUUUUAGUAAUAAAAUGAUAUAAUAAUGAUUUACAUAUUUUAAUUUGAAAUCCAACCCAUUUCACGAAUAUAUACUAUAUAAUUAUUAAUUAAUUAUUGUAACAUGCCGGGCGUUACUUCUUUUACCGCCGAACAAAUUACACAAUAUGCCAGGUGGACAUCCAUGCUGGAUCCAACGGCACUGGCGAUUGGCCAACUAGGACGUCAAUGGUGGUUGUUGUUCGUCGUAUUUCAUUUAUACGGAGAAACGAAGACUGAUAAGGUCGCUGACACCUGUCAUGUGAUUGUAGGGUUUUAGCUAAGGUUUCCUUUUGUUUCCAUUAUAAUUUAACAGGUUUUAAUUAACAAUAAUAAUAAUAAUAAUAUAUUAAAGGAAGGAGAAAAUCCCGAAAUAAUGAUUCCUGCACCACCAAAAGCAAUUAUGCUUCCCCUACUCUGCUCAAAGAAGAGAAAUUGGUUGGUAGUCGGUAGAUCUGAGUUUCUUUCGUUCGUUGGUUCGUAUAGACUAAAGAGUAUUAGACACACACCCACAGUAUGAGUGGGGCCCUGUAUACUUUAACCAUUUUUGGGUGGGUGGGUCCCAACUUACUUUUUAUUAUUUUUUUCUUUCUUAACUAUUCCAUUUUGGGUAAACAAUUGAAACCGUUGUCAACCGUGACAUAACCCUAUCCCUGGGUCCCGUUUUCUUUUUAACUUUCAACGCUCCCAUUUUAACCGUCAUAUCAUAACAAAUAUCUAAUCGUUCGAAUAUGUUUUCAUGUUUAUUUUUAGUUAGAUCGGACUCUUUUUUUUACGGUCUAGUUGAAUUUCAUUGAACCGUAUGCAAGAGUGGUACUCAAACAUAAAGUCGUUGAAUGAAGCAAACUAAGAACAAGAGUGCUACUUAGAGAAUCAUGAAAACUUGCAUUACAUGGCGAUGAUAAAACCCCCACAUCUACAAACAAAACCUCAUCAGUCAUCACAACAUCAGCCUUGUACCAAUAAUUCCAAAUAAAAAAUAAAAAUAAGAUAUCAUUCCAUCACACGCAAAAAAAAAAGUAAAAUAAAAUAGAAACAAAAAACAAUGAAUGAUAUGGUUCCAAAAUACAUACAUUAUUAUAUUGAGAAGAUAUUGUGCAAUGAAAUAGCUAGGCGGAAGUAAUUAAAUUGUUAUAUAUAUUCACUCUUACACACAAGCUGUAUAGUCCAAUGGGCUGUUCCCGAUAUCCCUUCCUUCUAUUUCGCUGAAUACCCUUUUUCUCUCCUCUUCUUCUUCUCCCCCAUACCCUUAACCCUCUUAACACAGUCUUCACUACCCUGCAACCAUUUCAGAGUAAUUUCUCCUCUUCUCCAUACCCUUCAAAACUGUUAUAUCUACUGACUUGCAAUUACAAGAUGGAAAGGUACUCAUCAUCAUCCUCCUCCACAGAUGAUCAUCAAGACCACCAAACCACCACCACCACCAUGCCAAUGGAGUCCAUGCUUAUGAUGAUGGCCGAGAAGCAGCACCUCCCUGUCGUCGACGACUAUCUCUACUCCUUUGACUGCGGUGGUGCAACUAAUCCCACCAACGCCACCACCAUUAACCCAUUCAACACCAACAACCCACUUCCUUCAACUACCUUGUCCUUUUCCACUACAUCUCAAGAUCAGCAAUCAAUCUCAUGGAGAGAUCUCAUGAUGACGGGUGAAUCCGGUAACGAUAAUGUCGUCAAUGGUCGAGGUAUGGGGUCAAAUAAUAGUAACAACAAGGCGUCGAUGGCGGCGAUGAGGGAGAUGAUAUUCAGGAUAGCGGCGAUGCAGCCGAUCCACAUAGACCCGGAGUCGGUGAAGCCACCCAAGAGGAGGAACGUCAGGAUAUCUAAAGACCCGCAGAGCGUGGCGGCGCGUCACAGAAGGGAAAGGAUUAGCGAGAAGAUUAGGAUACUUCAGAGGCUAGUCCCAGGUGGUACUAAGAUGGAUACUGCUUCCAUGUUGGAUGAAGCUAUUCAUUACGUUAAGUUCUUGAAGAACCAAGUCCAGUCUCUUGAGCGCAAUGCUCCUCAUCGCCCGCCGGCGCCGGUGGCAGCUGGCAUUGGGUUUCCUGUGCCUGUCACUAAUGGCCAUUGGAAAAGCGGUUAUAAUCAACAGCCUCCGGCGCACCAAGAUAUUUCUGGUUAUGGGGAUGCUUAAUUAAUGUAUCCCAACACUUUGAAUUCUUGUGGUUAACUUAUAGUUAAGUACGUACAUUAAUCUUAACUGUUGUCUCUUUUUCCGCCAUCGGGAUUAUAAUAUUAAUAAUAAUACUAAUGAAAUGGUCAUUGCUGGAUUAUUAUUAUUCUAUGUAAUAUCCACUGGCUAGGUCAUGUGUCUAAUCCUUCACUGUAUCAUUAAUGCAUUUGGUAUAUUUAAGUGCAGCAUUCCCUUUUAAUAUUAUAAUAAUAAAAAUACAAUACAAGUACCGAAUUUGAUUACUGCUUCUUGUAUAGUUAAUUUUCUUUUUCCUUCAAAUAUACGAAAGGAGCUUCAAUCUGAAACGAAAACGCUCCAAUCUGAAUAUUUCUUCAUUGUACACAGCUACCAAUCGUCGGCAAACAAGUGUUGAUCAACGUACACAAACACCUUGUAGUUGUAGGCAUCAGAUAGUCUUUUCAAUUCUUUUCGUUCANNNNNNNNNNNNNNNNNNNNNNNNNNNNNNNNNNNNNNNNNNNNNNNNNNNNNNNNNNNNNNNNNNNNNNNNNNNNNNNNNNNNNNNNNNNNNNNNNNNNNNNNNNNNNUAGUUAUUUUAUAUAUUUUAACAUAAAAGUAAAUUCGUUAUUAAUUAAAAAUUCUAAUAUUCUAAUAAUAUUAUUUAAACUUCAAAUCCAACUUAUUGUAUAUUUCGUUUCUAAUUACUCUCUAUUCUACUACUCUGUUAUAUGUCUGGCCUAUAUAAUAUACAUGAGUUAUUAGUAUGAACCAAUUCAUUUUGGAUAAGAAGCUUCUCUUAGUGGUUGAUUUUUUAUUUAUUUUUUAUGUGAGACAUCAUAUUUAGUAAUAUUAAUAUUAAAUAAAUUUUAAAUUAUUGGCGAUCAAACCAAGUAAGACGAGUCAAUAAUAUCUUUAUAUGAGUGUUAAAAUGAUUAGUAUUAUAGACUUCAAAUUCAAAAUUUUCAAAAACAAAAUAAUAUACUACGACCACUUAAUAACGCAUAAGUGGUUGAAAUUUAUCAUAAAGGUUAACAACAAAAGCAGCACACGUUUACGGCUAUUAAGGAAAGACAGGAAGGUGCCUCCCAGAACACACUCAGUUCGUCCACUUGACUGUUGGUGGCUAUCUUAUUAAUUGCUCGUAAUUUAAAGUUCUCUUUUUUUAUAUGACGUGCUCUCUAAAAAGCAAUUAUAUCGAUUAAAUAAAGUCGUCAAUAAGUUAUUGAAUUGAGAUGUUACGAAUACAGGUUACAAAAGUUGCUAGGUGUUAGUUUGGAUACAACUAAAUAAAGUGACUGAUUCCGGAUGAAUCAAUUUAUUAAACUGAACAUAUGAAAGGUAAAUUACAUUUGAUCGUACUAAUCAAUCUAUAAAUAUUAAAAAAGUUAUAUAAUAUAAAAAAUCCAGGAUCUAAAAAUAAGCUGGAUAAAGACGUCCGGGGAGGCCUUUGUAUCGGCAACUGACUUAAUGCUAUCAAUAGCAUAAGAGAAAGUAAAAAGUUGCAAAACCAAAAACAAAUUAAGUUCUGGACUGAAAGACAAACAGCAUACGGAAUAAUAAUAGAGAUGAGAUAAAGUUGGUGAAUGCUGCCAGUGGUGGCCGUAGCAAAUGGAAAAAGCAAACCAUACUGUUUAGAAACCGGUCCAAAAUAUGUCGUAAGUUUAGGUUAAAAUGAAAGGGUAACGGUUUUAAUUAAUUCAUCCAUUAAUAAAUAUAAUAAAAAAGAAUGGUUCAAGUUAAACCCUACUUGUUCAACGCUUUCAGAAAAUAUAGCAUGCAUGGUUCACUACAGUUUUCGUUAUAUAAUCCGCAGCCAUUAUACCCUCUAACAGUUGGUCUCUUUAUACGAACAUGUUUUUUAAACGCAUAAUAAAAUAUUUGGGUGUUAAACUUGGGGAUGAGUUUGAUUUCAUAUGGUGGGUACAGAUAUUAAUCUGGGAAAACAGGAAUUCAGGGAAAGCGGAAGGAUGAGGGCCGGUGGAAAAGGAGGCAUGAGAAUUCCACGUGAACGUCUGACAAUGCGGUGGCCAAUUAAUUAUUUUACGCCACGUGGCCAAAUGAUGACGUCGCUGUCCGCCCCACGCCUUCACACGUGACAAUCCACUGCACUUGGUCUUUCCCUUCCGUUACGUGGCGCUCCACCUCAUCUUCAACGCUCCAGCUCCCCUCUUACCCUUUUCUUUUGCCGUUUGCCGUUAAUUAAUUUAUCUCGUUUUCCUUUGUGUUUCUUUUGUUGUAUAAAUUCCUGAAUUCAUUAGUGGUUUGCUCCUAAUCUAAUGCGAGUUCGUGAUUGUUAUGCAUUCACCACUCAAUUAAUAGGUAGGACAUGGUUGUAUGACGCUUACGAUGAUUUGUGAUAUUGAGGGCCCAUGGGCGAAGCCCCACGAGGAAGUCAACCGCGGAAGAGUGGACAGCAUAGUCAAUAAUCGACACCUUUUUUAGACGUAGAUCACCUCAUCGUGUAAAAAGGACACUAGGGCUCAUUAUAACAUAAUAUGUCGAUUAUUGGAGACUAAUCCCUCUAAUCACUAAGCAAGAUUGAAGUAAUGACAAACUGAAAGUCAAGAGAAAUGAAAUUGAUCAGCUGAAAUAAAGUUUUCGAUAAGAUCGAAAGUUUCAGCCACUCAUAUAACUGAAUACAUAAAACAUGACAUUGUCAUAAAUUAAUAUAAGUCAUCAAUCUCCCCCUAAGUCUGAGAAUGCUUUUCACUAUGAUGUUUUCUAAGCUCCCCCUUAGCCGAGUGCCUAAUACAAGAACUGAAGAGAUUUCUUCAUAGAAGAACACAACUCAAAAUUAAAAAAUCAAAAUUCAAAUCGAGCACUUUUAAUGAUAAUGAAAAGAGCAGAGAGACUAAACUAGAACUGACAAAGAAACAAAUGCAGGAAAAGAAGAAAUCGAAUAGCUCUAUCUCUCUGAACAAUAAUCAGCUAAGUAGAAUACUCAAUGAGAAGAAGAACCCAAAUGCUCAGAAGGCGCCGCCUCAAUAAUAUCAAGAACACAAAUAUUCAGAUGACGAUUCAAUCUUUCGAUAGGAGCAUCAAUAAUUUCUCCUUAGAGAGAUUUUCAGACUUCGUUUCAUAUUUGAUUUGAGACCCAUCACUGUCUUCAUCAUUUUCACCCCCUGAAACAUUUUCCAGACGAGAAAUACACUCGAUUUCUUAAAACACUGUAUGAGGGUUCAGAACAUCCAAGGGUGAAACAUAAUAGAAUCUACCAAAGAGGGAAAUUCAGGACAUGCCAGCAGAGCAGAGAUUUCCGGAGCAAAAGGCAAUGCACCUGUAAGACGAGGAUUUGCAAGUUAACAAUCAUGCGAAAUUGAUGUGCGGAUUUUACCCUACUUUUAAAUACUUACUAGAUUAAAUUUAAUGGGAUCGUAAAUUUUCUUAGGGUUUUCCUACUUCUAUUAUUCAAGUUGAUUAACUAACUAGACCAAGUAACAGUUUAUGAUUAUUUUUAAGAUUGUAUCAAGUAACCAAUUAAUAACUAAAAAUUCAAAUCAAAAGAAAGCAAAUUUAAGAGGUUGAGUUUCAAAUGAAUCCACUAAAGCUAAUUCAGGAUGGUGAUGUGAAAGUUCAUUAUUUCAACAUGUCAAAUUGAAGAUGUUUAUACUAAGGCGCUGGCUAUAAGCAGACACUGGUUCUUGUCUACCAAAUUGAUGUGACAUAAUGAACAUCAAUUCAAACGAUGUUAUUAAUAGUUGGGGUACCAAUAUGACGUUGUACAUGUGAAAAGAUUAAGUAUAAAUAAUUUCUAAAUAUGGUUCAUAAACCCUCAACAUACCUCGACAUUUCCCUCCACUUUAUUCACUGAAUAAAAUUCUCACAUUUUUAUAUGAACUAAUCGAUCACUUUAAUUGAAUAUCGUGUUCAUUUUUAUUUGUUCAUUUCUUGUUUCCGAUUAUUCUUAUACCCUCUUCUCAUACUUUUAUUUACUAUUCUUCCUCGUCCGUCUUGUAAGGAACUAUCUUGAAAGACUGCAAAAAGUUCUCAAAAACAACCAAUCAAGCAAAUGGAUUCACAACCAAAAAAUUUAUGGGCCGCCAAUCGAACCGAACAGAACAUGAAGUACCAAAUAUUAACUAAAUCUAACGCAGGGGACGACUUGCAUAUUUUCCUUGUUCAAUCCUCUUCCCCACUUCUCUGAUAUGCUGUAGAAUUCUGGAAGCACAGCGACGACAAAUUACCCCAUUAUGAAUGUAUGUUCAUCCCAGCUAUCAUAUGAAGACAAAUGUAGCUUGAAACAAAAAUGGAAUAUUAAUUUUAUAUUAGCUUAAAACAUAUAUUUUUCUUUUCUUUGUCCUUUAUCUAUUUCCUUUAUGGACGAAUUUAAAAUUUUUCUUAUCACCACUUCUAGCCAUUUGACAAACCGAUGAUUGUAACUCAAUAGACUAUUAGACUUAGCUUCAAAGUACACACUUUAUAUAUAAUUUUUGUCCUACAGUCUGGUUAGUCAUGCAGAUCAUGGACGUAUUAUUUGUUUCUGGGGCAAAAGUCAAAAUCUCUUAACCUAGCCCAACUCUAUAAGUAUCCUAGAUCUCUACUACAUCUUAACGUUCAGAUUAACUAAGAUAAAUUAAUUUUUUUUUACAUUUACGAACUUUUAAUACUGUGACAGUUUAGCCAGCUUGGGUAACGAAAGUUUUUUUUGAAAAUUUUCAUGAUGACUCCGAUAUCCGUCCACAGUAACCUUUUUACCCAUGUGAUUGUAUUCCCUGGCUCUACAUUUUUAAAAAAUUAUUCAGGCGAGUUUGUUUUUUUUCAAAACAUUCAGACGAGAUUCUUAUAAAAUAUGAGUUCGUAUAGUUCAUAUAAACUGUAUACACUAUGCGUAGCUUUAUACACAAUAAUAAAUACAAACUAUAUAUAUAUAUAUAUAUCAUACACAAUUUAUAUAAAGGGUAAGACAUUUUUUAGGUGACUUGAAUUAACUGAUUUUGAGUUAGUGACCUACAACAGUAGGUUUAGCACGCUACCUUAUGUAAUGAAUAAUUGUAGUUACAUAAACCUUACGUAACGGCCUUCACUUUUACGUAACAAAUAUAAUUUUGCCUGUUACGUAAGGAACCACUGUCGUUACAUAAGCCUUACGUAACGCCCUUCACUCUUACGUAACAGACUUAAUUUUGCCUGUUACGUGAGGAACAACUGCCGUUGCGUAAGCCUUAUGUAACGGACUUCACUCUUACGUAACAGGUUUAAUUUUUCCUGUUACUUGAGGAACAACUGUCGCUACGUAAGGAUUACGUAACGACCUUCACUCUUACAUAAUAGGCUUAAGUUUGCCUGUUACGUAAGGAACAACUGUCGUUACGUAAGCCUACGUAAUGACCUUCACUCUUACAUAACAUGCUUAAUUUUGCCCGUUACGGAAGGAACAACUUCUGUUACGUAAGCGUUACGUAACGACCUUCGCUCUUACGUAACAUGCUUAAUUUUACCCGUUACGUAAGCCUUAUGUGACGGCCUUCGUUCUUAUGUAACAUAUUUAAUUUUUUCCGUUAUGCAAGCCUUACGUAACGACCUUCACUAUUACGUAACAUGCUUAAUAGUGCCCGUUACAUAAGGAACAACUUCCGUGACGUAAGUCUUACAUAACAACUUUCAAUCUUGCGUAACUGGCUUAGUUUUUCCUGUUACAUAAGAAACAACUUCCGUGACGUAAGAAACAACUUUCGUUACGUAAGCCUUGCGUAACAACCUUCAUUCUUACGUAACAGGCUUACUUUUUCCCGUUACGUAAGCCUUAUGUAACGGCCUUCACACUUACAUAACAGACUUAAUUUUGCACGUUAUGUAAGGAACAACUGCCGUUACGUAAGCCUUACGCAACGACCUUCACUCUUACGUAACAAGUUUAAUUUAGCAUGUUAUGUAAGCCUUAUGUAACCACCUUCAUCCUUACCUAACAAGUUUAAUUUUGCCUGUUACGUAAGCAACAACUGUAGUUACGUAAGCUUUACUUAACGACCUUCACUCUUACGUAACAUGGUUAAUUUAACCUGUUUUAAUCGUCUGUAACUAGUUACUUGCAAGCGCAUGUAACUAUUUACAAAACUCAAUAAAUCACUGGCGAUGAUUCGACCAGCUUCCAUAACUUAUUAUAAUCUUCUAUAACUAGUUAUAGUAAUUUAUCGUUGAUUUUUCAAUAAAGAAUUGUUUAUCGUGACAAGAUUUAAUGACUAGUUAUGAUCAAUAGUAACUGUAUAACUAGUUACAUUCAUCUAUAACUAAUUAUAAUCGUCCAUAACUAGUAACACAAUUUAAUAACGAAUUAUGUCCGUGCACAACCAAAAUUGCUCAACCAAACAAAAUAACAUUAUUGAUUGCAGAAAAGCAACGCAACAUAGUUGCUUCAAGAAUAAUAAGCUCAGCCAAUUGUAAAAUUUGAGAAGAAAAAAGAUAAUGAACAAGAGUAUAAAUCCUAGAAAUGAGCUAUACCUCUACCAAAAAAAUAGGGAAAUACAGUUCCUCUUUUGGCCGGUUCCUAGUAAUAAUGAUUAUUAUCAAUUUUUAAAUUUAAAUCCUAAUCAAUGGCUCUAAAUCAUUGUAGUUAAUUUUGAUGGUUUUGAUUUAAUUUAAUUAACUCAAANNNNNNNNNNNNNNNNNNNNNNNNNNNNNNNNNNNNNNNNNNNNNNNNNNNNNNNNNNNNNNNNNNNNNNNNNNNNNNNNNNNNNNNNNNNNNNNNNNNNNNNNNNNNNNNNNNNNNNNNNNNNNNNNNNNNNNNNNNNNNNNNNNNNNAAUGCAAUACCCUGUAUAUAAAAUUUGUAAAUAGUUUAUAUAAAAUAUAUUACACUCUAUAUGAAUCCGGUGUUGGCAGAGAUCUCUGGGGUUAGUCAUGGCUACAGGUAUCGCUUCUUCCACUCAAAAUUCUAGUUGUUGAUAAUCGAAGGUAGCGCCGUAGUAUUGAAAAGUCUGUCGUUUUGUGUGUGGUUGGGAAAGGGAACAAUGCAUAUUGGCUCCACAUGAUGUUCUGAUGUUAUAAUAAUAUAUUAUAUAAAAAUUAAAAUGCAACGUAUAGAGUGUCCCAAGUAACGGAUACAAUGUAUUUGGGGAGUAUGUCCUUUAUUCCAAAAUGAAUUAGCAUAUAUGCCUCCACAUCUUUGACCUCCAAAAUUCCUAUCUUAUUUCAAGGCCAAGAUCUUAUUUUUAAACAUUCACUGCUUAACUUCAAACUAUUCAGAUAAACUGGUGCUCAACCGGAUCAAUCCUAUGAACAUAGUGGCUCUGUAUCACCUAGGAAAUCCACUCUCUGUCACUCGGUAUGGUCAUUACGAGUUCUUCCAAAGCUUCGAUUUUUUUUUUUGUAGGUUGUGCCAUCGCAUACUUCCAACUCGCCAGGGCCUGUUGCAUCAGCAUGUGCCAAUAACGAAGAUCAGUUGUCUGGUCUGCUAGGCGCCAGAGGAAUCAAUUUAACAUCUCCUUUUUUACUGCCCAGUUGACAUUAGACUCACUACACUUGCGGGAUUGCGUGUCCUGGGUUCCGACCACUUUCAUAAUGUGAUAAUUUGGCGCACUCUCAUUCAGAAUCAGCCUGAUUAUGGUCCACGAUACACUUUAUUAUGGUGGCGGAUUUGAAAAGCUCGUAAUUUGGUAGUGUUUGAGUAUUGCCAACUGGUCCCUAAUGAUAACUCCGAAAUUUUUGAGUCUAUGUUUCCUAUGUUGGACAGACCAUCAUCUACUAACAGAACGAAAUCUUGCAGUACUCCUAAAUUUUCUGCAGAACCAGCUGAGAACUCAAAUCAACGGGAUGUCAGGAGAAGUAAGAGAGCCAGAAAAAGUACUAAUUUUUGUCCUGACUUCCUAACCUCAUUUUUUAUUGAUUCAGUCACUACAGAGGAAGAAACCUUCUUGCUAGAAGAAGAACCAAUAAGCUUUGAAGAAACAAUGAUGUCACCUGAAGCCACACUCUGAAAAGAAGCAACUCAAAGUGAGAUGGAGUCCAUUAAGACAAAACAAACUUGAGAUCUUGUAGAUCUACCUAAGGGAUCAAAAGCAUUUGGUAGUAAGUGGAUCUUUAAAUUUUUUUUGAUAAGUGAUGGUUCAAUUGACAGGUUCAAAGCGAAACUAUUUUGCUACUUAUUCUCCAGUUCCAAAGAUAACCAUUAUUCAAACUUUUUUGUGUGGCUUCAAUCUAUGACAUGCAGGUACAUCAGAUGGAUGUUAAGACAACAUUCCUCAAUGGAGAACUGGAUGAAGAGAUAUACAUGCAGCAACCUCCAGGUUGUGUGGAACCAAAUCUCAAGACCAAGGUUUGCAGGAUAAAGAUAUCUCUUUAUGGCUUGAAACAAGCUCUAAAGAAAUGGUAUGAAAAAUUCGAAAGGACCAUAACUGAGUUUGGUUUCAGUUCAAUCUCAUCUGAUUCAUGUGUAUAUGCAAAACAGUUUGGUUCCAGUUGUGUAUUAAUAUUUCUAUACGGUGAUGACAUGUUUAUUUUGAGUACUGAUCUAAAUGCCAUUGUUGAGACAAAGAAUAUCCUAUCUUCCAAGUUUGAAAUGAAGUACAUGGGAGAAGUAGGAGUUAUUUUGGGAAUAAAAGUAACCAAACGGAACAAUGGUUAUACCCUUUUAUCAGUCUCACUAUGCUGAAAACGUUGAGAAAGUUUCACAGUUAUGAUUUAUUUGCUGCCAGGAACCCUUAUGAUGCCCCCCCCCCCCCCCCCCCUCCCCCGUUCUUAUCCUCACUCUACACUCACACAACUCACUACUCACCACCCCCCCCCCUUCUCAAAUUGAUGGUCAUUCGACAAAUCAAUUUGCUAGCGAGAAACCAGUGACGACUAGUCACCACUGACUUGAUGAGAAGAUCAGCCACUUGCUCAUCGGUCUGUAUAUAGAAGAGAUGUAUAUUGCCUUCCACAAUAAGCUCUCGGAAGAAAUGAACAUGUGUCUCACCGUGCUUCGUCUGAUCAAGAAACAUCGGGUUCAUCGCGAUUGUAAUAGUGCUGGUGCUGUCAGCAAAUAGAGAAGCUGGUCGCAUUAAGAUACCUCCAAGUUCCUGCACCAAACGAGUAAGCCAAACAAUUUCGGAGCACACAUCAAACAUGGAUCGAUAUUCGACCUCUGUAGAAGAUUUGGAUACCCUCUCCUGCUUCUUGCACCUCCAAGUAACACAGAAUUGCCAAACAUAACACACCAUCCACUCGUUGUACGACAAGUGUCCAAACACCCUGGAUGAUCUGCGUCUUCAUAGGCAGUAAUAGCACAGCUUCCUGAAGCAGGAAGAAAGAUACCAAUAUGAGGAGUACCAGAUAAAUAUCAAAGAAUGCGUUUCACUUCCGUAAGAUGAGAAGAACGCGGAGCAGCCAUAAAUUGCCCUGUACUGCAUAAAAAAUCUUCGGGCGAGUAGACGUCAAGUAAAUGAGACUCCCAACCAGACGUUGAUACUGCCGCGGAUCCGUCAAGAGAUCGCAUUGAUCUCGAGCUAGUCAACCAAUGAUUUAACUCCAUAGGAGUCACUACCCGAGUAUAAGCCGUGAAUCCAGCACUCUCCAAUAGAUCACCAAGAUCUAGUAAUCUCAAGCCCUAAGAAAUACGACAGAACACCAAUAUCCUUAAGAUUAAAGUGAGACUUAAGCCACUGCUUUGUCUCGGAAAUACUAGUAGAAUCAUCGCCCGUAAGAAUUAUAUUAUCAAUAUAAAUAAGCAGGACUAUAAGACCACGAGAAGAACAAUGAAGAAAUAAUGAAGGAUUGGAGACGCUCUGUUGAAAGCCAUAAUCAAAUAUAGUCUGAGAAAACUUGUCGAACCAGGCAUGAGGCGUCUGUUUCAACCCAUAAAGUGAACGACGAAGAUGAAAAAAACAUCUUUGGAUUGUUUAUCUUAACCAGAUGGACACUCCAUAUACACCGUCUCCUUGAGAUCACCGUGCAAAAAAAACAUUUUUGACAUCCGGUUGAGAAAGAGGUCAAACUGGUUGGGAAGCAUAAGCCAACAAGGUUCGAACCGUUUUCAUUUUGGUAACAGGAGCAAAAUGUCUCAUCGUAAUCAAUAUCGUACUCCUAUUUAAAACCCUAUGCUACAACCCGAGCUUUGUAGCGAUCAACUGCCCCAUCCGGGUUAUGGUAUAGACCCAACGACAUUCAAUCACUGAAACAUCGAUAGGACAUGGAACAAUAUCCCACAUGCGAGUAGCAUCCAAAGCAUCAGAUUCACCAUCCAUAGCUGCGACCCAUCUAGAAUCCUUAGAAGCAAUACGAUAUGAUGAAGGAAUCCGAGGAGAAGCAUCCGGAGUUGAGCUAGGACCCGCAACAUAGGUGCCAAAGUCCUGAAAACGAGCAGGAAGUUGUCCAUGAGUGGAACGAGUCGGACAUAUCGUAAGAGACAUAUGAGCUCCAGGAGAAGUACUUUGUAUGGUGAUUGGCGUAGGGGAGGUAGGUGUAUGCAACCCAUGCAUGUGGAUAGGAGAAGGAGGAGUUUCUUCCCCAAUAGUGACAUCCACUUCAGGCACCAUCAUCACAUCAUCAACAUCAGCCUCAUCAUCAUCAAAAGAAGGUAAAUCCGCAGGAACAAAAGUAGUGGAUUCAAUAGACGUGUCCGACGAAGGAUAAAAGUAAACAUGCUUAACAAAAACUACAUGAUAGGCAAUUUGAUUCCAUCGUCGACCGGGAUCAUAGCACAAGUAUCCUUUAUGAUGAUCAAUGUACCUAAUGAAAACACAUCGGGAAGUACGAGACUGAAGCUUAGUUCGUUCAUGAGAGGGAAGCAGAAUAGAGCAGAGACAACCAAAGACCCGUAAAUGACCAAAAUUGGGUGGCGGAGUAAAGAGAAAGGAGUUCAACUCUCCAAAGUAGAAGUAACUUGGCAAUUAAUAAGAUAGAUAAUUGUGUGAAUUGUCUCCACCCAAAAUGUGGACGAUACCCUAGACUCAAGAAGAAGAGCUCGAGCAAGAUCGAGCACGUGUUGAUGUUUACGCUCCACCAAGCCAUUCUGUUCAGAGAAUCCUGGACAGGACUGCUGAUAUAAGAUCCCAUUAGAUUUAUAAGAAUCUUAAAGGGCAUGCCCCGAAAAUUCUCCACCGGGAUCAGAACGAAUAACUUUAACUGUCAUAUCAAACUGAGUUUGAACCACACGCAGAUACUCCUUAGCAACCGAUAACAAAUCAGACUUGAGUCGAAGAAAUUAAUCCAAGCAUAUCUAGUCUUGUGGUUAAUGAACAAGAAAAAAUAUCGAUAUCCCAAGCAUGAAGUCGCCGGAGCCGGUCCCAUAAGGUCGGUGUGAACUAAAUCAAAAGAAGCAUAUAUCUCGGUAGUACUUGAAGCGAAAGGCCGUUUAAUAGCCUUAGCCGAGAUACACUGUUUACAAGUGGGAAGAGGAGAUGAAAUCAAAGGCAAACGAUCUGGUAUAAUUUCACUGAAAUAUAAAUUUGAGACGAACUGCAUGCAGAUGACCCGAACGAGAAUGUCAUACAUUCUAAGUACGAGUAACAUUUUUAGCCAAAUAAGUAUGCCUCAAACAAGCUGAAUUUUCCAAAAUGUUAUCUGAAAUACCAAACAUAAUAUUCUCUGAAUCUGAACUACAACGCAAACUACUACUAGAAAAAGCUAGAAAACAUGAAUUUUCUCUUCGAGUCCCCUCCUUGCAAAAAUCAUCAAGGUAAAAACUCCUCCCAAAUUUACUUCAUCUCCUAAUCUACUUCUGCGUCCUCGGAUCCUGUAUAGCACAACCGGAGGGAGAGAAAGUUACAAUACAUCCACUAUUUGUCAACUGACCAACUGAACCCAAAUUCGCACAGGAGAAGGGACAUGAAGAGUUGAGGAAGCUCCAUCGUAGUAGUCUUAACACACCCAAUUUGACUGACAGACAAACGUUGCCCAUUGGCAACUUCAAUGGCAAUAUUUUGAACCUAGUAUAAUCACAAAAUAACGACAACUCACUAGUCAUAUCAUCAAAAUAACGACAACUCAAUGUGGCAAUGAUGAUGAUUACCUGAAAUACCUGCAGCCGAAAAGGCUGCCUGCAAAGCCGUUGGAAGAUAACGAGAUAAUGCUUCCUGAACAAGCACAUCAACCGAAGAAGUCGUCGUGGAAGCCGAUGUUGCCGAGGGAGUCGGAGUAGGAGAGGGAGUUGUCACAGGUUGAACGGCAAAAGCAGUAGCACGCGGUGGACGAGGAGGCUUAUUCUUCAAAGCUGGACAUUCAAGAAUUAUAUGAGCAGACUGUUUGCAGUAAUUACAAGUGUUUCGCUGCUUGCAAUGAGCUACCAGAUGCCCCAUAACAUUACAGUGGCGGCAUUUAAUAUUUGUUGGAGUUGAACCCACUUGUCCCGUAGCAGGAAGUAUCGAGAGUUCCCAUCUCCUACUCGAUUAUUAGCCGAAUAAAAUUGUGGCUCACCUGCAGCAAAAAUAGUACUAACAUUUUCCAAAACCGAGGUCUGAUUAGUUCCAUCCAACUGAGCUUGAGUGUUGAGCCGAGUCUCAACUCGAAUUAAAUCCCACAAGAUAUCUUCCAUCUCAAUAAUAUUAUUAGCUAUCACCUAAGAACGAACAGAUUCAAACUCGGGUCGGAGUUUCAUAAGAAACUGAAGAACCGUAGUGCAAUUCUUUCCUCCAAAACUUCGGAGCUAGCAGUGGACGACAACAUCGACAUAGAUAGCAAAUUCUGUUCAGUCCAGAGAUCAAGAGCAGCGGUAUAGAAACUAUUGAUAUCUCGAUCUCCUUGAGUAAGUUUUGCUAACUCAUAUUCAAAUUCAAACAAUCGAAAAGAGCUAGCUUUCGCAUAAAUCUUCUCGAGAUGGGUCCAUAUUGUUGCAGCCGUACUAUAAUUCCUUAAAGUAAGAGCAAUUUGCGCCUCCGUCGAAUUAAUCAACCAAAAGAAAACACGAGCGUUAUUCAAAUUCCAAGUAUCUCGCUCCUUCUUGAACUCAACAAGAUUGGCAACAAGUUUCAUCACGGUUGCAGCUUGAGCUGCAGCAUCUUUACCAGAAACUGAGUCAGUCAAUGACUCUUUGGAUGCUCUGUUUUCAUUUCCGCUACCAUUUACUUAUGGUAUGAGAUAUUUUAUGUUUCAGUUUAUGAGUAUGUUUAUAUGUAUUCAUGUGAUAAGUGAAUUCGCAAGUAAUGCAUGGGUUGAACCGGGUUUUCUAGAGGGGGUUUCACAAUACGAAGGUAUUAUGAGUGAAUAUCAUAUAAGUACUAAACCCACAAUACAAACGUAUGAAUACUUGAUACAUUCCUAUGUAUUCAAAAUAGUACGAUAACGUGAAUUAUUUCUAUUAUUAUUAACUCAAAAUACUAUCAAAACUGAUCUCGUUCGAUUCAUAAUUGAAUAACAAAGAUUUUGACAGAAAAUUUACUUAAAAUGGAUUAAAGAUUAAUAACUUAUGUGAGUUUAAGUGUUGUUGUUAAUAAAAAUAAGAGAGAAAAAAUUUAUGUUAAUUAUUUUACCAUACGAAUAUAUUUAUUAUUUCANNNNNNNNNNNNNNNNNNNNNNNNNNNNNNNNNNNNNNNNNNNNNNNNNNNNNNNNNNNNNNNNNNNNNNNNNNNNNNNNNNNNNNNNNNNNNNNNNNNNNNNNNNNNNNNNNNNNNNNNNNNNNNNNNNNNNNNNNNNNNNNNNNNNNNNNNNNNNNNNNNNNNNNNNNNNNNNNNNNNNNNNNNNNNNNNNNNNNNNNNNNNNNNNNNNNNNNNNNNNNNNNNNNNNNNNNNNNNNNNNNNNNNNNNNNNNNNNNNNNNNNNNNNNNNNNNNNNNNNNNNNNNNNNNNNNNNNNNNNNNNNNNNNNNNNNNNNNNNNNNNNNNNNNNNNNNNNNNNNNNNNNNNNNNNNNNNNNNNNNNNNNNNNNNNNNNNNNNNNNNNNNNNNNNNNNNNNNNNNNNNNNNNNNNNNNNNNNNNNNNNNNNNNNNNNNNNNNNNNNNNNNNNNNNNNNNNNNNNNNNNNNNNNNNNNNNNNNNNNNNNNNNNNNNNNNNNNNNNNNNNNNNNNNNNNNNNNNNNNNNNNNNNNNNNNNNNNNNNNNNNNNNNNNNNNNNNNNNNNNNNNNNNNNNNNNNNNNNNNNNNNNNNNNNNNNNNNNNNNNNNNNNNNNNNNNNNNNNNNNNNNNNNNNNNNNNNNNNNNNNNNNNNNNNNNNNNNNNNNNNNNNNNNAGCGUAUUACGUAUAUAUAUGAUGUUGAGAUUCUUAAUUAUAUCAUUAUACUCAACUAUGACUCCCAUAAACUAAGCAAGCAUACAUGAUCAAAUGGACAAAUCAGAUUAAUUAAUGACAAGUAUGUCGUAAUUAGACAACUAACCAUAAUAUAUCAAGACUGUAUCGAUGUCCAACACACCCAUGUGUUGUAAAUCAACUAAAAUAAACCUGAUUGUGGAAUAAUGUAGUUUUCCUUAACACACAAAGCAUAAUCAACUAAUUAUAUAAUAUAUAUAAACAAAUGCAAGCUAGGUAUACCCUUAGCUUGAUGACAUUACACCAAACUGAUCAUAAUAUCUCUCAUCGUCAUCAUCCUUUCUCCUUCACCUCGAUUUCCUUAGAAGCUAAAGCUAUUAUGGGUGGUGAUGAUGAUGGCUGUGUAAUGAUGAUGAAUGAUGAUGGACAAGUAGUUGACAUUAAUAGACUGUUGCUGCAGCCGGAGGAAGCUGGGUUAUGGGAUCUCAUUCUUUUACUCUGGAGCUCCGACGUCCAAAGUAGAAAAUUCGUGGAGUGCUCCCAUCAACAAGCUAAUGAGACGACGGAGGUGAACGACUUCCAUCCAAGAUGGCUGAUAUUCAUAUCCGUGGUUUUCCAGAAGUUGUUCCUUCGCUCCAAAGGCACAUUGGACAGCCUAGGCAGGGGAAUUGAGAUGUGGCUCAAUCUCCUCUCCACCAAUGCCGGAUUUCUCAACCUCCUCUUCAAUCUCCUCAUCAAGCGUAUGUAAUAUGCUGUUAUCUUAUGCUUUUGCCAGUUGGGAUAGAUAUGAUAAAAUUAAAUUGAUUUGUGGGAAUUAUAUUUCAGGGGAGGUGGAGUGGCCGCAGAGGUCAUCGGCGGAAUUCAGGUCGUUGAUUGGGAACCUUGACCUGAGUGUGGAGAUGAUGAAAACUCCAGGUCACAGGAGAUACGAGGCUGUCUUGUCGUUAAUGGCUGCAAAACUGUCGUACGAGAAUGAGGCCUUUGCUAAAUCCGUAGUCCAAGAUCGUUGGAAUGUAAGUAAUUAAUUAUUUCUAAUUAAACUAAUACCACUACAAAACAGAGAGUACGUACAGUUUUGGUUGGUUAAUUGAUUUAUGUUGUGAUGCAGAUGGAAUUCAAGGGAUUCUACGAUUUUUGGAAUGGUAAGAACAUGAUAAGUUGCUUUCAGUAUUUGUUAGUGUUUUCAUCUCAACCAUCUUAAAGUAAUUAGCAACUAAAAUUAUUUAAAAGUAAACCCUGGUUAAUAAUAAAACGCACAGUCGAGCACCUGACAGCGUCUCGUCGGCGUAAUUGUUAAUUAAUCUCUUAUUGAUACGGGUUUGGAUUUGUUAAGAAAAAUAAGAAGUAGCAUGUAGCUAGUUAAUGUUUGCUUGUUGAGCUAAACGUGAUGUUGCCUGCCUGCCAACGAUGUCUUGUUAGUCAAAUCUUCUGAUGUACAUUAUUUGAUAAAUUAUUAAUUUUAAAACCAAUCUCAUUUUUUAUCCAAUCUAGGCUGCAAUAAAGUAAGUUUGUUAAGUAUGGGAGGACACAUGGUUUCCAUCAUUUUCUAAUUAUACUUGUAGGUUGUUUAACAAAAAAAAAA